ACAACCACCAAUAACCAAUUGGUGGACUAUUCGUUGGAGUUUAGCUGGGAUAUUAUCGAUAGCAUCAAGCACUUGUGUAACUAAAUUUUUCACCGUUAGAUUUAACUUGUUUACUAUUUUCAUUCGUAAGAUUAUGCUAUUUAACCAACAACUUACUCAACCCUAGGAGGUCCAUAUUAUUUUAACCGUAUAUUUUUUCAUCUAAAAGCGAAAAACUUAAUAGCACUAAGUGUUUGAUGCUAUUGAUAGUAUUCUUAGUUACUAUCCGUAGGGCACUAUAAAUUAUUGGAUUGUGAAAUAUAAUUUUAAUAACUAAAUAUUUGUGAACUAUUUGUAAAUAUUUUUUGAAAUUUUUUGUUUAAAAAUUUGAAAAAUUUUGUUACUUUGGUUGGAACUUGGAACCCAAUCUCUGUACCUUUCUCCCCAAGCAAGGGGGUCUUCUUCUCACUCGUCUUCUCCAUCAUCGUCAUAACCCCUCUUCUCCCCCCACCCCCGAAACUCCAAACCCUAGCAUCCACAAAAAGCGAAUAGAGAGAGAGAGAGAGAGAGAGAGAGAGAGAGAGAGAGAGAGAGAGGGAUCGGCGCCAUGGCUCGCUACGACCGCGCGAUCACGGUGUUCUCCCCGGACGGGCACCUCUUCCAGGUGGAGUACGCGCUCGAGGCCGUGCGCAAGGGCAACGCCGCCGUGGGCGUGCGCGGCUCCGACACCAUCGUCCUCGGCGUCGAGAAGAAGUCGACCCCCAAGCUCCAGGACUCCAGGUCCGCGCUCCUUUCUUUAGGGUUUUGAUCGGUUGGGGUUAGGGUUUGAUCGGUUAGGGUUAUGAUUUUGUACUGUGAUUGUGAUGAUGAUGAUGAUGGUGGUGGAAGAACAGGACGGUGCGGAAGAUUGUGAGCCUGGACACGCACAUCGCGCUGGCGUGCGCGGGGCUGAAGGCGGACGCGCGGGUGCUGAUCAACCGCGCGCGGAUCGAGUGCCAGAGCCACCGGCUGACGGUGGAGGACCCGGCGAGCGUGGAGUACAUCACGCGCUACAUCGCGGGGCUGCAGCAGAAGUACACGCAGAGCGGCGGCGUCCGCCCCUUCGGCCUCUCCACCCUCAUCGUCGGCUUCGACCCCUACACCGCCGUCCCCGCCCUCUACCAGACCGACCCCUCCGGCACCUUCUCCGCCUGGAAGGCCAACGCCACCGGCCGCAACUCCAACUCCAUGCGCGAGUUCCUGGAGAAGAACUACAAGGAAACCUCCGGCAGGGACACCAUCAAGCUCGCCAUCCGCGCCCUCCUUGAAGUAAAUACUAUCACAUCUCUUCCCUUCUCUUCUCUUCUAUGCAUUAAUUACAUCUGCUGCUUGCAUGUAUUGUUCUUCCUAGUUAGUUAGUGUGUAGCUAGUUAUUGUGAAAUGUCUCGCACCUGUCAUGAAUAUGGUUGGUGUGACAUGAACUGCCUAUUGCCUUACCAUUACUUAUAAUACUAGCAGAAGUGGAUAUUAUCUUGUUCCAAGCAGAAGCAGUAGGCUGCUUCUUCUUCUUUUUUCCCCCCUUUUUUUCCUCUGAAAUUUCUUUCAUUUACAUGCUAUUUUUUUCCCUUAUAUCUUAGUACAUAGAAAACAAGAUUCAUAUUAUGAUGAUGUUUGCAGACUGUUCUUCUUUUGGAACUUUAAGUUGAACUUUUUUAAUAUCGUUUUAUUUUUCUACCUCUUUUGUCAAAACCAUGGAAGCCAUGCAGAAAGUGAUCUACAAUUAGCUGGAAUGUCGUACUCUGCACGUAUCGACUUAUCGUCAGGCUAACUUUUUUCUUUAGAUUAUCUUAAGCAGCAUUUACGAGUGGCCUUUUGCUUCUUCUUAUCUUGAAAGAUACAUACAGCGAUAUUUGAUGAAAAUGAUUGCCCAAUCUCUUUUUAUAGGUUGUGGAGAGCGGGGGAAAGAACAUAGAAAUUGCUGUUAUGACACGCGAUGAGGGUCUAAAGCAACUCGAGGAAGCCGAAAUUGACGAGUUUGUUGCCGAGAUUGAGGCAGAGAAGGCUGCAGCUGAGGCUGCUAAGAAAGCCCCUCCGAGAGAAACCUGAAUUUCAGAUCACCAUUUCCUUAUGAGCUGUUCUCUUUCUUUUAUGUCUCUUUUACUUGUGAGAUGAAUUCUUUAAGUUACAGUCCGAUUGGAUUUGUUGCUAUUUUAGGUCUCCUGGUCUGAAAAUUAUAGAUUGGCCUACUCAAUUGCGCGAACUCUUUGUUUAUUUUGAUCAGACAUGGAUGUGUUGUUUCGUUAGCAGUUAAUCUCAUCCUGCUGGAUUUACUUUCUAUUAUUGUUGUUUAGACAAGUUGAACUUUUAAUCGCAUACCAUGAUAAAAAUGUUUUACGGUUUGACGAACUUUAAUGCGAACCGGCUUCUUUUUGUCUGAUUUAGGUUCAGUCGGUGGUCUUUUGGAAAACAGGGUUUUGGCUUCCCCAGUUUUAGGGAAAUUUGGUGUGUCAAAAGUGGACGGGGUGGAGAGCUCGACAUCCUUUCCAAAGUGCAGAUGAUGAAAGUGUGCGCUGCAACAGGAACAAAAAUUUUGUGCGAAUACUUUUUCAUCAGAAAAAGAUUUUGGGUUCUGAAACAGCCCUCUCAACUUUUUUUUUUUUUUUGGGUUGGGGGAUUUGAUUUGAGUUUUUACACCUAGUUAUAUCUAGUUUUGUUAAUCGAUAAAUUCAUGAAAUUUAGCUAAAUAAAUCUUGAUUUUUUUGAAAGCAUAUAUGCGAGGGGGUCUCCACACAUUUUUACCAAAUAUUUAUGGAAGGAAAAAGAUACCUGUACACCCCAUCUAGGAAUGUGUGAUUUACUCCAAUCCAUUAGAUGGACGGAAAAUGAAUGGGUGUAAAUUUCCAGAUGGAUGCAUGAAUAACAUUGUUCUUAGCCAAACUGAUCUUUCGAGAUACACAUCCUACAUUGGACUUCUCUCUCUUUGUACAUAAAGAUUUUAAAAAUAUGACAGGAAAGCACAAACAGCAAGUUGCUCUCAAAUUGAUAGAGCUUCUCUCGUGCUAAAUUAAAGCUCUAUUCACCGAGAAAUGUUUGACGUAAGUCACACAAUCAAGAUCACAUUUCACAAACUGUAAACUCUGGCACGACUAGCCAAUAGCGAAUAUAACCAUUUCAAUUUUCAUCCCUGCACCAAAACAGAAGGAUUCAUCUUCGUUAUCUUCCAACUCUUACUGAGAAAAUAGCAGAUCAGUUCAAAUAGUAGAAAUCAGACGUUCUGCGUUAGCCACUUAAGCUCACGAAUAUUAUGAUUGCUUUACAAACUCGUACUUCCAAAAUCUCAUUAAUGUAAAUAUACGACUAGCAGGAUACUGUAACUAGCAGGAUACUAUAAUUUUACUAGUUUAACAGGGUCACAUAAUUGGAGUGCAGUGCUUCUAUGUAAUACACUGUAUUCAAUUGUCCCAUAUUGCUCGGGAAAUGUAUUCAGUUAACUCUUAAGUACUAGAGAAAAUAGUGCGGAAGCUACAUAAUAGAUGGUUCCACAGAGCAAUUUAUUUGCUCCUCUUGGAUAUUUCGUAAAAGUAACUAACGAUAACUACAGCUGCGGCAACUGCAACUCCAAAAGCACUAUGAGCUAAUACAGCACUGGAAUUAGCAUCAGCUUUGGCAGCUGAGCCGGAGGUGCGUCGUGGAGUGAAGCCGAGUUCGGAAAGUUUCUUGUGCGAUUCUUCAUAGUCCUUGAAGAAGACAUCCUCAUCCUGUCAAAGAUUUUAGAAAGAAAUAAGAUAGGGGAAUAAAGAGGAUUGCUGAGAUAGGUCUUUUUUUUUUUUUAAAAAAAAGGGGGUAAUUUGGAGGUUGAAAAUGCAGGAAAGUCAUUGACAGCAGUACGGAUGAGAUAGUGAAGUGAUGAAAUAUUGUAAUUUACAGAGUUAAUAUACAGGCAUUUCCAAUAUUUUAAGGUGGGAAAGUGGAAUUUUGAUACUUGAGGGGGUUCCCAGCAAUUUAGCCUAAUGAAAAAAAAUCUUAAUCUGCUUGAGUAAAGAACUCGAUGAUAAUGGUACUGACACAUGCUGACACCCAAUACAUUGCAUUUAGUCUUGCAAAAUAAAAAUUCAGUGACUAACUGUACCUUUGCAUACAGCUCAACAAAGUGCCUGAACUGAGGAUCCUCCAAGAGAGCCUUGUCAGUAGGAAGCUUAAGAAGCCCUUCGGAUUCCUCCUUCAACAGCUCCCUGUGGCAAUUUGAAUGCAUUAAUCGGGUUAAUUAUUUAAUUUACAUCAACAACGAUUGAUAAAGUGAUCAAUCGAAUUUCUUUUCACUGAGAUGAAUGAGCUUUAUGUAAGCCAUACACGAAGUAGGAGUUGUCGAAUUUGAGAGGUUCAUUUGUCCAGGCACCUUCGAAUCCCGACCUCUCAGGAUGAGCCCUCCCCUGCAGGAAAAAUAAAACCAUGCAUUGUUUUGGGAGGUCUUUUGAAUCAUGACAAGGUUCUUUUGUUUGCAGUGAGAUAAGUAUAUUACUAGAGUGUGGCCACCAGAUAGGGCUACUAUAUCCUUGUCAGAUAAACCCAUCCGAUAAAAGAUGUCCCUCAGAUGUGAUGAACCUAAAAUCAAACGAUAAAAAUAAAAAUAAAACAUAAUAAACCAAGAAACAGUGAGUUCAUGGGAAAAAAAAUAUUUGCUAAGCAAACAACAUGAAUUUAACAUAGAUAUCUCAACAGUUCUGGCUUGCAAGAACUUGAAAGUUGCCCAACCUAGAGUUCUUAGGAACUUCAGUUUUCUUCGUUUUUUGUUACAUAUAAGUCAUAACAGUCAAACUAUUUGUUUCUUUUAGUUGAGAGAGAAUAACUUCUGUAUCCACGAAAGCUUCCAGCAGCAUGAACAAACCGGCCCUCGCACAGGGCCCACAUGCAAAUUAAAGAAAAGGAAAAAUAAAAUACACAGGUGCAUGCACGGACAAACUCAGAAGAAAAGGAAAUACAGAGACACAGACACAGAGACACAUUGGAGUCCAAACACUUCCCAGGAAUCAAACCGAAGUGCAAGAACACCUAGCCUAACAAUGUUUCCAAACCUUCCAGUAUAGAGGGGGAGAAAGAAAAUGCUCUAACCAUGCUUUAUGAUUCGACGACUUCUCAUAGAUAGAGAUAUCUGUACAUGCAAAGAGAUGCUUAUAAUAUCUUUCACAAAUGCAUCUAACAGAGAUCAAGGUGACUAUCGUCCUCAAAUAAUUUUCCUACAACACUACUAAUUAUCAAUUCAGACUGAUACAAUACUGCAUAUCAACAUGGUAAAGUCAUUGUGGCUAACCUUUCUUGGCAUCGGGAAGCCGCCCCUCUUUGGGGCAAACGGAGGAAUCCUGAAACAGCAGAAGAAGCACUAAAUAUAUGAUUUAGCUAGUUUACAAGUUACACCUGGAAAAAAAAAAAAUGCAGUUCUUAGUACCCGUCUCCCUGGAACAAAGUCAAUGGUCGGUCCUCCAGUAACUUCAACUGCAACCACUCCAGCAAGCUAAUCAUUAUAACACAUUAACUUCGAACAACUUAUUAAUUGCCUUUGCAAAUGAAAACGUAGAGAACCAAAAAGUCACUUAAAAUGGCGGUUAUCUUCCAUGGACUUUUCUGUCUGAUAUAAUUGAGAAACUUAGAGAACCUUUAAGUCCAUAUGCAUUCAACUGGAAAAAGAAAAAAUCAUUGGAAUUUCCCCCACCAUUCUCUAAAAUUCGAAGCACAAUUCUUUUAGAAAAGCGGUUAUUUUAUAUUUGCCUAUUAAUUAGCUGAUUGAUUGGCUAACACUUAAGAGGCAGCAGAUUUGAUGAUUAAAACUUCAGAAGAUGUGGAAUAUGCUUGACUAGUAAAAAGAAAUAUUGGAGCUAAGCAACACAUAUUUGAAUGCAUUUACAAAAUAACUUCAUGGAAUUCAAUUAUUCUUGAAUUACCUGAUACAGGUCUGCAUAUGUAAUCCUUGGAUGUUUUGCCUUCACAGGCUCUGUAUAACAGUGGAAAGGAAAGAAAAACCAACAAAAAAAACAGUUCAAUGUCAUCUUUAUUGGUUGAUAACUUGAUACAUCAAAUGUAGCAUAAUAAGAUAUUAUAGCCUUAUAACUUUUGACAUUGCUAAACGAGUAAGAAAGAAUCGAUAUAUGAGUUUUCCUUGAUCUCCAUUUUUUUUUUCUUUCAUGCAAUUCCAGCAAUUUAAGGAUUCAGAACUAGCCUAGUUUAAAAAAAGAAUGCACAGCACAGUAAACAAUUAAAUGCUAGGCAUUAAUGCUCAUAGCUGUUUUUCUACAGUGCGGAGAAGAAAAAGUUUCUAAGAUGCCAUAGUCUAACAAACAUACUCUGUUUAUGCACUUGCACACUUGAGACACUGUAAUACAAACUAAUAGGCUACUAAAAUUUAAGUCAGGUGGUUAUUACCCCACCAGCUCACUGAAUCACCAGCAGAAAAUGCUGAAUGAGAGCAUAAUAAUACACAUCAUAAAUCCUACAUCCCAAAUAUCUUUGGGCAAAAGCACAUUCUGCAGUUACGAUUGAGCUUCAAAUAUCAAAUCCAGACUGUCAAGUGUCAAGCAUGAUGCACAUCAUCCACUAUACCUUAAAUAAGCCAUUAGUUUAUAUUUUCAGAAAAAAGAAUCACCUGUAUUCUUCAAACAGAAAGGGGCGAAAUUUUCAUGCACGAGUAUACAGAUAAAAGAAGCUAACCCAAAAGAUCGAUUGCAAUUUUUAAUCCAGCAUUUGAACCAUGAUUAUAUUCCUCCUCAUGUCUAAUCGAACCGUUUGGACCGCCUGUUUUGGUGUUCACAUCAUACGUGCCAGCAUCAUGCCAUCUGCAAGAAAGAAACCAAAAAAAAAAGAAAAAAGAAAAAAAAGAGGGAUUUAGUUUUAUGCCAAAUUGCAAAUCAAAGUGUAUCUUAGCAGUUUGAUGAGGAUGGCCUCAUAUUAAGUGCACCAAUAUUGGUACUUCGCCAAAGAAAUUUUAAGUUUACCAAAAUUGAUAACUAAAGAGCACAUAAAUGUAUAAACCAGAUUGAUGGAACGAGUAGAUAAACGGAAGUCAGCGACUGAAAAGUCGGAAAAACUUUUGGGAAUCCGCAGCAACUUGACAAUAAGUAAAAUACAAAAAACAAAGGCCUUGCUGAGACACAAUGGGAUAAAAUCAAUAAGAACAAGAAAGCUCUUAAAGCAUUCAUACUCCUCUGUCCAUUUAUACAGAACACAAAAGCUUUGCAAGUCUUCUGGAUAUACCAACCACUUAUUGAGAUCAAAUGGAAUCACUAAAACACUUCCAUAGAAACCAUAAUCAAAGUAUUUGUGUUAAAAUAUGUUAAGAGUUUUUAAACAAUACGAUUGGGCUAAUUUAAAGCUUUUGAGCUAAGUCAAUGUUUAAAUUUACAUCACCAAAGAUUUUCUCCACACAAACAGCUCAAUGAUCUGAGAGAGAAUUAAAGAAAGAGGGCCAUUCAUGAUUCAACUAACAGAUCAAUAAUGAGCCGAACAUAGUAAAAAAAUCCCAAAAUAGCUAGAACGCAAACUAAGCAUCAAACACCCAUUUUUGGCCUUAGAAGUAGGUGAUUGCGCAUCAACGCAGGGAUAACAGUGACUAGUAAACACACUAACCCCCUGUUUGGAUGCAUGAAAGUCAUAUUCAGUAUAUCUCUUACAGACCAUACCUAGCGCAGUUGCCUGAAGGCUUGAUUGUUAAUACCCAAGAUUCCAAGUUCGAAAGCUAGCUGCUUCACAUUUCAAUGAAAGUUCAUUUCUUUAAAAAAAUAAACAAAGCGCGAAGCAAGCUACUUUCUUUCUCAAAAAAAAAAUAAUAAGAAGAACAACUUCUUAAGUUAAAUUAUAACAUGCUUCUUAAGUAAAUGGAUGUUAUAUGUGACAUAUCAGGAGUGUGAUCGAAUGGCUAAAACGGAUAUCAUAUUCCGCUUGCAAGUCAUUUUCAUGUAAUAAAUCGAAAUAUGCCGUCCUACCCAAUAAUACAUAUAAAAACCUUUCAUGGAGCAAAAGGACUCACACUCCUACCUUCUUGUUUCACAUGAAAAUCUUAUCAUAUUGAAAUUCUUAUUUCGACGUCCGAACAGCACCUAAAACACUACGGUUUCGCAUCAAAAUGACUCUCCUCCUUACAAUUCAGAUCGAUAAUCUCUAUAAGAUAAGCUGAGAUUACGAAGAACAAGAAGAAAAGGACAGAGAAAAAAAAAAUCUAAAGGGAGCGAUCGAUCAAGCACGAUCGGAACUCACGCCAAUCGGAGCAUGAUUGGGGCGCAGUUCUUGCUGGCGAUUAGGGCUCGGAGGUCUCUGCGCGCCUUGUCGAUCUCUUUGAGGUACCCAGCGUCCACCACCGGAGCCGCCAUGGUUGUAGCUCCGAGAGGAUCCCUACACACCAAUCCACCGAUCAAAACCGAGAUCUCCGAAGAAGAAGAAGAAGAAGAAGAAGAAGAAGAGAGAGAGAACCUCGUAGUGCAGGAAGAGGAGAGAGAGAGAGAGAGAGAGAGAGAGAGAGAGAGAUAUGGUUGGAUUGGGUGCUCGCGUUCGCAAUUUGUCGAACGACUAAAACGGAUGAUAUUACCACUCCCCCACUUUCCGCUCUGUGACAGUUCUCGCUGCAAAUUUUUUAAUUUUUUAAAGAAAAAGAUAGCAAUUUUUUUAAUAAAAAAAAACGGGUUGAAAAAUAAAAUUGACUUAUAAAUUUGAAAUCUGGGAUACGACCGCAACCGGCUUUUUAAUAAAAUGACCAUUCAAAAAUUUUAAAUUAACAAAAUAACUCUAUCAAAAUUUUAUUUAAAAAAUUAAUCCUUCUUUCGCCACGUUGAAUUUUUGCUAUAAAAGCAGUGGAUGAUUUAUCGUCUUAUCUGUAUUUAACUUUAGAACUUAGACAAAUUUUGAUAAAUUUGAGAUAUUUAUACUAAAGGCGAUGAAUCAUUUACCGCCUUCAUUAUAUAUAUGUGAAGGCGAUGAAUAAUUCACCGCAUUCAUAGUAAAAAUCUAACGUGAUGUCUAUGUGACGAAAAGAGAGUUAUUUUUUCAAAUAAAAUUUUGACAGAAUUAUUUUUUUAAUUUUAAAACUUUGGCGGUCAUUUUAUGAAAAUGCCCGGUUAACACUAUAGCGUACUGCACUAAGGUCGGUCGACAGCUGUCGUGAAUGGUUCACCGCUUAAUUACACCAUUGGUUUCUAAAUCUUUUCUUUGUUUUUUUUUUUUAAUAUCAAGUAUCAUUUUUUUUUUUUUUUAACAUUGCCUUGCUUUCUCAUAUAGAUCAAUAUUAUGGUCCCAUACGCCAAUCAAACUGUCAAACAUGACACCAAUUUUUUAAAAUUUUUAAAAUAGCUUGGUGCUAUGCCAGUGAGAAAAAUAAAAUAAAGAUUAGGGUCUGAUGGUGCAAUUAAUUCCAAAGAUCAAAAAUUUGAUUGCAAAACAUAGAAAAGAUUGAAGACCAAAAUUUUUUUUAAAAAAAAUCAGGUAAAGGUUGAGAUGGUGAUCUAAUACAAUUAAAGAGGUAAUCUGCAAUUUAGCCUGAUUGAAAUACACAUUAUCCUAUAAGAGAUAGAAAUUGUUAAUAAUUUACAGUAACUAGAACAUCAACCACACAUGCAAUUGCAAAUUCACACACACAAACUUACAAAAACAAAAAAUAAUAAUCACAAUAAUAAUAAAGAAUCUCCAUUCCCCAGAAAACACUAUUAGAAGCCGCCUCAUUUCACAUCCAAUUGGCCGUCAAUCGAACAAGAUAAUAGCUGAGAGAUUUUUGCAUCCAAACAGAUCCAAAACGAUUAUUAUCAUUCUUGGGAAAAAGGCAUCAUAUCCAGUUACAUUUCUAAGAGUCUGAGCUCAAUUGCUUAUUCGAAACACCGCUCACAGGAAGAGAUCUAAAUAGGUAAUAAAGCUCAGGGAAGGCAAUAGAGGCCGGCGAUAUCGAUCACAUUAUGACAAUUCCCUUAAGAGAAAGGGGAAAAUUUUGAUGGAGUAAUAGACCCAUUAAUCUAUUGCAAGCAAAGUUUAAUCCUUAGGAUCGAGACCGAAUACAAUCAUCUUUAAUUAUCCAAAAAAAGGGAGUGAUUACAUUUUAUUAAUGAGUCCUCGAAAAAAAAAGAGGACCAGUUUAAUGACCGCGAUUUUAUUCCAUCGACUUCUUUGCGUUCCUCCGCGAGCAUUUAGCUUGGACCGCAAGAGUGCUGGUGGUUCCAGGGCAACUGUCGUCCGUGCCGUAGGCCUUGUGUGACACCGGUAGAUUGCAUGACCUCUUCCCCAAGCAUAGCUGCGGAAUCGAUAAAGCAGAACAAAAUGAGAUCACAUUUUUGAGAAAAAGCCAAACAUCGUGUAAAUGCAAAAGCGCAAGUCAACUGCAUUGCCAAUUAAAUUUUUUGAUCUAUAACGGAAACCACAGACAGCUCAAAAGAAGAGAUAUUUAUAUGCAAUGUGUUUAUCCCAAAAUUUACUAUAUACUUUGCAAACUUAUAUUUCCUUGAAACAAUUUAUACGCAAAAAAAUGCCCCUCCUUGAAAACUAACUACGAUAUAGAAGUAACUAGCCCGGGGGUACCGGACGGCUCAUCAACAUGAGAAAAACGGUACUUCAGUAAGAAAGUGCUGUUUCGAGGGGCCUAUGCAUGAAAUUGUGAUUUUGCAGGGGUAAUGUGGAUAAGCACAUGAUCUUUCAUGAGUGCAUGUGUAAAAGCUCCAAAAGAGAACUAAAGCAGUGAUUACCUUCUCAACAAGGAUCUUGGCCUGUGGAGAGUGGCAAGUCCCUGCGGUGAAAUUACCGCAAAUGCCCAUCGGGUUCCCGAAGCUUGCGAAGACAAUCUUAUUGAUCACCUUCUUGUCAGAGCAUUUAAGGGUAGCUUUCGGCUUCACUUCUUCGGCCACAGCCUUGAUCUGGUUGUCUGUCCUCACCCACGACUUAAUAUGCGCUGGGUGGAACUCAGAGACAAAGGUGCAGAUGUUGUCCCUCUUCACUGUCAUGACCAAUAUCUCCUCUGGCUUCCCCCCUUCCUCCUCGAAUACCACCAAGAAGUUAUUCUUCGGCUUCAAGAAGGCGCGGGGAAUGUGGUAGCUGAAAAAAAGAAAGAAGUAGUGUUGUUUGAGUAGAGCUGUUUAGACAAAGAUCUAGCAGCUUUUUCUCUCUUUUUUUUGGCCCUCUUUAUAUAUCUUUGGCAGAUUCUUGCUACAGCAGAAACAGAAGCUUUAAAUCAAGGCUUCUUCAUUAGGGACCUAGACGCUCAUUUUAGCUCUCGCUGCCACGGAGAAGGCUCCAAACUCUUUGGCUAGAGAAGCACCUAGUUUUCUGGAAGCUUGUUCUAGAAUAGUAAAGCUGUUAUGGAAUGGGCCAAAAAGGCAUUUGGGAAUCCCUUACACUGACUGAGAAGGUUGUCCUAGUGGAGAAUGGUACGAAGUCCAAUAUCGUCCAAUGCACUCGCCGUUGACCCAUACUAGCCCUUUCCCCAUGCUGCUCAAAUCUAGGGCAACUGGGUCAUUUCCAUUAGGAGCAUCAAAGUAUCUCUGAGAAAUUAAGCCCAAAAUGUUGUAUCAAAUUCGAUGCAUUUAAAAAUAAUGAUCUUUGUUAUUUUACAAAGCUGUAUUUAGAAUCAUGCUCAUUACUAUUCGCCAUCUCCUUUUGGAUUUAGUUACAUCAACACGAUCGGUUUGCUAUAUUACCUUGUACCAGGUAAUAGGUGUUCCGCUCGUAGCGUCUGUCCACUGAACACGGCUAGAUCCUUCCUCAUUAUGGAUUCCUGACUUCUCUCCAGACAAUCCAACCUGUGGCAUAGCAAGUAAAAGUUAGCAGCUAAUUAAUUCAUAAAAGCAUAGUUUAGCGAUAGUUAACUAUCAGAAUAGCCAAGAGAAGGUUUGAAAUUUAAAAGAGUACAUACCCUAUGGCCCCAGCCAUUUACCGACAAAUCCAGAGUUCCAGUGUUGAGACCUUGAAUCACAACUUUAUGAACACCAGCGAUCCUUUUCUCUAAGAGAGCUCCGCUAUCCUAAAUUGAAGACCAUGAAGAAAUUAACCUUUUUAUUUUUUUUUUAGAGGAUGAAUAGAAAGAGCAGCUCCAGUUCAUAAAAAAAAGGUUGAUAUGCGAUUGUCCUAGAUUGUUACCGGCAUUCCAAUUGUCAAGGCCAAAAUGGCAACGUGAUUAAUUCCUGCUUUCAGAUCCAUGGGCUUCUGGAAAAUGAAACUUUUCUCCAAUUUGACUCCGUGACCCGAUCCUGAAAAGUGUAGUAUGUGUGAGAACGCAAAUAUUUGUUAACAUGGCUAUGCUCCAAAAGGUGGAAACGUAGAACGGGGAAAAGUAGAACGGUCAAUUGGCGAAAUAUAGAUUUUGGGUUUAUUUUGCAAGUGAUUUGUUAACCAUAAAAACUAAACUAUUGUAAUUGGUUAGUAUCGAUAAAUUACAAGUCGAUGGGAGGCGAAAGAUUACCUACGUAAAUGCCAUUGACAAAGGCAUGUGCCAUGUGGCCGGGGCCUGCGAUUUGAAUCACUGGCCGGAUAUCACGUCUCAUUGGUAAAUCCUCAUCCUCUAGGCUGAAGCUGCAUUUACGUGAAAACCGAAAACACAGGGAAACACAGCAUGCUUAGAUGUAUAAGAGAAUAAAGACAUUCAUAGUUUUCGAACCGUAUACAUCAAGCUUAGACUAUAAGAUACCUAAUCUAGGAUAUAGUGGUGUUAGAGGAUGACAAAUUUGAAUAAGAUCUUCAGUUAGCAAAUUUGAUAAUGAUCUCCUUUCAAUGGACGAAUUCCAACGGUAACAGCUAAAAGUUAGCAUACCUUGUGGUGUACCACAAAUAAUCUGUAGUGUCCUUGGUCAUCUCAAAUAGUUCCAAGGGUGUUCUUGAUAUGACCGAAGUUUGACGGAACUUGGGUACAGCUUCUUGGUACAUUUGCCAUUUGUUGUUCUGUUGACUCUGCUUUGCUACAUGGAACGUCCUCGAGUUAUGUUGAGCAUUCACCUGUUUCAAAUUCAUAAAAAGUUAUUACUUACAAGAACAUCUUUAAAAUCUUUUUCAAGCUAUAAAUGGACCAUCUUCCAAAUUCUAGUUUUCAACAAUUUGCUAUUACCAUAUUAAUGAAUGAUUAAAGUGAAUACUUCUUCUGUAUACUUAUGCAUAAAAGAUGAAAAUCAGAUAUGGAUUAUUUUACCCUCUGGGUGUUGAAGACCACAGUCCUACAAUCUGGGAGGAUGCUGAUGGAAUGACGAGGCAGGAAGUAUUCAACACCUCUGAAUUUCACUGUCCCGUCAAUUCUGGUAUUAUUGUUAUGGAGGAAAGCAACACAUACGUUGCUUUCGGGCUUCUCAUAAAGCCUAAUCUGAAAACAUCGAAAAGGAAAACAAAAUAAAACAGCAAUAAAUGCAACUUAGCAUACCAUCCUUUUUUUAUUUAUCAAUUAUCACUAGAAAAAAAAAAUCUUCCAUGACAAAAAAAGAAAAAUUUUAACUGAUAAGGAUAUUUGCAAAUUCUUACAUCAAAGCCAUUACCCACGUGUUGGACAGAGUAUGAUCCCCAAAGCAAACCUUUUCUGCACAAUCUCAAGGCAUGAUGCAAGUCGCGCAGAUGACCCCAUUUGGGUUCCUUAUAUAAACCUAAACAAGCAGAAGCCAUCAGAUGGAAGUACAAAAUUCCAUAAGUUUUUAUGUACAUAUAAUUUUUUUUAUAGAAUGGAUAUGAUAACAAAUUUUGAGGAUCGUGCUUAUCAGCUCCUUACCAAAUUCGUCAAGAGGGGCUUCAUCGUAGUAUCUAGGCAUGACGAAAGCAGCACCUGUCCUCCCAAAGUUGGUUCCUCCAUGAUACUAAAUGCAGAAUGUUAAAUAUUAGUAAGUUAUGAUGGCGAAAACUCCCUUGUCCUCUCCUUCAAUCUUUAAAUAGUGUGUUAUGUUACAGGAAGGACAACCGAUUACCAUGUAAUAGUUUGCUAGAGUGCCAUUCUUUGAGAAAAAGCGUGCAACAGAGAAUGCAAGAUCCUCAGCUGAUCUUUGGGAUGGUGGAUCACCAAAUACUCUAUACCUGAAACCAACAAAAUUUUGUUUCUUUUAAACCAAAAGAAAAAAAUCUACUAUUAGAAUCAAAGAAACACAUAUAUGCAAGUAAAUGAUACGAAUUAUUGGAAUUUCGGUAAAUAUUGGAACUUAGGUACCAUAGUCAGAUUGUUCGAAGGCCUAUAUCUGUAAAACAUUAUACUAGACAACUUACAUUUCCUCCAAAUUAAGAAGUUAAAAUCUAAAAAAAACAGGAAACAGCAUAGUUGCAUGUAGUACUAAUGCCCACUUCCAUAAGCAAAAUUUACUUCUCUCUUUUUGAAAAUGAAGGGGUACUAGUUAUGAACCCCAACAUCAAUAGCGAUGACAAAGUAGAUACUUAUAGUUAAUAAGCAUGUGGUUCCUCCGUGCUCUAGCUACAUAUCUUUUUCGUCUUUGGGUGAGAAACAUCAUGUACUUACUGAGCAGUCCAAUUCUCGGUCCACAGGACAGGCUUGGUUGGAUGGUUCGGGCCAGCGAAGUUAUCUCCACAAUUCCUUCCAUUGCAUGCAUUAAUCUGAAAGAUCAAGAAUUGGAGUCCUCCAUCAAGACAUGUCUUCUAGAAAUAUAACAUCAAUCGUGUUCCAACAAUUACAUUCAUGGGCUCAAAACAUCGUUUCAGCAUUCCCUAGCUAGCAAUAUUUUUGUUGGUUAAAAGGAUUCAACAAGAACACCCACCACUGUCUGAGGAGCAUUGUUCUGCUUGCACAUCACCCACGGGACUCCAGUAUUUGUCUGAUUAGCCAUCUCGCCGGCCCAUUCGAUAUAUUUUUUUCCUUCUAGUUUAAAGUAAUUUCCAAUGUUAUUGUAUUCAUUCUCAAUCUGUUGAAGUCAAAUCCACCAUUAAUAGCUGAUUAUAGUCAAGAAAGCAAAAAAGUGACUAAAUGCAAUAACCAAAUUGUCUCAAAAUGAACCUGUGAUAGAAUGAUGGGGCCUCCUUGAGAAGCGAAUAACUUCUCAUCCUUCAUAAGCUGCACUAUCUUUUCCACAAACCUCUGCAUAUGGUACUGCGAUAAAAGAUAAAAACAUUAAGACAAUGAAUCAGAUGAUGUUCUACCAAAUUGAUCUAGUAAAAGAAAAGAAAGGAUCUGAUCACAACUACGAAUAUGGAACUAGAGGGAAUUGGAUAGGAAAAGAGACAUCUAAGUAUAUUAUAUAUAACUAUAAUGAAAUAUACAAUCAAUUGACAUUUAUAGAAUUUGAAGAAGGUCCUCUUAAAAAAAAAAAAAAAGUAACAUAACAGUGCACCUAUAUGUCUUCAACAACACUAUAGUAAGAUAAUUCACGUUUAUUACUAUGCAAGACAAUGUUGAAUCUGAAAUCACCGGUGUUACCUUGAAAGGCUCAUUGUUAGUCCGGAAGGUGAUGUCUUUGACUUCCCUGAGCCAGUAUGGCAAUCCUCUGAAAUCCACCAUGAAACACAUUAACACAACAAAAUACUAAUUUAAUUAAAAAGAAAAAAACCAAAUCUCUAGGAGAUUAAAAGUAUAAACUUAUAGAGAAAGCCAACUGAAACCAACCCAUGAUUCCAUUCAGCCUGGAUGAAGGGGCCGAUCCUGAGGGUGGCAUACAUGCCGUGCUGCUGGAUCAACUUGAUGAAUUUCACCAAGUCAUACCUUCCUUCGAAGUUGUACUGCACUUACAAUUACGACCAGCAUAAUACUUUAUUACAUGUAUUUAAUGUAUAAUUUUUGUGCUUGUUUGGCCUAAGCUUCUAGAACAGCUUAUCUGCUUGAGAAGUAGAAACUGGCCAUAUUUCAACCAAAAGCUUCAGAGCCAAAAUGAGCUUCCCCAAAUGAGAAGCAACAACUUGAAUCUUUUGCUUCUAGGUCCAGUACCAAGUAGGGGGAAAAUUGAUUAAAAGUUUGUUAGGACUUGUUUGAAGAACUCUACUCAAGAAGCACUUCUACAUAAGCUCUGGUGCGAAACAAACAAGCUGUUAGCCAUCUAAACGACCUACCUGGCCCUGAGCAGGCUCAUGGACGUUCCAGAACACGUAGGUCUGAAUCACGUUCAGUCCACCAUGCUUUGACUUCUGGAUGAGGUCCGGCCACAUCUGAUUCCAAACAAACGAAACCACCACUCCCCAUUAGUUAACCAUCUACUUCCCCCGCUCAAACAUUAUGUCAAACACAUCUGAUGCAUGCAAAAAGAAGGUUGAUUGCGCAAUUGGACACAACCUUUCCGUAGUUUCUGUUUUUCACAUAUCCUUAACACCUUAUUUUUAUUUUAGUUAAGUCCCUGCCGUCAAAAAUAACGAAAACCAUCACCGUUGAAUAUAAACACGAAAAGCACAGUCCUCAGCAGCUUAAGCUUUGGAAAAACAACGGUUCUUCCAUUUUUUCUUUUCUCCUUUUACAUGAUAUCAGAACAGGAGGUACGGAGUUUGAACCCUAUCCGGCCUCUAAUUUCAUGCCUAUAAAAGAUUCUCGAACCCAGUCGUUUGAAUAUAAAUAUUAUAAACACCGUUUUGUUCUAUGCCAAAAACUUUUGGAGAAAAGUCGGGCGUAUCGGUAACAAACAACAUUUUCCACACGGCAGUAUCUGUCCAAUUUAACGGACUUUAUGAUGGCAGAAACUUGAUCAAAAUACAAAUUGAAUUAGUUGUGCAACUAAACCCCAAUAAAUAAAUAAAAUAAAACAAAGGUAAAAACUUAUCUGAAUUAUGGACCAUUUUGAAUUGGUUGUCUAAACUUUCAAAAUUUUAACUUUACUAUCCAACCUUUCAAUGUGUCUGACUUGAGUCAGUAAACAGCGUCUUUGACUUCAGUUUAAGAUAAUUAAUUACAUACUUUAAUAAAUUUAUAAUUGCGAGACUUGUAUGAAAUAUACAUGUCGGAUCUUUGGCACUGACCAUUAAUCCCAAAAGCGCAACGAUCCGACAAGUGUUAUAAUACCAGAACCUGAGUCAUUUCAAAUCCAACUAAAAUCUGAAAUUACUAAGUGAUAGGGUAAAUCUAAAAUUUAUUUGUUAUCAUCAAAAUUCAUCGUUGGACAAAUUCGGAUGAACUUUUUUGCAUUUUUCACCUGAAAUAAAUAAAUAGAAAAAAAAACAGAAGGAAUAAAACCUCAGGUGUGCUACGCGGGUAGUGGAUGGAGCCGGAGAAGAGCAGCUCCCUCCUGCCGUUGAUCAUGAGGGAGCGGCCGUCGUACGUGACGCCGACGGCGGCCUUCUUCUUCGCCGCGGAGACGGCGACGAGGAGGAGCACGGCGAGGAGCCGCAGCGACGUCUCGGGCGAUACCUUCGCCAUUGCCGUAGACCUCUAUCCUCUCGUGUUCGGAGGGACGGGGGAGGAAAGUGGGUAACACCUCGAUCCCGUGCUCGUUCGGAAUUAGGGUUUGGGGGUGAUGGGAAUGGGACUGCGCUCGCGCUUCUCCUUUGGGGGGAGAGGGGCGAGGCAGGGGGGAAGGGGCGGUGGCCACUUUGAAGAGGAGGGGUGGGGGUGGAGGACCCGGUCUAAGGGGGAGGGGCGAGUGGAGGAGCGGGGUUUCAGGAGGGGAAUGGCCAUCGCCAUGGGAGGAGAGAGAGAUGGGGAAGAAGCUCCGAAGAAGAAGGGUGACGUGGCCUUUUCGAAUGGCUCCGCGAUUUAUAGGGGAGGGGGAGGUGGAUGCUAAGGGGCUGUUUGGUUGGAUGUAGUUGCAGAAACAGUGUAGUUGAAAAUACAUGCAGUUGUAAAUAUUGUAGUUGUAACUAUACUUAGUUUGUUUGGUUUUACGCAGUUGCAAUUGCUGCAGUUAUAUUUAUUUUGUUUGGUAAUAUGAAGCUGAUAGUUGUAUUUGUGAAUUUUAUCACAUUUUCAGAGAGAGUGGUGAGAUUACCUUCACUAAAUAUAAAAUAAUUGUAUAAGUUUAUUAAUCAUUUAAAUUUACUAUUUAUAAAUAAAUAAGUAGAUAUAUAUAAUAUUUUUCAACUUAUUAAUCGACACAUUUAAAAUUUUUAAUUUAUUUAAUUUUAAUAUGUAAAUCAAACUUUAAAAUUUAAACGAUUCUCUCAUUUUUUUUUAUCAAAUUUAAUAAUUAUAAUUAAUUAAAACUUAUUAAAUUAACAUACACGAUCACAUUCUAUAAAAAUUUUUUUAAAAAACUAUAUUUAUAUUUUAAAUAAAAUAAAUUUAAAAAAUUUAAUUUUUUGCACAAAGCUUGUAUUGUCUAAAAAAUUUUAUUAGUAUGAAUUUAUUUGCAAGUAUUUUUAUUUACCUAUAUACAUAUAUUAUUUAUUUAUUUAGCUAUUUAUUUAUUUAUUUAUUAUUGUUAAUUUGUGGAUGAUUCUAUCUCUCACCAACUGCUGCAGUUGGAACUACGGCCAAUUUGGAUGUAGUUCCAACUGCAGCAUUUGGACCUUCUUGUGUAGUUAGAAUUGCAGCAGUUGAAUUCAACUAUACUAAACCAAACAAAGGAAUUAAGGCGGCUGCACGCAUUUGCAAAUGCGUGCAACCAAACAGCCCCUAAGUUAGUAAACAAGGGAGGAGAGUGAGAUGUGAAGCCCAUUGGGCCUAAAAGGCCUGUUUGUUUGUUUGUUUGUCGGGACACUGAUUUUUAGGUUGAAAAUAAUCUUCACUUUACACUGAAGUUUAGGAUCUGUUUGGUUCCACAUAAAGUCGUGAAAAAUAAUUCUUCGUAGAAAUUUUUUUUUAUAUUUUGUAAUAUUUGGUUUGUAUAAAAAAGAAAUGGUUUAUCAUCAAUAUUUGUUUGGCCGAAAGAAAAAUAAGUUUACAUUUGUUUCGUUUGGUGGAGAAAAUAGAAUAGAAAAAUUUUUAUUCAGCUUGAGUUUUCUUUGAGAGAAAGGUAGCAUGCUACUCAUUUCGUUUAUUUUAUUUAAAAAUAAACUUAGUUGGAAAUGUGAAUCAACUAGGAUUUGAACUUGGGUCCCGGGUACCAACCACCAAGCCCUUUUGCCACUUGCGUUAGGGAUGGUCGGUUUAUUCAACUUGAGUUUUUAUUCUUCGUAAAAAUAAUGGAAAACGAAAACUUCAAUUUUUCUCCAAAUCUAUAAAAAAAAUUUUACGAAAAAAAUAUUUUUGUGUCGAACCAAAAAAAUAGAAAAGUAUUUUUCAUACCGAAAAUAAUUUUGUGGUUCGUUUUAUGCCAAACAAAGCGCCCCCUUUGAUAAUUUUUUUUUUUUCCUGUAGUCAUUUGCUUGAUAAGAAGUCAAUGGCUUUAAAAGUAUAGUUAAAUUAAUUUUUUAUUUGUUUUAUUAAAAAUUUUUACACUAGCACAUAACCAGAGGGGUGGGUGGGGUUAUAGUGGUUAAAUUUCUUACUAUUUUUUCUAUAUUUUUUUCCCCAGUAAUUAACAUCAACACCAUGCAGCCUGCAGGCCAAACACUACAGCAAUGUUUUGGAAAAAUGAGUUCCUGAUAAAUUUAAUUUACAGUAAACUCUUGGCUUAAGGGACCAGUAUUUUUCCAUAUGGCAGAAGACUAGAUUAAGUCUAGUCCCGUUCGACAUGGCGGGAGGUCGAGUUGGUUGAGUUAUAUUUGUAGACCUGCGAUUCCGCGGACUGAGUGAUAAUCAAAACCCAUGAAUAUUACGUUUGCAGCAUUAAAUAAAUUUGUUGUAUUUUUUUUUAAAAUUGAUCGAGAUUUUUGAAUAAAUGGUUAGCAUUAAUGAUCCUACACAAAACUUUUUAAUUGAUCGGGUUUUUUGAAUAAAUAUUUAGCGCUAAUGAUCCUACACAAACCACGUAUACAAAGUGAAGAUUUACAAUUGAAAACAAUUUUGGCCUCAUUCACUUUCAGUGAAACAAACAUGUCUUUUGGAGAAAACCUUUAUUAUGAUGAUUCUUAUAUAAGUUGGAAAUAAUCUUCUUUACCGCAGUUAUUUUAUUUGCCAAACUUCGAUAACUCAUACCGAAACAAAUUAAAGUUUGAUGACUUAAAUGAAGAGUUGCUUAGGUUUAUUUAGAUGUAUGAACAUUUUGUUUAGUAAUAUUUGGGAGAUAAGAAGUGCGACUAAAUAUCUAGUGCACAAGAAAUGCCAUAUGACAUUCGACCUUUUAAGUUAUUUUUUCGAAAUAAAAUAAAUUACCACUAAAUGAAUUAUUAUACUACUAAAUGGUGAAAGUCAAGCCUUUCAAAAAAUUCAAAAUAAAAAAUCAAAUUCUCUCAUUUAAAGUUUAGCAUCCAACACUUUUGCUUUUGUCAAUCUCAUUAAGCCCUAAAUUCCUUAGUUAUAAAACAAUUAGUAAAUAGGUUUUAGGAAAGCUUCAAAGAGAAAUUGUGACAUAUUGUAAAUUUACUUAAUGUCACAUGGCUACGAACGCCCUUAUGAUAAUAUAAAAAUCUAUAUCUAUUUAUAUCUNGGUUUUACAAGCUCUUAGAAACUUUCUAAUCAAUUACAACUUGAAAAUAUGAUUCUAAGAUCUAUAAAUAAGUAUGAAUCACCAUAAACAAGAUUUAAAACUUACCUACGCAUCGUGAUUCAAGUUUUGCGUGUUUUGCGUCCUUUCCGAUUCUUCGAAGUCUUGGAAUUCUUCGAUCUUCAAUCCUCCGCUCCGGACUUCUUCAAGACUCCGACUCGACCCACGAAACUUGCCAACACAUAGGACCUAACAUUUCAAUGUUUAAAACAUUAGCUAUAACAAAAUGACUAAACAUUUUGGAAAAAAAAGCAGAAAACAGAAAGAAUUACAUUGUUCAACAUCAAAAUAAAAAAUGUAACUCAUAAUUACAUUUUCUCACACAAUAUUUCAACAACACAUAAGCAGGUAGUGAUCACUAAAAUUAACACCCGACUAAAAUUUGAUAAAAAAAAUACAAACCUUGAAGAAGAUGCAGAAGAGAAAGUAGCUUCAAUCUACAAUUUGACUUUGAAAAGAGUGAGGGCCUGUGGAAAACAGAGAAUAAGAGGUUAAUUACAAUAUAUAUCUUGUAACAUAGCGAUUUCCCGUAAGUCGUGUCGAGUUCCGUCGAAAUGUGCGGAACGCGGAAACGAAUGAGUUACCAUAGGCUAAAGUGCAUUGGAGCCUAUAUAUAGGGUAUAAAGGGACCCAAGAGAGUGAAACUGCAAUUCUGGUGAAAUUCCAGAAUUUUUACUCUCGGGGACCGGUCCCUUGGAUGAGAGACCGGUUCCCGAACGUUGAUCAGCCGAGCAGAGUGAAAAAUCGGCUAAGUCCUGGAAAUUGAGCUCUUGGGAACCGGUUCUUCGGCGGGAGACCGGUCCCGGGAGACCGGUUGCGUCGAGGGGAGACCGGUCCCCUGUUGCGCAGAGUGCAGGAUAGCUCUCGGGAACUGGUCCCUGAAGGGAAAGACCGGUCCCCGAGCCCGAAGUUGCCCAGUGAGGGCUGGUUGCAAAGGUGAAAAGUUGAGGGGUUUAAAUACAAAUAUGACAUGUGAAGGGUUAUAUGGGCUAGGGCAAGUGUGAGAGCUCAUUUGCUCUCACUCCUACACCAAAACCUUUCCCCCCUCUCUCUAAAAUCCUUCUCUUCUCUCUCCCUCUCUCUAGGGCUUGGAUCAAGAGGGGAUUUGGAGGAGCAAGCUUGGAGAAGAAGCUCUCCAAGGUGAAGAGCAAGCUAGGCAAGGCUUUUGAAGGAAAGCUUUGAACUCCAAAUGUAACAUAUGGAAACUUGGAGUCGCGAUGUCAACUUUGACCUAGAGGGUCAAAGUGAGGAUUGAGCUUGUUGGACAUCAUCCUCGAGUGAUUUGUGAUGCGUUGGAAUGAAUUUCGGAGAUAAAUAAGUGUUUCGGCGCAAAUUGAGCGCGAAACAAAAUAUAAAGAGAAUUUCGGAUUUCCGACGCUAACUUUGAUUAAAAGAAAUGAAAGUAAGGCGUAAAGAUAAAUUGUGCCAUCUCCGAAUCAGUUGGGAAGUCUUGGAAAAGCCAAGGGUGUGUUAUCAAAGGGCUUUGAAGAGCUCAGGGCGAAGUGGUAGUGCAAAAAGGUCAUGUAAUGGAUUUGGAGCCGAUUCUAUUUCUAAUUCGGCUCAAAUAAUGUCGAAAUGAAAAGAAAUUGCUUCCAAAUUAAAUUGGUAGCUUGGGAAGGUCCCUUGGUGUAUUUUAGAAGUGUUUGGGUGAAAUCGGAGCGAAAACGAAAAAUUUAGAAUUUUCUGUAAGGAACGGGACUAAGAAAAUUAGCAGAAAAUGUACAGUGUCAGAAAAUUACGAAAAUUGGCAGAGAUGUCAGGAACAUUAUUAUAAGGCUAGUUUUGAAGUUUCAGAUUUUUCUGACACCUGUAGAGAGAGAAAUAGCAUCCGAAAGUUAUCUGAUGAAGAUUACAGUUCGGGACAGUUCGCAGUAACCAAACGGGGUCGAAACUGAAAUGUUAAAAUUUCAGUGGACUUGUUAAGUAAAAACGAACAUUCCUGCCAAAUUUGAGCUCAAUCGGACUUUCGGAAGAGCCUACGAAAGGUAUUUAAUCCGUGCGACUAAACGGAGUAUAAGUCGAGGGGCAUUUUGGUAAUUAGCACAUGACUUAGUGGAAUUCCACUAACCUGCAGCCAGGGCCAUCCUUAUCCCCUGCCACCUCUUCUUGCAGCAUACGUAGAGAGAGAGAGAGAGAGAAGGAGAAAGAGAAGAAGAAGAAGAAGAAAAGAGGAUAGAAGCCCUAAAGUGAAAUUGACCGCGUGUAAACCUAAUUGGGGAUAAAAGAAACGCGCUGGCGAAGUCGGUUCGGCAAUCCGACGCUCCUACGCGAAGAUAUCGCCAAAAGAAGAUUUUCGGCGUCGAAAGUCGCGAGCGCGGGUCGCGAUUCUCGGGAAAGCGCUAGAAGCGCAUUUCUCCCAUUCCGGCAUCAAAGAAAGGUGGGUGGUGCUAUCCGAAGUCUUUGAAUCACCUUUUAUGUCUAUGAAUAUUCGUUGAGUAUAUUUACUUUGUAGUCAUGCAUUAUAGGGUAGUGGCAUUGUGAAAGUGAUAUUUGAAUAUGUGAACUUAGAAUGUGGACAUAGAACCCUAUGAAUGCAUGGACCAAGACAAUAGUAAACUUGGUGACAUCAUGACUAGAGAUUUGGUUAGCAUCAAGAAAUGUAAUUAUGAAACUAGUAUAAAGAACUAGUUAGAGUUAAAUUGUGACAUUAUUGUCAGUUGAAUCCUCUAAAGGGGGAUCAGAUCUUACUCACAUAGUCUGUUUUCUUAGCUUGGUGGUGGUCGCUCCCCCCAGGCAGUGAGCUCCGGAGUAGUCACUUGUUGGGCUAACGUACUUGCCCCAGGACUAACGUACUUGUCCGACAGACGGUCCCAUCGGGAGGCAGCUUAGGGCCCGUGAGGGAUUUCGUUGGUGAGUUAUUGUUAACCAAAGGGUUAACCACUGAAUUGGGUCAAUUUAUGGGCUAACGUACUUGCCCCAGGACUAACGUACUUGUCCAGCUGUUAACCAGAGGGUUAACCAAAAGAUUGGGUAAAGUUAAUGAAAAGCAUGCAUGCAUAUUUACAGUUUUCAUAUCUGUUACUCCUUUCAGCUUUGUGCAGGCAUUGUAGUAGUUACAUGUUAUAGUUGGUUACUAUCUGUUUACUUUUCUUGCCUACAUAUGCCUGAGUAGACCUAGUGGGUGAGUCGGCGAGGUCGGCGGCCGAACCCACUGGGAACUUUCUUGUAGUUCUCACACCACUAACCAUACAGGUUCCAGUGCGAGUAUUGUGGCCGAGGAUCGAGGCAAGAGCCAGCAGCCUAGCUAGUGGACACCCGAGUACUAGUGGUAUACCAUUUGGGUUCAUGUAUUAUCUAUUUCGAUGUACAGAGACAUGUAAAUGAUUGUAUAUAAAGCAUGUAGUAACUAAAUGUUUCAGUUAUGUAAAGUUUUAAAUUACAGUGGAUUUCAUGUUUAGCUAGCUUUACUAUCACUUGUGUUUGUUGCUUGCCAUCGUGCAAGCCAUGUAUAUUGAAAUGUGAUCCUGGGAAUUGUUUAAUUUCUUUAUACAUGUAUCCGUUGUUGUUGAGCCUUGGGCGAACAGUGGAGGUGCUGUUCGUUCGGCGUCUGUGCGCGGGCCCAGAUCGACCAAAUUGGCGACCGCGGGACGUGACAAAUAUUGAUCACUUAGAAGCACUAAUUAAUUUAAAAUUUUGAAGUAAAAGUAUUAUAAAUUAACUCAAAUCUAAUAUAUAAAAAUGUUAGAUAGUAAAAAUAAAAUUUUGAAAGAUUGGAUAACUGAUUCACAAUAGUUUGUAGUUUAGAAAGUUCUGUACAUUUUUGCCUUGAUUUUAUAUCAAAUUUAAAUAUCAUAUUUAUAGUCUGAUGAGCAAUCAAUUUCAUAUUUAAAAUAUUUUAAAAUAUUGAAAGUAGGAUUAAUCAACUUUUAAUUUUUAAUAAUUAGACAUUCUAAAAUUUAUUAAAUAAUUUAAUAUUUUUUUUUCUUAAAUGAAAUUAGACAUGUGAAGCUUUAGUUCUCAAAUUUUAAUGAGUUGCUAUUUCAAACUCGAACUACGAAAUAUAUGACAUUUUAAUUCUCAACUUUUACUACUACUAUAAAUAUAAUUUAUUAUUAUUAUAAUUUUUUCCUUAUUUUUUAUUAUUUUUAUAUUUUUAUUCUUAUACCUUUAUGGUAGUAGUUACUGUUUUUUUUUUUUUAACUUUAUUUAUUUCCACGGAAUCGAUUCGCCAUAACGCGCGAGUAUCUUCACUGGCACAUGAAGUGACAGUUAAGAAUAUAAAUUUACUAGUGAAUACAUAAUAAAAUUCGGAACUGUAUAUAAUGUGAAAGAGAUUUCUGUCUUUCGACUUAAUCCAAGCCUUAUAAUAUGAUAUUGGGUCUCUCCACUUAUUAAGCUUAAUUAAGCUUGUGGAUUCUGAAAUCCUCGGAUUUCUAAAAUGAUCUCUAUACUAUGCCUAGUUUUUUUUUUUUUUUUAGAGAGAUAGAUAGAUAGAACUUACGACAUCGAGUACCAACCACCAAGUCUUUUGUCUUGCUCUAAGGACGGUCGGUCGGUUAUAUACUAUGCCCAGUUUUAAUGAAUAUAAAAUAAUAAUAUAUAGUCAUAUUUCGGCACUAAAUUCUUUGAAGAUUUUCUUUUUUUUAAUUUCUUUUCUAAGUAAAAAAUCAAAACAAAAAUCACAUGAAAAAUAAACUAUACUUUAGAUUUUAGAGAUAUCCAAGUUAAAAAUGAACUAUAUGUGCUGUCAAAUUUUUUAAAGUUUUUUCACAAUUUUGAACUGGCAAAUUAUCAAAAAAAUAUAUAUAUGUAUGCACCUUCACUUUAUGCUAGUGCCUCCGGCCCCAAGUUAAUUUAUAGAUACUUGGGAAGAAGGGUUCUAGAACAAUAAGUUCUGCGAACGAAAGCAACAAAAAGAAACUAAAAUUUUUGUUGAGAGAAAGGUAACAAGUACCUGCGUGCUUCAUUCAUAAAGCUCAAUAAAUUUUGUUAUAUAUAUAAAAAUGACACAGCUGUGUGUGUGAGAGAGAGAGAGAGAGAGAGAGGAUCUCUCCGCAUAUUCUAAAAAAUUACAUUAUUUCUUUCUAACCAUUAGGUGGCAACCAUGAUAGAUGAUAUAUGUUCUAACCAUUAGGUGGCCACCAUGACAGAUGAUAUAUGAUGAAUAUGUGAAUGAAAAUAAAAGGGUUCUUCGAUUGAGAGUGCGUCAGCGUUAAUUCUACCCCUAUAUGUAUUUGGUUCUUUUUUUAAGUCUUUGUUGAGUGCCGAUCGUCCCGACCCUUGACCUGGUCAAAAAUCCUCCUCGGGGAGCGCGUCGGGGUGAGAAACGGCUGCGGAUAGUGACCCUCGAAGUUUGCGCUCUUCGACUGGAUCAAGCGAUUUGGCUGAUGAGGGAUCAAAUCAGCCAGGUUCGAAAACCUUCACUAUAAAAUUGGUUCGGUUGGAAGAGCCGAAUGUACGAACUGUGCAGGGAUCAAUGUCGGCAGAAAUGCCGAAUGGAAGAAGUACAUAGUAAUUGGUCGGCUGAAAGAGCUGAAUGGAAGAAGUACACAAUGACUGGUCGGCUGAAAGAGCCGAAUGGAAGAAGUACACAAUGACUGGUCAGUUGAAAGAGCCGAAUGCCUUUAUAUAAUAAUAAAAAAGAGUGUGCCCGAAGGGCAUACAGACUCAGAAAUAUAGUUUACAACAGAGUGAUGUCUGUGGGGCAGACAGACUCUGCAAAUGUAGUCUACAACGGAGUGAUGCCCGUGGAGCAGACAGACUCCAGGGUUCUACUUAGCGAACUACUCCUAGGAAAGCAGUAAAUGGGAAAAAGAAAAAGAUUACAUUUAGACUACUCCUAGAAAAACGAUAAAAAUGUAGAGGAAAUAAGGGUGGUCUUCUCGUUUAGGAUGGAGAAAGACCUCUAUUACAGGCUUUGAUGUUAUUAUUUAUAGUGAUGUCUUCUCAGCCCACAUUAUUGGUCGGUUGAAAGUAGUGGGGGAGUGGUUGUAACUAUGAUCGUGAAAGUUACGCCCACUCCUCAUGGAAGUUAUGCUCCAUCGUGGAAGUUAUGCCCACUUCUCAACCGUUCCCGCCUAAAACCUUCAGGCGUCUUAUUGCCGACUCCUGGUGUACCAUGUGUCUUUAUUGUCUCACACGUGGAUUAGGUCGACAUGUUAAUUUCAAUUUUUUGCAUCAACAGUCUCAUAUAAAGAAAGUCUUCUAUAUAUAUAAAGAGAGGUUUAAUAGUGAGAGAAAGAGAGAGUCUUUGUUACUUACCAGGGUUAGGGCACCAUUCUCAUGGCCUCACUACAAAAAAAAUUAUGAUUUAGGGGGCGUUUGGUUUGCUGUAAAACCACACUGAAAAAAAAAUUUUCAGUGGAAAAGUAAAUUUUCAAUGUUUGGUUGAAUGUAAAAUUUUUUUUUUGGGAAAAUUUUUUUUACGAAUCGGACGGAAAGCGGCCUUGUUUUGAGCGGAAAACGAAAAGUCGCGGCGUUGGAUUGCCGGGGCGGGGUGCAGCAAGGGCGCGGUCCACGAGAGACACCCCAUCUCGUGGACCACGAGAGAGAGAGGUCCAAGGUGGACCUCUCUCUCUCCCCGAUCUUAUAUAUAUAUAUAUUAUUAUAUAUAUAUAUAUAUAUAUAUAUCUACUAUAUAUUAUUAAUACUAUAUUUAUAUUAUAUGGUAUUUUAUUUUUAAUAUAAAUAUAUUAUUAUAUAAUAUUUUAUUUAUAAAUAUUAUUUAUAACUAUUUAAUAAUUUAUUUUAUAGUAUUAUAUAUUAUAUUGCAUAUUUAAUUAUUGCGUAAUAUAUUUUAAAUAUAUUUUAUUUAUAAAUAUAAAUUAUAAUACUAAUAGAUAUGUAAUAUGAUAAUAAUUAUAUAUUAAUAAUAUAAAAUAUAUAAAAUAAAAAAAUAUAAUAAUUUUUAUUUAUACUUUUUUUUCCUUUCAACCAAACAACCAUCGUGGAAAAUUAUUUUUCUUUUCCUACAAACCAAACACCAAGCGACGUAAAACUUUUUUCCACCGAAAAUUUUUUUUCCACCGAAAAUUUUUUUUCCGCAGUUUUACGUGGAACCAAACACACCCUUAGCGUCAUUCAGUUAUUGUUGCCUAAAGUCAAAAAAUUGCUGCAAAAAUUAUUAGCGGCAUUAAGUUUUUAAUGCCGCUUUUACUCGUGUUGGUAAAUCGUCUACUGAUAUUUAAAUAGAUUGUCGUUAAUGUUAAGUAAUUAAUAACAUUAAAUAAAUACCGUUAUAGAGAUAACUAUUACCGAUAUUAUUUAAAUGCUUGUAUUAUUUAAUAAUCUCGAGCACUAAUUAUUAUUUAAUCUGCAAUAUUAUAUAAAUGUAAGUAUUCUAUUUUUGUUUCUAGUAUUAAUAUAUGCCGGUAAUUCUAUAUUAUUUCUGGGCGCUUUUCACUUCCGACGUUUCUCAUUUUUUCUGUGGCGGGAAAGAAAAAUGAAGGUCGUCACCAAAUUCCACUCCAGUUGACUAGGUGGUCACUCAGGAGCCGCAGUAACAACAAAGAGGUUAAAAAGUUAUUUUUACUGGAAAGGGAUAAAAAAAGAUGUUAGUAUAUUUGUAAGGGAAUGCGUAGUUUGUCAACAAAAUAAGUACGAAACAUCAGCCCCAGCAGGCUUACUGCAGCCUCUACCAAUACCUGAGGGAAUUUGGACUGAAGUCUCUAUGGAUUUUAUCGAAGGGUUGCCAUUGUCGCAUGGAAAGGAUGUCAUCAUGGUGGUAGUGGACCGAUUGAGUAAGUACGCUCAUUUUAUGGCACUCUCUCACCCUUAUACUGCUCCUUCAGUGGCUCAAGUGUUUUUAGACAACAUAUACAAAUUGCAUGGCUUGCCGAAAAGCAUCAUAAGCGAUCGGGAUGCUAUAUUUGUUAGUCACUUUUGGCAAGGAUUAUUCAAAGGGCUUCAUGUAAAAAUUAACCUUUCUACAGCAUAUCAUCCGCAAACCGACGGCCAAACCGAGGUGGUUAAUAGAUGUAUUGAGAAUUAUCUAUGAUGUAUGACAGGGGACAAACCUAAGGAGUGGUCCAAGUGGUUACCCCUAGCUGAAUGGUGGUAUAAUACAUCUUUUCACUCUUCAACCAAGACAACGCCAUAUGAGGUAGUGUAUGGGCAGGUACCACCAUUGCAUGUUCCUUAUUUAGCCGGCGAGUCAUCAAUAGACAUGGUGGAUCGAACACUGACUGCUAGAGAGACUGCAUUGCGACUGAUCAAAGAAAAUUUAGCUAAGGCUCAAAAUAGAAUGCGACAAAUGGCAAAUAAAGGAAGGUCGGAGCGGAAGCUGCAAGUAGGGGAUUGGGUCUAUGUUAAAUUACAGCCGUAUAAGCAACAAUCACUUCGGAAGCACACCUCUCAAAAGCUAUCUCCAAGGUACUUUGGUCCGUUUGAAGUAACGGCCGUAGUGGGACCUGUCGCGUAUAAGCUUCGGCUACCCGACUCUGCCAAAAUCCACAACACCUUCCACGUAUCCCAACUUAAGAAAAAGAUAGGAUCGUCCCCAGCCUCGCCUCAUAUUCCAACAUUUGUUAAUUCUAGUGGGCAAAUACUGGCCAAACCAAUGACCAUAUUGGAUAGGCGUCUUGUUAAGCAUCGUGGGAGAGCUGCUACACAAGUUUUAAUUCAAUGGUCGAAUCAACCAAGGGAACAUGCCACCUGGGAGUAUCUCUUUGAUAUCCAGCACCAAUAUCCUCAAUUUGAUCCUUGGGGACAAGGAUCCCUUGAAGAGGGGGGCACUGAUACACUUCACCAAAGUAGGUGCCAGAGUUAAACUGUCAAAUGGCCUAGUGGACUUGACUAAUCAGGGUAAUUGGGCCGUUGAAUAAAAUCACACUUGAAGUCGUUGGGUUCAGAUGAAGAAGGACCAUCUCAACUGCUCAUUACUAUAACUGCUUAACUGCCAAAUGUUCACAUUGUUAUUAUUUUACAUACGUGCCUUGCCCCAGCUAUAAAAGGGGAGGAGAUGUAAUAACUGAUUACUGAUGAAUAUAGACAAAUUGAUUCUCUUCUCUUUCUCUCUCUCUCUUCCUUCUUGUUCUCUGUUCUAUGUUUCUGUCAUUACCAGAGCUCAAGAUCCUAAUUGGAGUACUUUUGUGAGGAUCCUAAUCAUGAGAGUAUCAACUGGUAUCAGAAUGAAGGGUAGCCAUGCCCUGUCCUUAGCCUGUGGAUAUGGAUGUGGAUAUCCGGACUUUAGUAUUAUUAUUUUUAUAUAUUCUUUAUAUUUUUUGAUUCGUCUAGCGCAAUUUUUGCUUACAGUGGAGUGACUAUAAUAAAUUCUCAAAUAUCACACAACAUUGAGCAAUGGAUCGAAAAAUGAAAUGAAAAAAAUCUCCAUAUACCCAGAAAAAUCGAAAAAUAAAAUGAAAAAAACGAUGACGGGUCAUCAAUCCACUCUCCAGCCUAAAUCGAUUCAGUUUGCUAAGAGGGGAAAACGGAAAAAAAAAAACUAUACUAAUGUUUCCAUGUAAAUUUGGAACAUUUUACCGCAGCCACAAUUACCGGUCAGGUGGACUUCGUAGGAAUUAAGACCGCGAUUUUCUCGAAUUUCUCACGGCAAUGAUUGCAUGACACAUUGAUCUUAAUCCGAAGGGACUGUAUAAAAAAAAUAAAAUAAAAAAUAAAAAAGUAAUAAAUAAAAUUAAUUAAAAACUAAAAAAUGAAAACAAAUUAAAGAAAUAAAAAAUUAUCGAAUUUUCGAUCGACGUCACGUUGUCGGCAAUCGAAAAUAAACGCUACUGCAUGGGCCGUGCUGGCGGAGAGGCAGAGAUUUUUAGGGCUAUGGUUGAAGGCGACGGCAGUGGCAGGAGCGGGGGCGGGGCGCAUGAGCGCGGUGAGCUCUACUGGGCCGCUAGGGGGUGUGAUAUCAGUCUUGAUGUGGGAAACGAGAACCCAUACCGCAAAAACCCCAGUCGCCAAAACCCGCAAACACGUCAACAAUAUACGACAACCGCCGAAACCACGGAGCGAGCACAGCGCUGGCGGCCCGCUCUUUCGGCCUCGUAUUGUUUAACAAGCCGAAAACAAGCGCUGGCUGUUAAAGUAUCGAGCCGAAAAUUCAGCUUGUGUUCGGCCUCGUUAAUAACGAAGCGACACAGCGGCUAACCCGAGCUCGGCCAACCAACCAAACAAUAAUAAAAGAUUAGAUUGAAUAUAUAUAAAAAAUAAAUUUAUAAAAUUUUAUCCAUUAGACUUUGAUGUAAUAGUUGAAACUUUAUAUAUAAAUAAGUCUUUUUAUGAUUGGGCUCGCUUUAUAUUUUUUUUUGCUAAAAAUUAAAUAAUAAAAUAUAUAUUUAUAUAUAUAAUUAUUUAUUUAUAUAUAAAUAAAAUUAAAUAAAUUAUAUAAAUAUAAAAUUAUGUAUUCGAGCUGUUAUCGGCGAACAUGAGUGAGCUGACCGAGCGUCGUGUCGGCUUGGCUGUUUAUUAAACAAGCCGAUAAAUUUAGCUCGUGUUCGGCUUUGUUUACUAAAAAACGAUUCGAUUUCGAGCUCAUUUCGAGCCGAACACGAGUGGUCGCGUGAACAGUGAGCUGGAUUGCCACCCCUACCGCCCGCAGCGCCCAGAACCCUGUGGCAGCCAGAACGGCGCAGCUUCCGGAUGCAGAGAGCGCAUGCGCUUUCGAUUUCCAGCGUUUCUCAUUUUUUCUGUGGCACGGCGUUUCUCAUUUUUUCUGUGGCCAAAAAGGAAAAUGAAGGUAAUGGUAAGAUAAAAUGACAGGGUUCCCUAACCCGAAUUCCUAUGUCGCACGUGCGGGCCACAUGACCGGACGGGCCGCCCCACGGCCCCUCCCGCCUAUAUUCGUUUUUUUAGAUUUUUUUGUAUAAUUAUUUUUUUAAAAUAUAAAUUAAUCAAAAUAUUAGAUUAAAUAAAUAUAAUUUAUUAAUUUUUUAAAAUAUUAUAGUAUUUUAAAAUAUUUAAAUAAAAAGUUUAAAGGAUCGCUCAGCCCGGAUUGAAGCUAUGUCCGCAGACUCUGUCCCUAACCUGUGGAUAUGUAGCUACAAAAAAUUAUGAUUUAGCGUUAUUUAGUUUUACGUCUAAAGUCGGAAAAUUGCUCGCAAAAAACUAUUAGCGGCAUUAAGCUUUUAAUGCCGCUUUUACUCCGUGUUGUUAAAUUUCUACCGAUAUUUAAAUAGAUUGUCGUUAAUGUUAAGUAAUUAAUAAACAUUAAAUAAAUACGUUUAUGAGAUAAACUAUUACCGACAUUAUAUUAAAUGCUUGUAUUAUUUAAUAAUCUCCAGCACAUGCCGCGUAAUUAUUAUUUAAUUUGCAAUAUUUAUAAGGGGCCGUUUGGUUGGAUGUAGUUGCAGAAACAGUGUAGUUGGAAAUACAUGCAGUUGCAAAUGCUGCAGUUAUAACUACACCUAGUCUGUUUGGUUUUACGCAGUUGCAACUGCUGCAGUUACAUUUCUUCUGUUUGGUAAUAUGAAGCUGAUAGUUGUAUUUAUGAAUUUUGUCACCUCUUCAGAUAGAGUGGUGAGGUUACCUUCACUAAACAUAAAAUAAUUGUAUAAAUUUAUUAAUUAUUUAAAUUUACUAUUUAUAAAUAAAUAAGUAGAUAUAUAUAAUAUUUUUAUAUUUUUCGAUAAUUCUUCAACUUAUUAAUCGACACAUUUAAAAUUUUAAUUUAUUUAAUUUUAAUAUGUAAAUCAAACUUUAAAUAUUUAAGCGAUUCUCUCAUUUUUUUUUCAAUUUUAAUAAUUAUAAUUAAUUAAAACUUAUUAAAUUAACAUACACGAUCACAUUCUAUAAAAAUUUAGAAAAAAAAAACUAUAUUUAUAUUUUAAAUAAAUAAAUUUAAAAAAAUUAAUUUUUUGCACAAAGCUUGUAUUGUCUAAAAAAUUUUAUUAGUAUGAGUUUAUUUAUAAGUAUUUUUAUUUACCUAUAUACAUAUAUUAUUUAUUUAUUUAGCUAUUUAUUUAUUAUUAUUAUUAUUAAUUUGUGGGUGAUCCUAUCCCUCACCAACUGCUGCAGUUGGAACUACGAUCAAUUUGGAUGUAGUUCCAACUGCAGCAUUUGGGCCUUCUUGUGCAGUUGGAACUGCAGCAGUUGAACUCAACUACACUAAACCAAACAAAGGAAUUGUGGCUGCACGCAUUUGCAACUGCACUGCAGUUGCAAAUGCGUACAACCAAACAGCCCCUAAAUGUAAGUAUACUAUUCUUGUUUUUAGUAUUAAUAAAUGCCGGUAAUUCUAUAUUAUUUUGCAAAUAUAAAUAUUAUUUAAAUUAUGCUUUUUGAACAAAUAAAAAUAAUAUAAAUAAUAAUUUGUACUAUCAUAUUUUUACCAUAAUACUUAAAAAUAAUGCAUUUUAUUAAAUAAUACGUGAUUUCUGUAUUUUCAUGUAAUAAGUAAUAUAUAUCAUACAUAAUAAAUUAACACAAAUUAAAUAAUAAGCUAAUUCUCAAUUACACAAACAAAUGAGUUAAAAUCUUGUAUUACAUUCAAUAUUCAAAAAAUAACAUAAGACCACCAAAUUUUUCUAAACACAAAAAUAGUAAUGCAUCCACAAAUAACGCAUCCAAAUACAUAAUAGUCACAUAAUAUAAAGUAGUUUGUGAAUAUAACAAAAUAGCAUAAGAUGAUUUAUAUUUUCUUGAAUUUCAAAUGUAUCCUUACUUGCACAGAACUUGUGGAAAAGUAACAUGUUAAGAGUUAGUUUUAACAAGUCAAUAGUAUACAUUAGAUGAUAAAAUCAAAUUAAAAGAUAAAAAAAUAAGUCUUAUACAAAUGUAAAUGGUCAAACCACAAUUACUGCCACAACAUAAAUAAUUGUUUGAAAACUUCCAUAUGAUCUUAAUAACGGCUUGUUAAGCUCUAUUGAAACAUUUAUUUGAACUUCCCAGCAUUACGAUCCUAACGCCAUCUAUUUUAGUAGUUGGAUUUGUGUUCAACAAAGAACCUUAUGCAACAUACUUGUGAGGCUUUUUCAAACUCUUUAGAUAUACUUCAACUCUUUUUCAAACUCUUUAAGUAUACUUCAACUUUACCCUAAUAUUCAGUAAAGAUAAAAAAAUAUAGUUAAUUUUUUUAAAAAGUUAUGACUAAUUUGCAUUAGUGAGUAAAUAUCAUAUGAUCAUAAUAAUAUACGUAAUUAAUGGCAUAAAAAGUAUAUUGAAAUAAUAUUGAAAUAUAAUUAAAAAAUAAAAAUUGAGAUUUGUAUGCAUAAAAAAUAAAUAACAAGAAGAAUCAGAAUAAAUAAUAGAGAAUAAGUAAUAGAAGAUAACCUCAUUAUCUAACAUAGUAUGGACAUCCUUUCCAACAACUUUUACUCAAUAACCCUGCAUUCAAAUAUAAUGUAUGUUGGAUAUCUAUAUUGAUCUUAACUGCAUAUAACAUUUUAUACAAGAACAUUAAGAUAAAUUAAUUAGAAAAAAAUUAUCUCAUUUAGUGAUACCUCAAAACUAGAUCCAGAACGUAUCUCAAAGCUAGAUUCAGAAGAUUGUAUUUCAUUACUUGGUGAUUUUUUAGAGGGAAUGUUAUUAUUGCCAUUAUACAAAGAAAAAAAGAAUUUGAUUNACCUUCACUAAACAUAAAAUAAUUGUAUAAAUUUAUUAAUUAUUUAAAUUUACUAUUUAUAAAUAAAGAACGGUGCAGCUUCUGGAUGCAGAGAGCGCGUGCGCUUUCGAUUUCCAGCGUUUCUCAUUUUUUCUGUGGCGCGGCGUUUCUCAUUUUUUCUGUGGCACGUGCGGGGCCACAUGACCGGACGUAGCCCGCCCCACGGCCCCCUCCCGCUUAUUUUUUUUUUUUAGAUUUUUUUUGUUAUAAUUAUUUUUUUUAAAUAUAAAUUAAUCAAAAUAUUAGAUUUAAAUAAAUAUAAUUUAUUAAUUUUUUUUAAAAUUAUAUAUUUUAAAAUAUUUUAAAUAAAAAGUUUAAAGGAUUUGCUCAGCCCGGAUUAAAGCUAUGUAGGGCAGACUCUGUCCCUAACCUGUGGAUAUGUACUACAAAAAAAUUAUGAUUUAGCGUCAUUUAGUUAUUACCGUCUAAAAUCAAAAAUUUGCUGCAAAAAACUAUUAGCGGCAUUAAGCUUUUAAUGCUGCUUUUACUCGUGUUGUUAAAUCUUCUACCGAUAUUUAAAUAGAUUGUCGUUAAUGUUAAGUAAUUAAUAACAUUAAAUAAAUAACGUUAUAGAGAUAACUAUUACCGACAUUAUUUAAAUGCUUGUAUUAUUUAAUAAUCUCCGGCACAUGCCGGUAAUUAUUAUUUAAUUUGCAAUAUUAUAUAAAUGUAAGCAUACUAUUUUUGUUUCUAGUAUUAUAUUAAUAAAUGUCGGUAAUUCUAUAUUAUUUUGCAAAUAUAAAUAUUAUUUAAAUUAUGCUUUUUAAACAAAUAAAAAUAAUAAAAAUAAUAAUUUGUACUAUCAUAUUUUUACCAUAAUAUUUAAAAAUAAUGCAUUUUAUUAAAUAAUACGUGAUUUCAGUAUUUUUAUGUAAUAAGUAAUAUAUAUCAUACAUAAUAAAUUAACACAAAUUAUUUAAUAAGCUAAUUCUCAAUUACACAAACAAAUGAGUUAAAAUCCUGUAUUACAUUCAAUAUUCAAUAAGUCCAUAUAUCACCAAAUGAGGGCAGAUUACUCAUUAGAAGUAACAGAUUUUAUCCCUGCCUCAACCUCAAGGGGCUUUACAUCUGAUAAUGAGAUCAUUCAACUGAAAUUAUACAAAGUACUUCCAAUUGUCUUUAGCAGAAAAGGCAUUGCCCAACUACAUCCACAUACAAUACUUACGAACCUAAUUUUAGGGUUUAAUUAAAAGAAAAUGACAAGAAAAACCCACUACUUCAAAAUCUAGCUAUCAAAGUUUAAAUAUUAGACGAUUGCAUUGGCAAAAGAAAGAUAACUCCAAUUGUUUAGAGAACUCGCCUUCUGAAGCAUCAUCCGUGUCCGUGCAUAAGUCACUGGCAAGAAAAUUAAGGAUUAACAAGUCAAUAGUAUACAUUAGAUGAUAAAAUCAAAUUAAAAGAUAAAAAAAUAAGUCUUAUACAAAUGUAAAUGGUCAAACUACAAUUACUGCCACAACAUAAAUAAUUGUUUGAAAACUCACAUAUGAUCUUAAUAACGGCUCGUUAAGCUCUAUUGAAACAUUUAUUUGAACUUCCUAGCAUUGCGAUCUUAACGCCAUCUAUUUUAGUAGUUGGAUUUGUGUUCAACAAAGAACCUUAUGCAACAUACUUGUGAGGUUUUUUCAAACUCUUACUUCAACUUUUUUUCAAACUCUUUAAAUAUACUUCAACUUUAUCCUAAUAUUCAGUAAAAAUAAAAAAAUAUAGUUAAUUUUUUUAAAAAGUUAUGACUAAUUUGCAUUAGUGAGUAAAUAUCAUAUGAUCAUAAUAAUAUACGUAAUUAAUGGCAUAAAAAGUAUAUUGAAAUAAUAUUGAAAUAUAAUUAAAAAAUAAAAAUUGAGAUUUGUAUGCAUAAAAAAUAAAUAACAAGAAGAAUCAGAAUAAAUAAUAGAGAAUAAGUAAUAGAAGAUAACCUCAUUAUCUAACAUAGUAUGGACAUCCUUUCCAAUAACUUUUACUCAAUAAUCCUGCAUUCAAAUAUAAUGUAUGUUGGAUAUCUAUAUUGAUUUUAACUGCAUAUAAUAAUUUAUACAAGAACAUUAAGAUAAAUUAAUAAAAAUAGAACUACCUGAUUUCGUGGAACCUCAAAGCUCGAUUCAGAAGAUUGUAUUUCAUUACUUGGUGGUUUUUUAGAGGGAAUGUUAUUAUUGCCAUUAUACAAAGAAAAAAAAGAAUAUGAUUAGAUGAUUUCAAUCUUAUUAUAAUUAAAUAGUCAUUUUUAUAAAACAAAUAAACAUAAAUUACAACUCGAGUUUACUUGCGCACUGCCUAUUGGAUUAGAUGUGCCUAUUUGUGGAUUAUGAUAUAUAUGAGUAUUUAAAAACAUUUACUGGCAUUUAAUUUUAAAUGCAGAUAAUUAAAUACUAUUGAUUUAGUAAAAAAAGAUAGUUAUGCAAGGAAUGCAAAACCAAAACGGAUCCAGCGUAUACUUUCCCCACUAUUUACCGAUUACUCAGUCAAAUACGAUCGCGUUAUAGCUAGGGAUGUAAAACGGGUCGGAUGCCACGUGAGCCGCCUGGCCUAGCACGGCCUUGGACCGGGCUAGAACAUGGCAUGGGUAUUCUAGCACCCGUGCCGGACCGGCCCGGCCCGGGGCUCUGGGCUAUGCUGGGCCAUUUUUUGGAGCCCGACGUUCUGGUACGGCCCGAAACGUACCUAAGCCGUGCCGGGCUGAAGGGAGGCGGGCGGCCCGGCACAGCACGGCCCGAUCGGUUUGGGCUGUGCCAGCCGGGCUAGCAUGGCCAGCACCCGAUGUCAAUUGUCUUGGGCCAUGGGGUUUGAGCUCCUUGGGAGGAGGGCUUCCCAGAAGCUUAGACCUUGGGAGGAGCACUUUUGGUCCAAUGAACCAAAAAAUUUUGGUCCAUUGGACCAAAAGUCUAUUUCGUUUUCUUUUUUUUUUAAAAAAUAAAUAAUACAAAUUUAUUUAUUUUUUAAAAAUUAAAUAUUUACUUUAGUAUAAUUAUUUUUAUAANGGUCUUAAGAUAGGGGAACCCCUUGGCCCCCAAAUGGCUCGCAAGCGUACUUUGCGUCACGCAAAAUUGCAUAAUUAUAUUAUUUUUAUAUUUUUUUAAGAUUUUAUUUAAAAUAUUAAUUUAAAUAAAAAAAACUUAUUGUUUAUAUUUUUAAAUUUUAUACUAAAUUUUUUUAAAAAAAUUUAAAAAAUACGGCCCGUGCCUUCCGGCCAAAGGGCCGUGCCGAGCCAGAAGGUAGACAACUUGGCGUCGGCACGGUCCAGACCGAAAUUAAUUCGGGCCGGGCUAGGCCGGCCCCAAGCCCGUUUCGGCCCGGAAUAUGUGGGCACGGCCCACAUUACACCUUUAGUUACGACCUCAACUCGCUUUCAUCUCUCUCUCCACUUCGAGAGCCAAAACCAAAACCCCUUCCCCUUCGCUGGAGCUUCCUCCCUCUCUCUCUCUCUCUCCUCCCAUGGCGCCUCUCCUCCUCGGCUCCCGUUCCUCCGCUCCCUCUCCCUCCAUCGACGGGGUCUCCUCCACCCCGCUCCUCCCCCUCUUCGCGAUAAGCUCCCCCUCACACCCCCUCCUCCGCCCACUCUCCCAAGCGGGGCUUCCACAUUGGCUUCUCCCCUUACCUCGCCCUCUCCCCCACUCGAGGACGAGCGAGCGUAAGGGAGAUACCCCAGCCCUAGAGAAUGCCUGGUUUAUCGCGGCGCUACUUCUUGUGGCGAUUUCGUCGAACACGUCGUGGGCGACGGAGGUCGGCGUCGCGUAAGAUAGCCGCUCCCUGUCGUUAAUAGACGGAGGGAGUUGUUCUUCUUGGGAUCCGUCCAUUACCCUCUGAGCCCGCCUGAGGUUAUCUUCUCUCUCUCUAGUGAUAAAAUGUAUAGAUUGUCCCUGUAAUAUCCCAAUAUUGCGACUUGUUUCCUGUAAUUCUGAAGUGAAUGUUUUAGUUCUUAAAAUUUCACGUGUAUUACACUAGCCACUAAAUUGGUCGUUAAAUAUAUAUUUUUUUAAAUGUUUAGAGACGAAGUGUAAUAAUAUACAUGAAAUUUCAGGUAUUUAACUGUUUAGUUAAAAGUACAGGUACCAAGUUGCAAUAUCAGUAUAAUAUGUGGAUUAUACGUAAAGUUUGCCUUCUCUAUAGUUUUUGUAUGCAUGGGAUAUGUUUGAGGUAAUUCCUGUGUGAAGAGUUGAUGGCUAAUUUGAGUGGUGGUUUCUUUUGGAGUCAGAUGUGGCCGGACCUCAUCUGGAAGGCGAAGCAAGGGUCUCAAUCAAGGUUUUAAGCGUCCGUUAGUACGGGCCGUAUCCACCUUAUCGUACCGUGCCAACAAAAUACAGGCACAAUACAGACCCCGUGCCGAUGGCACAACUCAAAACCCUCUAUUCUUUAAAAUUAGUAAGUAAUUUUUUCAAUAAAGUUCAAAAGAUAUGAUAAAAAGAUAUAAUAAAUAGUUAGAAUAUUUUGUUGCUAAAGAAAAUAAAUAUUUCAUACUAUUAUGUGUCGGCACAUAAGAAUUUUUUUGACCGGCNAAAUAGUUAGAAUAUUUUGUUGCUAAAGAAAAUAAAUAUUUCAUACUAUUAUGUGUCGGCACAUAAGAAUUUUUUUGACCGGCACGCAUCGGCAUGGCUCGGCACGCACCGUGCCGUACCGUGCCGGCAAGUUUCCGGCACGACCCCGUGCCACGACACUUAAAUCCUUGGUCUCAAUGUGAUUCAGACUUUCGUGCUCUGGAAUGUCCAUGAGCCUGUUCCGGGGCAGGUAUGGCUUGGUUAAUUGCUAAUAGCUUGUUUGGUUUGGUUCAGAACUUGUGCAGAACUGUCGCUUGAUUAGUUCUUUUCGAUGUAAUUCUACCUGCUUUUCCACGGGCACUACCCGGCAGCUUCGUACUGGUGCUUAGUAACAGAAGAUUCAAAUAGGAGUUUCUGCUUCUGGCCCCCAGAAUGCUAUUUUGGCUUCUCACUUCUGCGAAUUCUGGUCCUAUUUUUGUGAAAAUGGCUUGUUUUUGCUUAUCUAGCAGAUUAGCUGUUCCAAAAAGCUGUGCUGAAUGAGCACUAACUUUUCACAUUUAUAUGCAUAAUAAAGGAUUAAAAGUUGGUCUUCGUUGUGAGUGCAGUUCAACUUUGAAGGAAAGUAUGACUUGGUGAAAUUCAUCAAGUUGAUCCAGCAGCAGGGUAUGUAUGCCACCCUCAGGAUUGGCUCUUUCAUCCAGGCUGAGUGGAAUCAUGGGUUGGUUUCAAUUUACUUUCUCCUCUUAGCUUACAGUUAUACCUACUUUCCUCCUUGAGAUUCAUUUUUUUUUAAGUUACAAUUUUGCUGUGCUAAUGUGCAUCUUGGUCGAUUUCAGAGGGCUGCCUUACUGGCUUCGGGAGGUUGAGGGCAUCGCCUUCCGGACUGACAAUGAACCUUUCAAGGUAAAGAAGUUGCUUUUAGUUUUGACAUGCUAUAUUUAGCUUAAAUAUGUGCUGCAUAAAUGUAAAUUCUUAAUAUUUUAUUGUAGUAAUACAUUUCGCUUUUGUGACAGUACCAUAUGAAGAGGUUUGUCGAAAAGGUAGUGCAACUUAUGAAGAACGAGAAGCUAUAUGCUUCUCAAGGAGGCCCCAUUGUUCUAUCGCAGGUUCUUUCUGGGCUUUUUAUGGUGUCUUUAGUCUCUUUCUUUUUAUCUUUUCUAUGAUCAACUCAGACAAAUUGUUCCUUCGCCUUGCGGGAACUCUGUGGUGAACUUGACUUCAACAGAUUGAGAAUGAAUACAAUAACAUCGCUCCCAUGGUUGGGCUAGCAGGGAUGAGAUAUAUCCAGUGGGCUGGCAAUAUGGCUAAUCAGACAAAUACUGGAGUUCCGUGGGUGAUGUGCAAGCAGAACAAUGCUCCUGACACAGUGGUGAGCAUUCUUAUUAUUAAAUCUUCUUGUGAAAAAGGAAUGUGUUCUAAUAUCUCAACUCUUGAGUUCAUAAAUCAGGCAGCCAGAGGACAAUUUUAUAUCUUUGGAAAAUAUAUGAUAUUCUCGAUGGAAUAUUAACUCCAAUCUUCGAUCUUUCAGAUAAAUGCAUGCAACGGAAGGAAGUGUGGAGACUGUUUCUCUUGGCACAAAGCAUCCAAGCAAGCCUCUCCUAUGGACUGAGAACUUGACUGCUCAGUAAGUAUAUCACUUUUCUUAUCUGAAUAGAAAAUUAAAAUAAUGUAGCUAAAGAAGGGAGAAGCCACAUGGGCAUUGACUGAUAUGUAUCAAGUGCUGAAUUUGUCAUGUCUACUGAUGUCAAGCGAAAGAGUUGCAUUAAAUUUCUCUAUGGCAAUACAGAUGCAUAUGUCACUUCUGGCUUUCUUUUUAUCUAACCUCAGAGGAAAUGCAAGUUAUCUAGUAAGAUAAGAGUACAGCUAUAAACAAUCUGACUACAGUGCGUAAGUUCCAAUAUAUACCAAAAUUGCAGGAAACAUGCAUAAGCUACUUUUUUAUUUGUUUGUUUGUUUGUUUUUUUUUUUAUUUUGAUGAGAGAUCAUGUUGUUCUAAAAAAAGGAGCAAAUUUUGUUCAUUUCAGAUAUAGGGUAUUUGGUGAUCCACCAUCUCAAAGAUCGGCUGACGAUCUUGCUUUCAGUGUUGCACGUUUCUUCUCAAAGAUUGGCACUCUAGUUAACUACUACAUGGUAAUUCAUCGUGUCUGUUGUAACACAACGUGCUUAUUAAAAUUAAAGGAAAAAAAGAAAAUGGGAGGAUUAUCCAGCAUAACAUUUUGUUAUUAUUGCUCAUUCUUCACUCAGUAUCAUGGAGGGGACCGACUUUGGGAGGACAGGUGCUGCUUUCGUCAUGACUAGAUACUACGAUGAAGCCCCUCUAGACGAAUAUGGUUAGGAGCUGAGAACCAUGAUCUUCAAAAUUUGUUAUCAUAUUUUUUAUCAAGAAAAGAAAAAGAAAUAUUUGAAUCAGAUUACAUAAUUCACAACUUAUUCUGACAGCUUUUGCUUAUUACAUAAUCUCAAUUUCGACAAUUCGAGGAACAAUAAAUAAAUUUUUUUUUUUGGCCUUAAGAAAGAGAUUUUGUUUUGCAUAUUAUUCUGGCUCCAUAUGUUUUUUUUUUUUUAAACAUCUGAUGGCACUGUGCAUUUGCUUGCUAUCUUUUCCUGUAAAUGUAGCUUCUAUCUAGAGGCAGAAGACUUACCAAUGAGACGCGAUAUUCGGCCAGUGAUUCAAGUGGUGCAUGCCUUUGUGAAUGGCACUUACAUAGGUAAUCUUUUGACCUUCCGCCUUAUACUUAUCAAUAACAAAAUAGUUAGUCAGGCACCUUUUUUUUUGGUUAGUGAAUCAUUUCGAAGAUAAAACUGAAAUUAAUCUUUUGCAAGAGCAAAUUGUUUGCAGGUGGCUGAGAUACAUAUAUUUUUUUAUAUGCAGUAGCUGAGUGCAUAUGCAGGUGGAUAUGCAGUUCAAAUAAGAUACAAUUAAAUAUAAUAAAUUUACUAGAUAUAAAAAUGUGAUAAAUAGAAAGAAAACAUACAAAAGAGUUGAGAAAACUAUGUAAAUAUGAAAUGUUGUUAAGUUGUAGGACUUUCUGACAUUAUAGAUGUCAAAUUUUCAAGUGUUUUUAGUCAGAUAAGUAUUUUCUGCAUAUUCUUAAAUAGUCAAUACAAAUCAAAGUCAUAUAUUUCAAAUUUGUCGUAAUGUCUAUUUCAUGCAUUAGGCACUCUACUGUUGUCACCAUCCAAGCAUAGCCAUAUUAAUAAAAGUUAGGUGAUUCUCACACGUAUUGCACCUUGCAGGAUCUGCGCAUGCAGUGAAGCUCGCCAAAAAGUUUGUCUUCCAGAAUGCCAUGGACCUAAAAGCAGGAAUUAAUCACCUAGCGCUUUUGUUUUUGACAGUAGGAAUGCCGGUAAUGAUAUAGGCCGAUCACCUAACUGAAAAGGCCGCUUCAUUUUUGGAACUUAAGCUGUCCUUAUAAUUCUACCGCUCCUAAUUGUGAAAAGAAUGUUUGUUAACAUCUUCAAUUUCUCAUAUUUAGGAUAGUGGAGCUGGGUUAGAAAAGAAGUAUAGUGGUAUUGACGAAGUCAUGAUUCAAGGUCUUAACACAGGGACUCUGGAUUUGACAGUAAAUGGCUGGGGGCAUGAGGUACAUACUCGUCGAAUGUUUCAAACCUUAUCUUCCGUUUUCUGUUAAAUUAUUAUCAUUGAAGUACAUACCAAGCUGUUGAUUAUUUAAUUAAGUGGCUUACUAAUCUUAACUUACCAUCCCAUAGGUUGGAUUGAGCGGAGAGAAGUUGGGAAUCCACAGUGAGGAAGGAUCUAGCCGUGUUCAAUGGCAGAGGCUACAAGUGGCUCGCCGAUUACCUGGUACAAAGUAACAUGAAGCAGAUGUUCUGUCUUAUAACCAAAUGGAAAGACGAAUAAUAAUUAUUUAUCAUAACUAAAUGGUUCUUAGUACAGCUUUAUGAAAUAAUAAAGAUCGUUUUUGCCAAAGCAGGUAGUUAAUGUGGUUUUGGUUCAUCUGCUUCUCAGAGAUACUUUGAUGCUCCGACUGGAAAUGACCCAGUUGCCCUAGAUAUGAGCAGCAUGGGGAAGGGGCUAGUAUGGAUCAAUGGCGAAUGCAUUUGGCGAUACUGGGUGUCCUACCUUUCUCCGUUGGGACAGCCUUCUCAGUCAGUGUAAGUGAUUCACAAGUGCUUGUUCGGCCCAACUUCUGAAAUAGCUCUUCCCCAAAAAUCAGAAACUUCUGGAAACCAGGUUUUUGUCAACAAAAAAAGCAAAAAAGAUGAGUUUGGAGUUUUCUCUGUGACGGUGGUAAGUUAAAAAGUGCAUGUGGCCUGAAAAGUGGAAACCCAAUUAGAAGCUUCACAAGAAGUUGUCAAUUAUUCCAACAGCUUUACUCAAUCAGUACUUCUGCUUCUCUUUUCCUCAAGCCUUCUUAAGGCUGAAGAACAACCUCAUGGUCAUGUUCGAGGAACAUGGAGGGAGGCUGGGGGACAUAUCAAUUGUAAAGGUGAAGAGGGAUAACAUCUGCAUGUUCGUCUCUGAGUACCACCCUGCACACAUUAAGUCAUGGGUGAGGCAGGACAGCCAGAUUCGGGUAAUUGCUAUAGAUGUUAAGCCGAGUGCUACCCUAAAGUGCCCUGAGAAGAAGGUGAUCAACCAGAUUAUGUUCGCGAGCUUCGGGAGCCUCAUGGGCGUCUGCGGUAAUUUCACCGUGGGGAAUUGCCACACUCCACAGGCCAAGAUCCUCGUUGAAAAGGUAAACAUUAUUCUGCUUCUACAAAAAUAUACGUAUAUAUCCACACAAAAUCACCUAUUUACACAUAUCCGCCUUUAAAAUCUGAAUUUCAUUAUGUACCCCCUUGGAAGUGUAGUUUCUUACCAAAGUUCCUUUUUCUUAAGUUGGCAAGCGAUCCAAUUCAUGGAGGUUAGGUCGUUUCUAUCCGAAUAAGUUUUUCUAAGUAGAGGGGUUUUUGCAAGUACAUGGAUUUAUGUGCAAGGAAUCAAGUUUGUUAAGGGCAUUUAUGAAAAAUUUAAAUUUUCUAGGGAUUAUACUCACAACACUACCACGAAAAUGAUAAUUUUGCGGUUUUUAUAUGUAAAUAUUCUUUCUCUAUACGACCUGCCUGUGUGGUUUACCGUAUAGAUCCAGUAAUUUGAUUGGUAUUUGAGACGACUAAUAUACUCUUGGUAUAAACUCGCUCCCAUGUGAUUUGCUUAAUACAUCAAAUAACCAGAUUAUUAGUUCAGAUGACUUACAGUAGAUUGGUAGUUUAGUUUAGUUUCUUUCGCAAAUGUAUUCAUUUUGGUUCGUUCUCAUCAAACUGCGAUCUUAAAUUGUUCUUCUUUCUCGAUUCGCAGCUAUGCCUGGGGAAGAGAUCAUGCACUCUGCCCGUCUCGCACCAGGCCUACGGCACAGACUUGAAUUGCCCCGGAACUACGGGCACGCUCGCAGUCAAAGCUAAAUGUUCACGGCGGAAUGCGAAGGCGAAUCCCUCGAAGUAAAUCGCUGUUGUUGGAUUGAUCGAGGAACUUGAAAAUGCGAUGUAAUGAUUCCUUUAAAAUGGCAAUGAAAAAGUUAUUGCAUUUGAUCUGAGUUUUGAGGAUUAAUAUUGCUUGAUAAUAGUUGGAUGAGGAUAUUUUUAUUCGUGAAACAUAUUUCCCUUUUUGUUAUGGUUAUAUUCAUGAUGUGAUUGAUCAUCGGCGGACGACGACCGAUAAGAAAAAAGAAAAAAAGAAGGAAAUUAAAGAGAUGUAAGUACCAAUAAUAAAAUGCUUUACAAUUAAGAGGAAAAAUUAUGUUUAGGGUAGAACAAAAUAGGCAAUUAAAGAAAGAGGUGGUUAGCUCCAAUUCUAUCAAUCAAUUUUUAUGGCAUCUUUUCCGAAAUUGCCAUUCUAAUUAAAUCUCAGGAAAAGACUAGGUCAAUGACCCUAAUUACAGGUAACUACUAAGAAAACAAAAACUAAUCACGAGGGGUUAGUGCCUAUUUAUUUUUGUAAAUCUCGAAGGUUGAACUCAUGACUCCGAAAAAGUCAUUAAGAUUAGUGUUUAUUUCAAUAUCGAAAUCGCGAGAUUAUAUAAACUCACACUCACAAUACGAAGAUCAACUUUUCAACUUUAAUUCAGAACAGAACGAAGUUGAGUUUGUGGGACUCACAAAUUUCUCACUCUUCGACUUUUUGCUUUCAAAAGCCUCUUAUGUUAGAUGGGUAAUGCAUUUGACUCGACAAAAGAGAAAGAAAAAAAGAAAAAAAAUAAUCACACUCAACUACAAUUGUACGAAUCGAACUAAUCAUGUUCCCCACACUCACUUUGGUUGGGCACGUCUCCUACCAACCGUUGCAAAAACAUAAUAAUUUCUCUCAACAAACAAACAAUAAAAGUGAAUCAAUUAUUACAAAUCAAAUUAUUAUAAUUUACUACUACAACUCCUGCAUGAUCUCUCUUCUUGUAGGUUAAGGUUACAUGAUGAUAUUCUCCUCAUGGCAUUAUAAUUACCCUUUUAUAUAUUUGCUUAAAUAACACUACAUCUAAAUUGGUCCACUCUAUACAUUUUAUUGAAAGGUUUAUAUGCUACUAAUUAUCAGGUAAAUUACACCACAGGUCACUGAGCUUUUGACUAAACUUCAUUUAGAAAAAAAGUGAAGUUCAUUUUCUAUUUAGUUUAGGCUUAUUCCCAGCAAUUUGGAUUAGUUUGCUAGCAAAUAGAUGAUGUGGCAAAUAAUUCACUUACCACUUUUUUUUCUUCACACGAGGGAAAAUGCUGAUUAGGCUAUUUGCCAAUUGAAUAGUAAUAUGGAAUAUAAUAGAGCUAAAAUUCUUAAACCGGUUAUACCAUUUUGGAUGAUGGCUAAGUCCAAAAGGUUAAGAAGGCUAAGCGUGUUAGAACUAGAGUAGUUUUAGAAUAGGUGAUCUUCUGAUAAGUGGCGCGUUAUACUGCUGAUGAUCAUCUCAAUGGGUGAGCCCCUAGGAAGUUGGUUAUCACCAUAUUAACCUUUUAUGAGAAAGAUUAGAAAGUUUGAUGAAGAAAUCUGUUGGGUAGCUUAAACUUUUGAGAAACAACAGUUGUGUUACAUUAUUUAAUAUUGUGCCGUAGGAGGUAUUGAGUUUAAAGUCUAUCAAGCUUUUAACUUUUUUUAAUUUCCUUGUUUUCAAUUGAAGCCCACUCCGUUCUCUGGCUGCUUAAGUUUUUUCAGUGAAUAAUAGUUGUUUCAUAUAACGCAAUAGAUUCUAAUUAUAGUAAAAUAAAUUUUAGGUUUAGUACAUCAAUUGUAAUAAAUUGAAUUUAAUGACUUGAUUUAAACUUUUGAUAACUAAAUUCACUAGAUCAAUAAUGCACAAUUCAUUCUCCUGCAGCAAGGGUGUCUUAUUUUUACUGGAAUAAGCAUUGGGUAAAAAAUUAUAGUAGCUAUAAAUGAAAAUUGCCAAAAUUAAUUAAAAUUAUCACCAUUUUUUAUAUAAAAAAAUGAUUAGAUAGCUAUUUAAUUUUCUUCUAGAUUAGGUGGAGAAAUUAUUGGUGCACCUUGUUGAAUGGGUUAGGUUAGGAAACCACUUUUUUUGAUGAUUAAAAGAGCUACUUUGUAGGUGGAAAAAAAAAAAAUACACCAUAUUUGGUGGAUCUACCUUGAAAAAGAUGCCAACAAAAUUGAAUAUUCUCAAAGAAAAAAUUUAUCAUCAAGUUAUUGCUAUUUGAGGAAUUGAUAUAAUCAAAACAGUUUAUUAUUAUUAUCGGAAUAAGGAAAAGUCUAAAUUAUUACUAGAUGUAAUGUAUUUGCUUUGACAAUAUUAUUUCGUAUACAGAAGCUCAAAUUAGAUGUGUAUACAAAAGCAUUUAUUUCAAAAAUAAUUUUAAUAAUAAUUCAUACAUAUAACUUGGUAAAAUCAAGUGCUCACUCUACAAAUAAAUAAUACAAGAUUAGGAUAACAAAAUGAAACUUCAGUAGCGAACUCCCUAACGAUGCCUCGUUGGGGAGUUUUCGAUUCGCUGCCGCAUGUCAGUUUUAUCUCAAUCCAAAUAUUUAUUGAAAAAUUCGUUAACGAGGCUUCAUUGGGGAGCUCCCCACUAUUUUUUUUUUUUUUUUUUUUCAUAAUGGAUAACAUUGGAGCUAGAUUGGUGAUGGCUUGGGAAAAAAAAUGACAAAUGUUACAACUAGAGAGAGAGAGAGAGAACAAAAUGGUGUUAUCAAAAUGAGCUCUCAAAAUUGAAAACGAUGCCAAAUAAUUGUUUAUUUCUAAAAGCUUAAAAAUGCGAGAACAUAACAUUUUUGAUCUUUUUAUAUUAAUACUUUUCUUUACGUCUGGAUUUGAAACUUUUAGUUAUAACAUGUGUUUCAAAAAAUUUAAGCUGUUAGAAAUUUUUUUUUUUUUUAAAAAAAUGCUAGUUGUACAUUCCAAAAAAAGACGUACACCUUACAACUUUUAUGCGACAGUUUACAAAUAUUUCAAUAGUAGGUCUUGAAUGAUAGGGUGUAAGAUUUAUAAUUUCUUUUAGGAUGAUGUACCGAUAGAAUUACUCUAAUAUUUUGAAUAUUUAUUUCAUACUAAACCUAAAAUAAUCAAGUUAAAAAAUUAUUGUAAAUUAUAUAUAUAAUACAAAAGAAGUAAAAGAGAAACUGGGAGAGGGACCGACCGUUCCUAGUGCAGAUGGCAAAGGGUUUGGUGGUUGGUACCCGAGGUCUCAAGUUCGAAUUCUAGUUAAUUCACAUUUCUAACUAAAUUUAUUUCUAAAUAAAGUAAAUAAAGCGGGUCGCAUGCUAUUUAUCUCAAAAAAAAAAAAAAAGAAACCGGAAGAGAGAGGGAGUUAGAUGCAACGAGAAAACCAAGGGCGGAGUCAUUGAGGGGCCCACAGUGGCCAUGGCCUCUCUAACUUUUUUAAAAUUGCAUAAAGUCCUUUGUAAUAAAAAUUAAAAUAUUAUAAAUUUUAAUUUUAGGGGGCUAAAUUUUUUAAUAAAAUUUGUGUCUCAAUUUUUUUUUUUCAAAUUUCUUGGUUUUUUCCUUCAACUCUUACAGUCUUGUCCCUCUUUGAGCAUAUUGUCAUUAUUGUUGCUAGUAAUAAAUGAUCAGUGAAUCUGACAAAUUUUUUUUUUUAUUAUCCGAGGUUGAAUUUUUUUUUUUAUCAAAUCUAAAUUUUAUUCUCGACAAAUUUUAAUUUCUGACUUCGAACCUGGAGAAAGCUAAGAAAGAUACUAUUAAAUGGGUGCAUCCAAGUUGGCUGGUGAGGAAACGAAACACAAGAAGACAUUUGGCAGUAGUUGUUAUUUUUGGAUUUUUUCCAAUAAAUGUUUCUUUUGGCAGACGUCUCGUUGAUUAUUCACAGGCUGUCUGCAAGGUCCCUGCAGAGCGCAAAAGAUUCUACUAUACAUCAGUCAUACCACAUUAUUAAUUAAUAAUUAAUUAUAUUUUUUCUAAAUAAAAAAGUAUAAUAAAAGUAUCUUUUUAUUAAUUAUGAUCGGACGGAUGAAUCUAAGGGAACAAUUUGAUUGGCUGGUUAUGCGAUAUCAGUAAUAUAACUAGUGUAUUUUAGAUUUUUUUUCCCACCCUAAUAGACUUUUCAAAUAAUUUUUGUGCGAUAAGAAACAUAAAAUUUUGUUGGUAAAUAUUUAUUUUUUGAAUUUUAAAAAUUUAUAUUUUAUUUUAAAAAAAUUUUAGAAAUAUUUUUAGGCGUUACAACAUUAAUAGAGAGGACGAAAUAAUUAAAUUGGCCUUAUUUGUUCUAUAAAGAAAAAAAAUAAUUUUUUUAACGGAAUAGUGACGGAACCUGACCCUGUGGCGAUAAAUGCAUCAACUUUAAAAUUUGAGAAAGUAAAAUAUAGAUUUUUAAAAGUCAUGAAAAAAAAUGAAAAAAAUACAAGUAUUUACAAGAAAAUCUUCUGUAUUUUAGGCAAAAAAUAUUAUAUGACUACCCUCCUCGCUAGGGAUGUUAUUGAGUACAGAUACUCAAAAUUUUAUCCGAAUUCGAACAUGGUGAAUUUAUCGGAAGGUAUAGCUCACAUCCCAAACUACAAAUAAGUUCAGUGGUUUUAGGGUUUACUAAUUCUUUUUAAUUUGGAGCAAAACAAAAAAAAUAAUACGACAAGUUUUAAAAAAAAAAACGUAACAUUUGGACGCUAAUGUUGUAGGAUUACAACUCAUAUUGAAUUGUUGAUUCUAAAUCCUUGUAUCGACUAACAUUAACGUAAAUAUAACAUAAUUAUUAAUCACGUCGAAAGAACCAAAUUCAAACGCAAGCCAUUUACUCACGAAAAAUAUGUACGUCAAAGAAAACAAGUAUGAUAUGAAUAUAAUUAAAAUGAAUCUCAUAUUUUAGUCAUCAGUGUGUAAUAAUUUUUUAUACAAGAGAUACAACAGAGAAAAAAAUAUGCGCCCUUAAUAUAAUUGAAUAUAAUAUAUAAUAUGGGCUAGGGCUGGCUACUAUACUCUUAUGAGUAUAGACUCUUUCGUACUCAUAAGUUUUCGACCGUUGGAUGAAGAAAUCUGUUGUUAGGAUGAUAGUGGUUCCUAAUUAGAUUAAUAGUGGUUCCUUAAGGUUGAAUGGGUAAUUGGUUGAAUAGUAUGAUCUAACGGUUGAUCAAAAGAGUAGAUUUAAUGACCGAAAAUUUAUGAGUACAAAAAGCUUUUUAUUCAUAAGAAUAUAGAAAACAACAAACAAAUAGCUAGAGAGAGAGACAAGAGAGGAGAAAAACUAGCUGGGCGUUGAAGUGUGCUAAAUGGUUUAAUUAUUAGUCCUAUAAUAUAAUAAUAAUAUAGAGUUAGAGUAAAAUGCUAUCGAUAGCAUUAAGCACUUAGUACUACCAACUUUUCCACCAUUAGAUCUAUCCCAUUAACCAUUUUCACCCGUUAGAUCAUGCUAUUCAACCAACUAUUAACGCAAUCCUAGGGGACAACUAUCAUUCUAACCGCAUAUCUCUUAAUUCAAUGACCGAAAACUUAAUAGCACUAAUAACUUAGGCUCAGUUUGGUAUUGAGUUCUAUGUAACGCUAUUAGAUAAAAUAGAGUUGAAGAAAAAGCAUAUAAGAAUAUGCUUCUGUAUUCUCCGGUGGGACAGCAGAAAAUAUAUCGUAACCGACUCAUCGUGUUAUGCGGAAUGUAAUAUUACAUACGGAAACAAACAAGGUAUUUUGCCAACAUACUUUCUUGAGAUGGAUCUAAAUAGAAUGGAGUUGAGAAAAAUGGAUCUAACGCUAUUAGAUAGAAUGGAAUUGAGAAAAAGUAUAUAGGGAUAUAUUUCUGUAUUCUCCGAUGGGACCGCAGAAAAUAUAUCGUAACCGACUAACCACAAUAUGCGAAACGCAAUAUUACGUACAUCGUAUUUUUUCGUUGUCAUUUCUCACUGCACGUAACGCAAUCUCUCCGCAAUCCCAAACGAAACCUUAAUGCUAUUAAUAAUAUUCUAGACUACUAAUAAUACAAUAAUAAGGUUAAUUUGCAUAAAAUAUUUAUUAAUUUUAUGUUUUCGCAAGAAUAGACCAAAAUUUUAAAUUUUUACAGAUUAGAUUUAAAUUUUUAUAAACUGAUUAAGUUAUCUUUAUUUCUUUUAUGCUUUUCUCUCUUGUUCAUUUUUUAUCCUCCUCCCUUACUUCUUACUCUUUUUUUCUUUCCUCUUUCUCACCUCGUUUGACAGCCAACGUCGGCUGCUGCUACUGAGGGCGUGACCGUGGAUAACUACGAUAACACGAGCGCCACAGAAUUGAAGAUGACAGAGUGCGUCGGGGCUAGGGCGACGGUUUGCGAUAGAGAAGCAAGGAAAGGGGGCGUGUUGCGAAAAAUGGUGCAGAAAUCAGAAGAACAAGAAAAAAAAAAAAAACAUAUUUUUUCCCUCUUAGGAAUCGUUGCUGUUGCUACAAGAAAUCCAAAAAGCAGAGAAGAAAGAAAAAAUGAAAAAAUUGCAUUGUUUCAAACUAAAUUAUACCAUUUAAAAUUAUUUGACAUUAACUUGUAUCAUAAAAAAUAAAAAUUAUACUGGUUGAGACUAAAUUACACUAGUCUAACUCCAAAUAUAUAAAUUCUUUACAUUUUAAAGUGGCAUAAAAUCUCCACACAAUUUUCAAAAACCUACUAAUAAUGAUAAUAAAUAAAUAAAUAAAUAAUAAAUAAAUAGAAUUAUGCUAUUAUGCAAUAAAAUAGUACCAAACGCUUGGUGCUACUGGGUAUUCGGCCGUUGGAUGAAAAAAUAUGCUGUUAAGAUAAUAGUGGUCCUCUAGAGUUGAGUGGGUGGUUGGUUGGUUGAGUAACAUAAUUUAACCGGUGAAAAUAAUCAAAAGUUAAAUCUAAUAACAGAAAAUUCUUUUUUUUUUUGAGAAAUAGAUAGCAUGCUACCUGGUUCAUUCAUUAAGUAAAAUAAACUGAGCGUACAAGUUGGAAGCAGCUUAGACCUUCGAGAUAGCGAAAGGCAAAAGGCGAAAAAAAAAAUAAAAAAAAUCAAAGCAUGGUGGUCCGAGUGCUGAUCAAAAGUUUGAGCUAAUGACAGAAAAUUCGAUAGCAACCGAAGCUUGGUACUAUAUAGUAGUCGGAUUCAAAAUAAAUAAAUUAUAAUUAUUAGUUGGUGUGCACACAAACAUAGCAACUAAUCUCUCUCUUAUAUAUCAUCAUCAUCAUCAUCAUCAUCAUCAUCACCAUUCACAAUUUGUGUGCGCCAAAUAAUAAUUACAUCGUCCACACGACCGCUUCAACCGCACCAUUCCUUGGUUGGCAUUGCAUCCUCUCUCUUUCCCCUCAGGUACGCUCUUUCUCUCUCUACAACCACAACAACAACAACGAAAAAGAAGAGAAAAAGCUAGAGAGAGAGAGAGAGAGAGAGAGAGGGAGAGGAAGAAACUGGGGAGAGAUCUCGUCGUAGAUCUUGCUGCGUUGCUGCGGCUAGGGUUAGGGCUAGGGCUCCGCCUUUUUUGGUUUUUUUUUUUUUUUUUUUUUUUUUUUUUUUUUUGGUGGUUGUUGUUGUUGUUGUUCUCACGCUCUUCUCUCUGUCAUGGAGGUGGCGGGGGUGGGGGCGGAGGGGAUUAGGGCUCGCGUUUGGGGCUCCCGGAUGCGUAGUUGUUGAAGCGGAGGAGGAGGAGGAGGAGGUUGGAGGAGGAGAUGAGCGCGUCGAGGUUUAUAAAGUGCGUUACGGUGGGGGAUGGGGCCGUUGGGAAAACCUGUAUGCUCAUCUCCUACACCAGCAACACUUUCCCCACGGUGAGCGAUCCUCUCCCUUUUUCUUUUUCUUUUUUUCUCUUCUUGUUUUAUGUUGAUUUGUUUUGUGUGAAUGCAUGAUGGGGUUUUGAUGGGGAAGCGUUUGUUUUGGGGGUCGGUGUUAAGAUUUGUUGUUGUAGUUGUUUGAUCUGAGAGAAUGUAGCGUGCAUGGGUUUUGUAAAUUAGGAUCUUGUGCUGAUCGAAAGAAGCUAUUUUGUGAUAGUUACACGAUGAUGAUUGGCUUGUUUGAUGUGCGUUUUGCUCAAAAAUUUUGACGGGAACUCUCGUGAAUCGUUUUACGAAUUGAGUUGAUGCUAGUUAAUUUUAAGCCGGUGAGGAAAUGGGGAAGUAAAUUAGGAUGCUGACAAUUGGUUUGAAAGACAUGGAAUCUUUGAGCAAAUUAGAUCUGGUCCAUUCCGCUCCAAUCGUGAUCAAAACGGCAAAUAAAACAAUUUCCUUUGGUCUUUGUUUUUGUGGAAAGUCUAUUUUUAUGGCAUUUGAUUUUGACGGCGCAUUUUUCCUUGAAUUUAUCUGCUACAAACUUUGCCAAAGAUUCUGCAAAAUUUCGGUUGUUUUGAAUCGAUGAUCAGCUGCAACAGAGUUCUAUCACGGUUGAUGUUGUAUUGGUUUGAUUUCCUGCUGCAAGAAGAUUAGAUAUAGGGAAGAAAAGGAGAGGCUAGAGCAAAGAAGAAGGAUGCAAGAAGAAAUGCAGAUAGUGAAGUUUUUGUUUUUGAUGAAAAUUUUCUACUCUGUUGUCUGUAUUGGUCCCCUUUUUCUGCCUAUACACUGUUUUACUUAUCUUAGGUUGGACUCCUAGCCAAUGUCUUAUGCAGGGGCUUUGUUUGGACAGUUGUUAACAUUUGGCCCUGCUGUUUCUUCUAUUUGACAGUGACUAACAUAAAACCUUUGAAUAAAACUUUUGAUGCCACUGGGACUCGAAUUAUAUGGCUUGAUUUUAGACCCAAACUAAAAGCUAGCUAAAUUGACUCAUUAAGACUCAGAAUAAAGUAGACAAACCUGAAGAAAAGUUUAGAUGCAAUGGCAAUAAAAAUAUGUCUUUCAUUGAACCUGACAAAUCUAAAAACUGUCUUCUACUUCGAACAAAUCUAACCACCCUGAGUUGCACCAAAAUAAAUAGGCUAUAUCUGACCUAGUUUUCAUGUUUCUUUGGGGCGUUUACAUAUGUAUCCCAAUAGAAUCAUCUAAGUGCAAAUAUAUGUAUCCCUCUUAAAAUAUGAAAUUUGAUAUAUACACCUUAGAAUUGCAGUUUCUUACAAAAAUUCUCUUAUCGUAUGUUGGGUUAAAUCCGUGAGUUUGGGGUGUUUUGUGCUAUUUGGGCCUUUUGGUGGUUUUGUUUGCUUUCAGUUUGGAGAGAUCUAGGAUGAAAUUCAUGCUUCUUAACUGGAUGAGGCCUUCUGUGGGCCCUCGCUGUGUACCAUGUAUCUAUAAGCCUAUAGUAAAUGUAUAAUCAGCGCAUUUUGACGCUCAUAAUAAAUCUCAUGUACUGUCUUGCUGUUACAGUCAUUCAGUUAAAUAUUUGCAGUAGUAUACACUCCACAUCUUAGUUUAAAAAAUAUUGAUAUUCAUAUGCACGGCACUCAAUAUUGCUUAAAAGUUAUCGAUAUUCGUGCAUAUAGCUCUUAAUAUGUAUAGUCACAGCAUCCUCCUUUUCGCAUUUUCUUGUAUAAUUGCUAUAUUUAUGGUUUCAUGAAAAGAUCUACAUUCUUAGGUUGUCCUGCAGUUAUCUUGAUUUUCUCUAGCCAUGGAGACGCAGAAAUUUAAUGCAUAGUGACUUUCUUCUUCAAUUGUUGUGUAUAAUUCUGUUCUUGGAUGAGUACGUCUUUAUGCGUCAAUUAUUCGUUCUUUGAAGUAUAUGUAUUGUUACUUAACAUUUUUGUGAUGCAGGAUUACGUUCCAACGGUCUUUGACAAUUUUAGUGCAAAUGUGGUGGUUGAUGGUAGCACUGUGAACUUAGGUUUGUGGGAUACGGCAGGUAGGUUUUGUUCUUUCUCAAUUUAUGCUCCUUAUUUAUUUCCAUCAAUUUGCAUAUCUUCCUUUGAAGGCCCUGUUGAUAUGGCACUUUAAUUAAUGAAACAGGGCAGGAGGAUUACAAUAGGUUAAGACCAUUGAGCUAUCGUGGUGCUGAUGUUUUUCUCCUGGCGUUCUCCCUCAUCAGUAAGGCGAGCUAUGAAAAUGUUGCUAAGAAGGCAAGGGUCCUUUCCUUUUUUUAAAAAAAUUGUGCUUGUUUUCCUUGGUACUCUACUUCCUCUCUUUUUUUCUUCCUUUGUGAUCUCUGAUUCUUUGAAUCUCUGUUGCUGUUUUCCUUAUCCUCAGUGGAUUCCUGAGCUGAGGCAUUAUGCUCCUGGUGUACCUAUAAUUCUUGUUGGAACAAAGCUUGGUAUGAUUUAUAAUCUUAGCUAUACCUUUCAAGUGAUAUCUCUGUUAAAACUAAAGUAUCUAUACAUACAUCUGUAGUUCUUUUUCUCUUUGGUGGCCUUUCUGAAGUAAAACUAAAGUAAAAUUGCUCUGCUCUGCUCUGCUAAAGUAAAACUAAUUCUCUGAUAAGUAUUUCAAUGAUGAACUGUUUUUGAUUCAACUGGAAGCUGCUAAAACUGAACUGUGUAAGCAUGCCUUAUGGAUGAGAAAUGUAUCUCCACCAAGUGAAGGCGAAGCAUAUAUCGAUUAUUGAUUUUGUGGAUUCUUUUUUUCCCUUUUCAUGGUCCUGAUUAUUCUUGGUUAGGGCAUUUAUGAACAAACACUAAUUGCAUGUUUCAAUAGCAAAUCACUGGAUAUGUGAUAUGUUUAUGCAACAAUACUUGUAGAGCAACUUAAACAACAGGAUAACACUCUCUGUGCACCUAUUUUCGAAGUUAGACAUCAUUUAGUGGAUUUGCUAAUUUAUCAAGAUGUAAUAUUUGGUAUUUUCAUGUGUGCAUUAUGUAGGGUUUUCAGUAAUUUGAGCUGGCUGAAUUGAGUAACAGUUUUCAGAGUUCUUUUUCAUGGGUUUAAUAGUUUUAAUGUUUCAUUGCAAUACUAACCAGGUCUUUCCAUGUUUUGUUUGAAGAUGCGCCUUUUUUUUUCUUUUUUUGGGUUUGAGGUCCAUGUAGUGAUGUGUCUAUCGCAAGUUAAAAUGUUGUUAAGAUCAUACUCUUCUUUUAUUCUUUAUGCAACUGAGAACUUGGUUUGUUCACAGAUCUUCGAGAUGAUAAGCAGUUUUUUAUAGAUCACCCUGGCGCUGUUCCCAUCACUACUGCACAGGUAUAUGGCUGGUCAAAUUUCUACAUAUAUCAUAUGAUUCAACUUUUGCUGCUACACAUAUAAGAUUUCCUCACCUGAAAUUGCUAAUUCAUGAAGGGAGAAGAACUCAGGAAGCUAAUAGGAGCUCCGGCCUACAUCGAAUGCAGCUCGAAGACCCAACAAGUUAUUCAUUUCUCUUUUUCUGUUCUUUUCUCUCUACUUAUCUCGCAUAUCAUGCUCCUGUUGCUUUGGGAGCUAUCUGACACCCCUUUUCUUCCCCUUUUCCUGUAGAACAUCAAGGCAGUUUUUGAUGCAGCUAUUAAAGUGGUUCUCCAGCCUCCAAAGCAAAAGAAGAAAAAGAAAAAGGCGCAGAAGGGCUGCUACAUCUUGUGAUCAAAGAACAGACGACAGCGACCCUUUUCUUUAGUUCUCCUUCUCGCUAGUCCCUCGGCUUCAGCAAAGGAUCUCGGCCUCGGUCUAUAAUCUACUGACACCUGUAACACAAUCUAUCAGAGCAUUCAGGUGAUCUGUUUCAUCUCCUCUCCCUCUCUCCCUUGUGUGAUGAUCUUGUGACUAACUGGUUGUAAUAUAUGGCGCACCAAUGUUGUUCAAAUGAUCUGUUCACGGUAUUAUUAGGCAAAAUCUUGUUUGUUAAUUGUUAUCUGCUAUACUUGAAAAGUGAACGUGGUUUUAACGGCUAUUAUGUAACUUUAUUUACUGGAAAAGUUUGGUAUCUUUGCGGCACUCUCUGUACUUCCUAAGUGAACCGUCGCAAACCUUUUCGCCUUUAAUCUUAAUUCAUUUGUUCUAAGUGCAGCUCUAUACAUGGUUUUUUUUUUUUUUUUUCCUUUCACUGAAGCGUUUAAUAUUGUUUUUUAUUUUUUUUUCACCUUGUUGAACAUCCAAUCAACUUUCAAUUUUUGUUUGUUAUGUUUAUUUGUCUUUUUUUUGGGGGGUGGGGAAGUUAAAUCGACUUCAAAUUCGGUAAUGAAUAGAUCGCACGACAUCUCCACACAAAGGAAGUGUAGUUGCAAAUAAUUGACAGGUUGAUUCCUCCUCCAUGUGGGUUGCGUUGAAGUCCAUCUCACUGUGAUGUGAUUUGUCUCUUUAUCUUGUUUUUUUUUUUUUUUUGGCCAAGGCUCAUCUUCCCAGCCAAGCUUCAUUUGAAAGCUGGUGGGAAAAAGUUUUUUCUCCUGUUUUGAACUGAGGAGAGAUUGUGUUAUUAGAAAUGCCUAUUAGAUAUACAUCCCAUCUAUCUAAUAGUCUAUAUUUUUACUGACUAAUGACUAAAUUUAUUUAAAUUUUUUCUAAAUUGUAGAAUGUAGAGGGCGUAAGAUUUACCAUUGUCCCGCAUAUUUUCAUAAAUAUCAUAUUGGAUUAAAGAUAUAAAUUUUAUUAAAAAAUGGAGAUGCGUGAAAGUAUGCUUUCAUUCCAACUUAUUUUCGUUUAAUAGUGUUAGGCUUAGUUUGGUAUUGAGAUCUAUCUAACGUUAUUAAAUAGAAUGGAGUUGAGAAAAAAGCAUAUAGGAAUAUGCUUCUGUGUUCUCCGGUGGGGCCGCAGAAAAUAUAUCGUAACCUACUCAUCGCGAUAUGUGGUCUUCGGUGGGACCGUAGAAAAUAUAUCGUAAUCUACUCAUCGCGAUAUGCGGAACGCAAUAUUACGUUACAGAACAAACAGAGUAUCAAUCCCAAACGAAGCCUUAGCAGCAUUGCUAAGGCUUCCAAAACCAAGUGUCCCUAAUGAUGGUAUAUUUUAUCUUUGCCAUUAUUUCAUUAAAAUUCAUUUUAUUUUACCAACUUGGCAUGCCACCUGUGAUUGGUUUGUUAUUUUAGGGUUGCUUUCAUAAAAAUUAUUGCAAAUAUAGUGAAUGGCAAAUAUAUCUCUAUAAAGUUUAACUUUUAUAUGUUGUCUUUGCAAAAGUUCAAAUAUUUUCAAAUAUGUCCCUGUUGUUAGAAUCCCUUAGAAAAAUUUAGUUAAUCCUAGAUUAAAUACUUAACUUUGGUUAGUUUUUGAUAUUUUUACCCUCUUUAUAUUAUACUAUUAUGAUUUUUGGAGGAAUAUAUUUGUGAUGAUAAAAUUGAAACUAUAAACAGUUCUCUAAUAAUUUUCUAACGGUAGCAAAUUAGAUAGAUAUAUUUGAAAAUAUCAGGACUUUUGUAGGGAUAACAUAUGAAACUUGAUUUUUGUAGGGAUAUAUUUAUCAUUUAUUAUGUUUGUAGGGGCCUCUAUGAACUUAAUUCUUUAUUUUAUAUUAACUUUUCUUCUAAAUAAUCCUUCCCUUUUCAGUUAACAAAAUUCAUAAUUUUUUUUUUCUGUUUUUUCUGAGGGAAAUGCCUAUAGGAAAAUAUUCUUUCUUUAUAAGGCUUGACGGAAAAAAUAUUAUUUUUCUGAUUAUUUUCUAUGAGAUUGAUCGUUAAGGUAAUAUAAUAACAGUAUAAUAUUCGUUAUUUAAUGAUAUAAAUUUUUAUUUUCUGCAAUUUUUGUCUCUGUUGGCCAUUAGAUUGUUUCCCAAACCUAAUCUUCGAAAAUAAAAUAAGGUAAAAAAAAAGUAUAAAGCUUAUUUAAAGUAUAGGCUACUUUAAAUUAUUAGUUAACCAAUCUUUCAAAAUUUUAAUUUUACUAUCAAAAUUUUAAUUUAUUUGAUUUGAGUCGAUUAGUGACACUUUAACUUUAAAAUUUAAAUGUAUCAUUUAUUUUUACAAAUUUAAUUAAUACAUUUAUGUAAUUCUUCAAAUUAUAAAUUUAUUAAAAUAAAUAAUUAGCUUAAAUUUUAAAUACUCUUGAGUGGCUCAAACCAAACAAUUUGAAAGUUUGGAUAGUAAAAUCAAAAUUUUAAAAGCUGAGAAGCUAUUUCAAAAUAUUUAUAGUUCAGAAAAAAUUUGUACAUUUUUAUCCGUUAUUGCGCUCACCUGUGAGAUUUAAUAUUUUAUUAGCUUGAGUAUGGAAUUUUGCCUAUUGAAAGGAGCUUUCAUGGGCUCCAAUUUAGAUGAUGACCCCCAUGCUUUUCUUUUUUUUUCUUUUUUUUUCUUUUUUUCUAUUUUGUAUCCGUUUAUUAGUGAGAAAGAAAAAGGAAAGCAAUUUUAACAAAUCAUAUGACUACUAUGGAAUGGCCACAAGGGACAAAUUGCCUCAAAGUGAACAUCAAACAUGAAAAAGAACAAAAAGUUAAAAUUGGUCAAUGAUAGCAUUAAGGGAAAUGAUUUGGGUUUUCUAUACCAUAUUAUUGGUAUCUAUAAUAUAGAGGCUUUUGCGUGGUUCAUAGGCGCACGAUGAUAAUAUGCCAUAUGAAUUUACCAACAUCUCAUCACCCACAUAUAAGAAUCAUAUUCUGCAAGGCUUAGGAGCUAUUUGGUUAGAUGUAAUUAUAAAUACAGUGUAGCUGGAGAUACAUAUAGUUGACAAUACAGCAAUUGCAACUAUUUACAUACUGUUUGGUUAGAUGUAGUAGGAAGCGCUACAACUAUAAAUAAUUUGUUUAGUUACAUGCAGUUAAUAAAUAAUUUUUAAAAAUUUAUUAUUUUAUAUAUAUGAUGGUGAAAUCACCUUCGAUGGAAAAAAAAAAAAUAUUUAAAAAAUAAUUAAGGAGGUAAACAUAUCUUUUAUUUAAGGUUAUUUUCUCUAACUGUUGCAAUUAAAACUGUGGUCAAUUUGGACGUAAUUCUAACUGCUGCAGUUGAGCCUUCUCCUGAUUCUAUUGCAGUAGUGAAAAUUAAAUAUAUCAAAUCAAAUACUGAAUUUAUAUUUUUAUACAGUUAUAACUAUAGUACAGUUGUAAUUACAUGCAACGAUACGUUCCCUUACGUUAUCCUAAAACUCAUUUUCACUCUCACAAUAUCCCACAAAGAAUAAAAAAAGAAAAAGAAAAAAGAUUGUACAACUAAUAUAAAAUAAUAAUAAUAAUAAUAAUAAUAAUAAUAAUAAAAUCUCUUUUAGCUAAGCACGAAUAUCUUCGCGUUCUUUCAACGGUCGCACGCACCGCACGAAUCCGAAUUACUGGCGCGCACUCCACCUCAAGAUUCCGUCCAUUUCGACCGUCCAAAUUGGCGGUAGCGAGAAUCGCCGCCCAUCAGCGACCGUUCCUCCCCGUUCCCGAUUACCACGCAACACACAAACGCGGGAAUCGGAUUCCCGUCGCCCCCCACUGGCAACGUUCCCAAUUCGAAGUCGGCGCCGGAUCGUUAUAUAUAUAACCCGCGGCUUCUCUUGAAUUCGGCAACGAGUCCUAAGAACCCGAGGCGGGUGUGUGUGGUUUCGGAGGUCGCGGAGAUGGCGUCGAGGAGGAUCAUCAAGGAGCUCAAGGAGUUGCAGAGGGACCCGCCCACUUCGUGCAGCGCAGGUGUUCGAUGAAAUGCCUCAAUGAACCCAAAAUACUUCUCUGUUUUGUUUCAGUUCCUCGAUUUCGUCCUCCUAGUUUCAAUUUUUAUCACCCCAAAAAAGUUUUGACCUGGGUUUCGAUUUCGUUACCGAAAUGAUAGACGCGGUACGAGAAAGUCUGGGUUUAGUCUUAACACCUCUGCUCACGUGCACAGACGGAAAAGACACCGACUGAAACCGAAGCACUGAGAACUGAGGCUAAAAUCGAUAGUACUAGAAAAUGACUCGGUAUUAGUCUUGACGCGAAUUGUGGAAUGCUUUGAAACGAUGGCUAUCGGUCGAACUUAUGGGACCAAAUUUUUAGUUAACCCUCUUAAUUUCUAAUGUAUGCUAAAGUUUGAUGAUGAGCUCUUCAUUUUUUUUUUUUUUAACUCUUUUUUUUUUUAAUUUUAUGCAGGGCCUAUAGCAGAUGACAUGUUCCAUUGGCAAGCCACCAUAAUGGGUCCUCAUGAUAGUCCAUAUUCUGGGGGUGUUUUCCUUGUGACUAUUCAUUUCCCACCAGAUUAUCCUUUCAAACCUCCCAAGGUAUUAGAUUACUAUUUUCCUCGAAAUACACACCCACACACACACACAUAUAUAUAUAUAUAUAUAUAUACAUAUAGAGAGAGAGAUGCGCUGGAAUGCUCGUAAUAGUAUUUGGGCUCUGGUACUAUCGAGUCGACGAUCCACACUGUUCACGUUGAUCUAGGCCAUUUAAACCUUAUAGGAAUUGAAUUUUAUAAUUAUUGAUAUCAUUUAACUUGUGAUCAAGUGGCUCCAAGACGGUGUAGGACAUUCUAAAUUAGUUAAAUUUUUGAUGGAAAAUUUUUGAAACUAUUUUAGAUCAAAAUGAAUAACCUUGAUCGCGAAUUUGAGAUUUCUGUUAUAGAUUUUUAGAGGCUUGUUCGUUUUCGGCAGUUCAUUUUGCGGCCACUUGAUGAACUAGAAAAUGAGUUUGACAAAUUAUGAAACUUGAUUUUUAUAAGAUUCAAAUACUUUAGAUCAACUUAAAUGGUGUGGGUCGUCAAUUCGGAUGUCCCAUCAUCGAAAAUGACUUAAUAGUAUCAGAACCCUAAUAUAUUAGGAGCUCAGGAAGAGGCAAAUGUGAUGUAAUUUGGGUGAUGUUGUGAAUUUAGGUGGCAUUUAGGACUAAGGUGUUCCAUCCAAACAUCAACAGCAACGGCAACAUCUGCUUGGACAUUCUCAAGGAUCAGUGGAGCCCUGCUCUAACCAUUUCUAAGGUUUUUUUUUUGUUUUUUUUUCUAAUUUAUACCAAGUUCUUUUUCAGCAAUCGGAGAACCGACUUUCGUCCUAGUUCUCAGUAUCGAGGAAACUAGAGAGAAAACUUGUUUGAUUGAAUUUGUGCGUACAUUUUUUUUUUUUUGCUGUUCUCUAGUAUCUCAAGCUUUAGAAGAAAACCGAAACUCAGUUGAGUUCUUGUUCAUCAUCUGCAGGUUUUGCUAUCCAUUUGCUCAUUGCUGACCGAUCCAAACCCCGACGAUCCGUUGGUCCCUGAAAUCGCUCACAUGUGCAAAACCGACCGGUUUCGAUACGAGUCCACGGCUCGCAGCUGGACCCAGAAGUAUGCCAUGGGCUGAGCCAAUAGGCAAUAAUUAAUUCUGAUUCAAUUCCAUGAAUAAAUGUUCACCAAAAGAAAAAAAAAAAACAAAACCAAAACAAAAAUCCAUGAAUAAAUUAACUGUGCCUAGAUAACUACAAAAAAUCUACUAGUUAAUGAGUAUGCUGAGAUAUUGAGUUCAUUGUUGACAUUAUGGACAUGCCAUGUUUGUUAGAAUUAAUAUAAGCAAUUUACAAUUUUGAGUUAAAUUGUUUGUUGUUACAAUGAUACUAUGUAUGGUCCAAGGUUCUUCUAUGAAUUUUGAGUGCUUUAAUUAUGUGAAAGAUCAUAAUCCAACUUGGUACAAGAUGUUAGAGGUUAAUUUGCUUAGCAAAGAACCCAAAUUUGCGGAAAUACUUGAUAGAUGAUGAAACUCCCACAGGGAGUCAGUGGAGGAAACUGCUUCCCUUCUUUUCUGUUCUUCUUCCCUAUUAUUUUAUCCCCUCACACUUCAGACAUGAAUAUCGGAACUUAUGUCGAUUACGCAACUACGAAGUUAGUUUUGUUCCAUGUAUAUAUCAAACUUAGCUGUUGUGCUUUGAUGCCCUUGGUAACAAAGCAACCCUUGUUCGACAUAUUCGAAACUUCUGUAGAAGUGCUGUUUGAGUACGGUCGCUCUCAGAAGUGAUUUGGACCGAGCAGAGAAACUCUAGAUUUCUUGCUUGCCCUGCGGAGAUGGCUGAAGCGAGUGCUUCUCGAUUGCUUCCCUUUAUGCUGCUUCCGUCUCUCCUGCUCGUGUUCUGCGCCGCCCGAGGUCUCUCUCCCUUCGCAACAUUUGCUUCUCUCUUUAUGUUCUUCUUUCUCUCCCUUCUCUUUUUCGUCCCUUCCGCCGCUUUUAUCAACUGUAGAAUUGUUCAGUUCGAGCCCAGGGUUCGCAUCAGAAAUUAAAAGGAGAAGCUCAAAGAGGGUGUAACAGAACAAGUCCAUGAUAAGUUUGUUUAAAAACAACUGUAUGUAGCAUAUUAAGAUAAAUGACAAAAUAUGCAAAAAUGAAACAUGUUGUGGCAUUUGUACGAAUCACGAGAGCUCUUGUAAUAACUUCUCUACUGUUAGGAAUAGCAAUACAAUGUUCAUAAGAUGCUUGAGAAAAAAAAAGCCCCGCGUAAUGAAAAGUGUUCCUCCUUUUUUUUUUCCUCGUAUAAAUCUGCGACUUCACAUCGCACAUAAAAACAAUAGCAAAUUUUUUUAAAAGCAUCAUUUUGCUGUAAAAUUAUCAUUUUAUUGCUGAUCUGAUUCUUUGUGAUCCUAAAUGGCACAAUAAAAUUGGUUUGAUGUGGCUUCUAUGAACUCGUCAAUCAUCCAAUUGUGAGUGUGUUUAUUUUACUUACAUGGCAAUUGCAUAAUGUUUUCGUGGAUAUUCUCCCAAACUUUAAUUAAAAUAAAUAUUUAUUACAAUUGAUUGAAAUUUGAAUUAGAUGUGAGACAGAUGAGAACAUUACUAUGUCCGACCCAACCUGGAUUCGACCCAAAUGCACCAUUUUCCAAGCAAAAGCUCAAACCACCAAGGCAUUUUCUUUUUUUCCUUUCUUGCACCAGAAAUUUUUUUUUUUUCCUAAAAAAAACAUCCACAUGCACUAGCGCUGACAAUUCAGCUCGCUGUUCGUAAGUCAGUUUGUGUUCGUCUCGAAAUGAGCUUGAGAUCGAAUUAGCCAUUCAAUAAACGAACUGAAGAUGAGCUUAAUUUUUCAGCUUGACAUCUUAACAAACUGAGCACAAGCUGGGGUAAGCUCGUUACUGUUCGGCUCGAUAUACCUCGAAUAUAAUAACAAAAAAUUAGUUUUGCACCAUUAGGAUCUAUCAUUUUAACCAAAUCCAUCUCUUAAAUUAUCUUAUUCUACCAAGCACUAACUCAACUAUAGGGGAUGACUAUUAUCCUAACUCUAUAAAUCUUCAUGCAAAGCUGAAAAUCUACAAAUACCAAUAACUUUGUAUUUUGAAAACAUAGGAGCUCAAUAUAUAUAUAUAUAUAUAUAUAUAUAUAUGAUAGGGCUACUAUCCUAUUAAUAGGAUAGUAGCACUUGUCCUAUCAAAUUAUUCUUGAUAAUAGAGAUUCCGAAUCGAUGAUCGGAGUCGUUAACGUUGAUCUAGAGUAUUCGAAAUAUCUAAAAACUAAAUUUUAUAAAUUAUAAAAAUUAUUUACAUGAUGAUCAAUGUGUCGUAAAAUUGACAAUUUUUGAUUGUCUAUAUGAGCCGCUUGCUUGUUUAACAGUGUAGAGUAAUCCAAAUUGCUUGAAUUUUUGAUAGAAAAUUCUUUAUACUAUUUAGAUAAUAUUUGAUAACUCUGAUCAUGAUUUGAUAAACUCUAACCUCUAUUUUAAGAAGGUUAUUCAUUUAUGACCGUUCAUUUUUUCGACUCUUCGAUAGACUUGAUAAUGAUUCUCAAAAAUUACAAAAUUUGGUUUUUAAAUAUUUCUUAUAGUGUAGAUGAAUUUCAACAGCGCCGAUUAUUAAUUUGGAGUGUCGAUCAUUCAAAACCAUUUGAUAGGACAAUGAUCCCAAUUCUAUUAAUAGGAUAGUAGCCGGACUAUAUAUAUAUAUAUAUAUAUAUAUAUAUAUAUAUAUAUAUAGAAUUAGGCUGGAAUACUAUUAAUAGUAAAACAUUUUUUUUGCUAUCAAGUUUUUAACCCUUGAAUGAAAAAUUGUAGGGUCAGAAUAAUAUUAGUCGGUUAGAGUUGAGUGGUUCCCCUAGGGUUGAGUGGUCCCCACUGGGUUAUAGUAUUUNAUAUAUGAGUUCGAGUACUAUACUCUUACAAGUAGUAGCCUUUUGUAUUCAAAUUUUCAACUGUUAACUCUAUCUAUUUAAUUAUUUUUGUCUGUUAGAUUAUACUAUUCAACCAACCACUCACUCAACUCUAGAUGACCACUAUCAUGCUAACCGCACGUUCCUUCGUUCAAAUGUAAAGAGAUUAAUAUUUUAUAAAUUCAAUUAUUAGAUUAAAAUUCUAAUUUUCUAAUUUUUUUUCUUUUUUCAACUUUUCACCUAGUAAUAGAGCUAAUAAUCUAACAUAUUAUUCGUAAGUCAACCCCUAUUCGUCUCAUUAAUAAACAAGUCGAACACAAAAUAAAUUUUUUAGUUCGAUAUUUUAACGAAUUAGUCCGUACACACACGCACUCAAAGAAUAUUAUUCCUUGCUUUUUGUGUAAAUUAGGACCACAAAGAAUAUUAGACACAUUGAGGACCACACACUUUAGGACUGUCACAUUGGCCCUCCUUUGUUGACCCUGUAACUAUCGUAUUAUAUUUGGUAUCAGAAUCAAUUUGUCACUCAAAAGUAUAAUAAGUUUAAGAGAGAUCUUAUAUUGUUCUGUGACUUUAAGUUAUAUAUAUGAUUGAUUUAAACGGAAAAAAUCUGUGAUAUUUCAAUAAUUUUAUAUUAAAAAAAAGGGAAAACUUCAAAAACCCCCUCUGUGGUUCCAUACUUUUUUAUUUUAGUACCCUCUGAUUUAAAAUGUAUCAAGUUAGUACCCUGUGGUUUCUCACUUUAUCACUUUAGUAUCCUGUGGUUUAAAGUGUAUCAAGUUAGUACCCUGUGGUUUUGCACUUUAUCAUUUUAGUACCCUGUGGUUUCACACUUUAUCACUUUAGUACCCUAUAGUUUAAAAAACCACAGGGUACUAAUUUGAUACAAAAUCAAAACCACAGGGUACUAAAGUGAUAAAAUGCAAAACCACAGGGUACUAACUUGAUACACUUUAAACCACAGGGUACUAAAGUGAUAAAGUGAGAAACCACAAUGUACUAACUUGAUACAUUUUAAACCACAGGGUACUAAAGUGAAAAAAAUUGAGACCAUAAGGGGGGUUUUUGAAGUUUUUUCUAAAAAAAAUGAAUUACGUUUGGAAAGAAUAUAAGAAUUAAAGAUUUAGUUCUAAUACCUAAAUUUAAGCAUAUUGGAUCAAAUGCCUAAGUCCAAUAAAUUAUUAGUGCUAAUGAGAUAAAAUUUUGGUAAAAGCCUAUAGAACUCAUAUGAAUUAUGGGCUAUUCCGAUUUGACUAUACAUUCAACGUUUCAAAAUUUUAAUUUUACUAUCCAAUAUCUCAAAUUGCUGGACUUCAAAAUUUAAACAUGUUAUUUAUUUUUAUAUAUUUAGUUAGCAUAUUUCAUGUAAUUCUCGUAACUAUAAAUUUAUUUAAAUAAAUAAUUAGUUUAAAUUUUAAAAUUAAAUAUCAUUGCUAACUCAAAUUAAACAAAUUAAAAGAUUAAAUAGUAAAUCGAUUCAAAAUGAUCUAUAGUUCAUAUAAAUUAAUCUCACCGCUCACCAAUAAAAACUUUUAAAAAAAAAAACAUACUUUGUAACGCCAAUAUAUUAGAGGUGUUCGGCUCGUUUUCGACUCGAUACUUUAAUGAACCAGCUCGUCUUCGGCUUGUUUAGUAAAUGAGCCGGUCCCAGCUCGCUCGUAUUUGGCUGGUUGACACUCCUACUCAUGUGUAUGAUUUUCGUUGCAAACUCUAUCACCAUAUCGCCGGCGAAGGCAUAAGUAAGAGGAAGGUGUGGUGAUGCUAGUGGAUGGAUUUGGUUCCACCAUUGUUAAGAAUUUUGAAGCUCGAGAGGAUGAAAUGAAGAAGACAAGGAAAUCGAGGGACUCAAAGGUGGAUUUUUAAUUUUUUUUUGGUGGAGAAUGAAUGGAUCUAUCAGGUGCGGCGGCGACAAAUCCGAGAAGUAUAAUUGCAUAGCUCAAAAUUUUUGGAGUAAUAAAAAUAAAAAAAUAAAAAUAGGAAUAGAAAUUUUUAUAGAAAUAAAUUUGCAGAGGAGUGCUUAGUGCAGAAAGCUGUACGUAAUUAUCACAAAACUUUUUUUUUUUUCCCUCCAUGACUGAUUUUUAUUUUGGCUGAAUUACAGAAAAUUUUUCGUCGAUCUCCGCUUUGACUCCUGCCAUCAGUAUUCCGUUAGGAUUCCAUUUAUAUUAUAUUUUUUAUAUCCAAAUUAUUUUAUCCAAAAUAUUUUUAAAACUCUCGCCCUUCCUCAUUCUCGGCCGCACUGCCUCGCUCUCUGCCGCCUCGUUAGGGGUAAUUUUGUCAUUUUAUCGUAGCGUGCUCCUUGUGAACAUUUUUUAUUUUUUAAGACGGUAAAGGAUAAAUAUUUGAAUGACAGAAAAAAAGUGAAAAAACGGAUAUUUAUAGAAAAGUUUUAUGUAAUUUAGCUUUUUAAUAUUUAUGAUUUUUCGAAAAUCCAAACACCAUCUAAACCAACAAUGAUCGAGCGGUUCAUUGUUGAUGCGGUGAACCAAGUCCAUGGAAUUGUUGAGCUUGUGUUAUGUUCACUCACUGUGUAUCUCUCUCUCCCCCUCUCCCUCAAUAAUUUUCCGAUAUUUCCAUAUACAACUUUUUGUGACCUCGUUUUCGCUUUUUGCUAAAAAAAGCUCAUACCUUUCCCCUUCUUCAAUGGGGCCACUCGUCCGAGAAUUUCUAGGGUUUCUCUCGGAAUCCUCUUGAUGCAUGCAACGACCCGAGGGCCAAAAUCCAGGGUUUUGAUUCGGUUUUGAUCCGUACCAGAAUUUCCUUUUUUUUUUUUUUGUUUUCUCUUAACUUUUAGCAAUUUUUACUUGCGAUUUGCGUGGAAAAUCCCUUUUUUUUUUGGCGUUUGUAGUUGUAGCAAUUUCCCCCAUAAUCCAUAAAAUUUGUGCCCAAAGUUCGGAUUUUUAGUCGCCGGAUGAGUUUUUGAUCGGAGGAAAAUAGUUUUCCGGCGCCCUCGAUCGCGAUCAUGGAGGAAUCCGAGCUCGAUUUCUCCAAUCCUGAGGUUUUCUCCAGCCAUAAUGUGGGCAACACGCCCACAAGCUGUUCGAUGGAUAGCUUCUUCGACGAGAUCCUCAAAGACACCCACCACCACUCCUGCACCCACACCCACACCUGCAACCCCCCCGGGCGCGACCUCUCGCACACCCACACCUGCUUCCAUGUGCACACCAAGAUCCUCUCCAGCCCCGCCGAUCAAUCCGCGGACUCGGCUGAGAAGAGCCCGUCGAAGAGCCCGUCAGCGUCGUCGAAGAAGCGCCCUUUCGGCAACCGCGAGGCGGUUCGCAAGUACCGUGAGAAGAAGAAGGCGCACACGGCCUCGUUGGAGGACGAGGUGGCCCAAUUGCGGGCGAUGAACGAGCAGCUGACGAGGCGGCUCCAGGGACAAGCCGCGUUGGAGGCGGAGGUGGCGAGGCUCAGGUGCCUGCUUGUUGAUAUCAGAGGGAGGAUUGAGGGGGAGAUCGGAUCUUUUCCGUAUCAGAAGAUCGCGAGAGCUGGUGCGGAGGUUGGUGGGCGAUCGGUUUCGGAUAUGAGGCAGGGGAAUUUGAUCGGCGGCGGCGGGGGGGGCGGCGGCGGCGGUGCCCAGGUUGUGAAUUCUUGUGAUUUUCCGUGUGAUGAUCAGAUGUACUGCUUUAAUGUGGGAGUACAGGGGAGGGCUGUGGGUGAGAAUGGCGCGGUGAACGGUCAAGGCUUCGGUGUCUGUGAGAUGGCCAAUGUCGAGUGCAUGGGGAAUGGAUCGAAGAGCUUUGUUGGUUGCGGACCUGGGAGUGUGAUGACUGCGGGCUGUUCGUCGAAUGCUGAGAAAAAUUGAAGGUUGGACAUAGUAUAUUCUUGUGAUAUUUUUGUCUCAGAUAUGUGGACUUACCCCAUAUUGUUUGAUGCACACAGAUGAUAGGUUAUUACUAAUUUGGUACUCCUAAAUAGGAGUUAUGCAGGAGUUGGUACUGUGGUGUUCGUUACUUUUGUUAGUUAAUGCAUGUGUUGCUUUUAGUUUUUGUAGGAAUAACUAUUUGUAUUUUACCCUUGCCAUUUGUUGCUGUUUCAUUUCGGAUGGACCGUCCUUGUGUUAAUUUGUGACUGUACUCGGGUAACAUUUUUUUCUUGUAGAAAGGAUCAAUCGACCCGUUGCUGACCCACAUGCAAGCAGUAGUCAUUAUAUGAAGUAGAUCUGCCAUGAUCUUUAGUACUUCUUGAAUAUUCGGUCUAUGCACUAAUGGUAGAGAAAUCCUCUGGAUGUUGAGUAUGUCAUGCUUGUGGUAACCAAACGGUCUAUUCGAUAAUCAGUGAUGUGAUAAUAACUGUAAUGUUGUGUAAAAUAAAUUUUGGUCUGAUCGUCUGUUGUAAUCUUCGUCUGUUAGAAAUAUUCAUUUAGCAUCUCAAGGGAGCUUUCUUAUUCAGUUUAGCCAUUGUUUUAUUAUAUAGUCACAAUUCUCUUAGCCCUAGUUAAAGCUUGUGAGCUCAACUCUUGCAUUAAUUUUUCAAGCAUAUACUAGUAGCUUACUUGUUUGGAUAACUUUAGCUAGAGGGCCAGAUUUUGGUAUGAUCAACAAUACAUCCACUCCAAGAAGGUUGGAUAAUGGCAUGAAGUAGAAAUGUUUUAGGACAGGGUUUUGGUUUGUCUGAAUGCUAGAUCGGUAACCCUGCAACUGCAAACAGUACUUGAUGUCUAUCUUCUUAGAACGUGUAAGUGAUAACAGAUAUGAAGCUGCAUGUGUACUAUUCUAGCCUUCAAACUAUAGUUGUUAGAACCACUAAGCCCUCUUUUUGAUCAAUGUUGAGUCUGUGUUUAAAGGCUGUAACUGAAGAGUACUCUCUCUCCCGUCGCAUGCGCGUGCGGGUGCGCAGGCAUGCAGGGACGAUGCUUUCAGAAAUGGAAAGUAAAGACAAAGGUCUAAAGUGCUUUCGGUUUUGAUGCAUCGCUUGAUAAUGAAAUGUCUGAAACAGCAGUAACGCUAACCUUUCAUCGUUGGCUUAACUGAAUCAUCAAUUAUUAUUAUUAUAUGCUUGCGAAAACUUCUCUUAAUACAUUUUCCCAGUCAUCUGUGUAUUGUUCACUAACCAAUAUUUUCUUGGUCUUUCUCAGGAACUCAUGCAACAACGCGAGGUUCAUACUAUGCAAACAACAAGCUGAUCUGACGCUUUUAUUAGCGGUAGCGAACUAUCUAUGAAAUAUUCCAUCGACUUUUUGUAGAUUUUCCCCCUUAAUUUAGCGUUGGUAUUCAUAUUUGGUGUUCUUAUGUUCAGUAGAAAUAUCCUCUAUCAUUUCUUUCAACCGCCGAAGUUAACUCCUGCGUUCUGGGUGAUCUUUCUUUGAUUGUCCUUUUUCUUUUCUUGGUUCUUUGUAUGUAUAUUUUUCAGGAAGCAACUCUUUAAUCAAUCUACGCGCCUUAUUUGCUUGGCCGUUGUUGUCUGGUAUGGAUCAUCAUGCGCAUAUCGUUUCCUGAACAUGGAGGUUAUCGAAAACUUCUUCAUAUAUGAACAUGUUAGUUCCCUUAAGAACAGCCUACAUGCACUUUCUUUGAUCUACCUAUAACCUAGAUUAAAGAUCAUUGGAACCAUUGCGAAGUGUGGAGUGGUUGGAUUUCAUGUUUUUCGGCUUCUGUGUUAUGCUCUCCCAUGCAUGUUUUGUUAUUAGUAUUUUUAGACCAUUAGCUUGAAUCUUGUUUGGGCAUCAUCACAUGCAGGUGUAAGAUCGAUUUGUAAAUGAAAACUUGUAAUUUGUUCCACUAUUUUGCCCCAUCAUUUUCUCGUUUAUCUGGGCUCUGAUCUGUAAGAGAGCUUGAUCAGUUCUCUUCAAGCUUUGCUUUCUCUAAUGAAAAAUGUGUACAUCUCAAUCCAAACAAAACAAGCUAGUGCUAAGCGAUUAAUAUUUUUAUUUAAGGAGUGAUGAAGAAAUUGAGAUCAAGUAUUUAACUAUUAAUUUGCCCCUAGACACUAAAGCUAACUAGUAGUUGUUUGAUAAUGAUGAAUAAUUAUAGUUACCAAAGAUCAGCUAUGCAUACAUUUUACCCUACUUUUAUUAAAUAUUUUGCAUUGCUAAUAAAGAAUUCUUAAAUUAUCAUCUCGCAUCUAAAUAGUACUGCCAUGGUGUAUUCUAAAUUAUUGCCCUUAUAGAUAGAUAGUUAAUGUAUGGAAAAAUUUUGAUUUUCUUAUGUACUUAAAAAAGUGUUACAUGAAAUAUGAACUUAGUUAAAAUGUACAGAAUUUAGGUGAACUACAUUUUGAUUCGUCUAUUCAACUUUUUAAAACUUUAAUUUUUGCUUCCAACGUUUGAAUUUGUUUAAUUUAAUUUAUUUGAUGACCUUUCAACUAUAAAAUUUAAGUCAAUUACUUACUUUAAUAAAUUUAUAGUUACAUGAAUCAUAUAAUAUAUAUAGUAAUUAAAUUCGUAAAGAUAAAUAAUGUAAUUUAUUUGAUAACUUUUCAGCUAUAAAAUUUAAGCCAAUUACUUAUUUUAAUAAAUUUAUAAUUAAAUGAAUCAUACAAUAUAUAUACUAAUUAAAUUCGUAAAAAUAAAUAAUGUAUUUGACUUUUAAAAGUUAAAGAAUUAUUAACAGACUCAAAUCAAAUACAUUGAAAAGUUAGAUAAUAAAAUUUAAUUUUUAAAAAUUAAAUAGUCAGAUCCAUCAAAAUAGAUGAUAAUUACAAUAAGCUUUAUAUGCUUUUACCUAUGAACUUUUCUAGCAUUUUUUUCUUAUUUUGUUAAUUUAUUUAUAUUAUUUUAAUAUACAUAUAAAAUAAUAUUUAAAAUAUUUAUUUUUUUGCAGUAACAUUAUUCAGGUCAAACCAAAUUACCAAGCCGAAUAGACCAAAAUCAGUUUCAUACAACUCGAUUUGGUACGAUUUUAAAAAUAUAAUUUUUGUUAAAAAAAAAGUCUAAUUUACUGAAAUUUUAGUACUCUAAUAUAUUAGUCUUAAUUCUUUUUAAAAUACAUAUAUAUAUAUAUAUAUAUAUAUAUAUAUAUAUAUAUAUAUAUAUAUANAUAUAUAUAUAUAUAUAUAUAUAUAUAUAUAUAUAUAUAUAUAUAUAUAUAUAUAUAUAUAUAUAUAUAUAUUAAUUUUAGGAUUGAGGCCGGUAUGCUUAUGGAAGUACGGAGCUCUCCGUAUUUUCAAGUUGUUUUCGAUGUUGCGACUUUUGAAUUGACAGUCGGCUCUAUUAGACUUGAUCUAGAAUAUUUGAAGUAUCUAGAAAAUAAAUUUUAUAAUUUUUCGAUAUCGUUUGUCUAGUGAUUGAAGUGACUCAAAAUCAAUAAUUUUAAUGGCCGUGGUGAGCCGUUUGCAAGUUUAACAGUAUAGAAAUAUCCAAAUCACAUAAAAUUUUGAUAAAAUAAUUUUAUACUAUAUAAAAUAAGAUUAAUAUUUUUAAUCUAAAAUUUUAAUAUCAUAUCAUUUUUUUUGUAAAAUUUUUAUUUUUAACCAUUAAUUUUGAGUCCCUUCGAUCACUAGACAAAUAAUAUCGAAAAAUCGUAAAUUUUAUUUUUUACAUACUUUAAAUACUCUAAAUCAAGCCUAACAGAACCCAUCAUCAAUUUGAAAAUCCAAACAUUAAAAAUAAUUUGAAAGUACAGAGUACUCCGUUCUUUCAGAAGCGUACUAGCCUCAUAAUUUAACACGUUAGUCACGAUGUAAUAAUAUUUGAGUACCGGAUUUGUGGUUAGGUUAAGAUUAAGUGGUCGAACCCCAUCAGUUCCUGUUCCCGCAUCCGAGCCCUAACCAAAGAAAGAAAGAGAGAGAGAGAGAGAGAGAGAGAGGGGGGGGAAGCAUCGAGCGGCGGCGGUGGGGGUCGCAUUGAGGGUACGAACCGAUCUUGAAUCUCCCCUCAUAUUAGUUUAUAUGUGCCAUUGUAAUUCUAUUAAUUCUAUUAUGUUGUUGUAUUAAUGGUGUUGUGUUAACUAGUUCUUUAAUUCAUUUCAUUGGGUGUGCCUUUUAUUAGGGUUUUUUUUUAGGGUUUCUCAUGUAGUUAUUAAAAAAAAAGGAAAAAGAAAAGAAAAGAACCUUAAAUUUUAGGGUUUUUGGUAUAUAUUCAUGCUUGAAUCACCAUCACUAUUAUUACUACAAUCUAUUUGCAUGUUGUAGUGAUAGGUAAACUUGGUAUUGGAGUAUUACUCUCUAACGCUUCUCUCUCUCUCUCUCUCUCUCUCUCUAUAUAUAUAUAUAUAUAUAUAUAUGUAUAUUUGUAGAGUGUUGAGCUGGAAUGCUAUCGGUAGCAAACGGGCUAUGAUGCUACCGAUUUGUUUUCGAUGCUGAAGCUUUCGAAAAUCAACGAUCGGCACCGUGGCAUCGUUGAACAUGAUCUAUAACACGUGAAGUAUUAUAAACCAAAUUUCAAUUUUCGACGUUAUUGACUUAAUGAUCAAAGGGUUGUAAAAUUUAAGAGAGUAGAGUCCAAGGCAAUUUAGGAUUAUUGAGGUUCCAAAUUUGAGCUUGAUCUGAGUCUGAGUUUGAACUCAGAAAGUCCAUAUCAGGCCCUAAAUUUGUUGAUUCAACAAUGGUUUCGGUUUAUCAAGGCUCUGCCUCCGAGCCUGCUCUAAAUAUUAAUUUGGUGAAAUGGGUGUAUGAACUUUGAAGAUGUUAAUUUUACUACCUACCCUUACCUUUCUGUAGAUUUCGGUAAGAUUCUUUGAAAAAUUUUGUCAAAUUCUGUUGGACUCGAAUGGAAUGUUCUACUGAAUGCUAAUUGGGGCAUACUAAAUCGAACACAUUAUGAGGUAAGUGAACAAAAUUAAAAUUUUCGAGCAUAGGUACCCAUUUGAAAAUGCGGCAUAGUUUAGAUAUGGUCCACAAGUGUUUACCUAUGAAUUUUGUCUCAAAAAUCCUCGUUAUGGUCUUCUUGUAUAACUGUCGUUUUGAAGUUGAAAUAAUGAUCAAAGUAUAUAUGCUACUCGAGCAAGUCAAAGAGAAAUGUGCAAUUUGAAAUUUGUUAUAUGUAAAUUAAAGGACAAAAUAGGGAAAAGGUGUAUCAUUUGCGACAAUUAUGCAGAUAAUAAUGCGCACAAAAUAUUAUGUGAUGUUCUUGUUCCAUAUCAGUUCAUUUAACAGCAGAUAAGCAUGGAUGCUGAAGUAGAAGUCACAUACUUUAUUAACGAAAAUUUCUAAUCAUGUUAUGUGAAUCACCACGAGCCCACUUUUUCAUGCAUUUUGCGGAUGCAGGUUCACUUGAAAUGGAAGAUCAUUCUCACGGCACAGGGCUCUCGGUUUCGCGAGUUAAAGCUACUCUGCAACUCGGAUCGGAAUCGUAUUCUUUCGAUUCGGAGUCAGGGAUUCUCUCUCAACAGUUGGAUGCAAUGAAAGAGAAGAGCAUGGGCAUACUGAAGGAGUAUAUUACGAAGCACAAUGUCCCGAAUGACGUUCCCGACGAGCCUUUAGAAGGCUCCUCCGAGGAUGAUGCCGAGGAACUGAAUAAUCCACCCAAGAAAUCGAAAAAGCAAAACUGAUCGCACCUAUUUGGAUUUGUCGACGAUUUAGAAGCUUAAUGUUUUACUUUUCCUAAAGACGAUGAUGCAUGUGUCAUAUCCAUCCUUCUAUUGUUUAACUUCCAACUUGGAUGGAAAAUACUAAUGGGCUUAGUUUCAAUGUUGCCUCUAUUUAUACUUUUUUUGUCCUUUAAUUUCCAGUUUUCUGAGGCAUCUUACUGUUUGUGUUUUCGAGCUACUUCGAAGCCGAGAAUGAGAAACAUUUAUCUAACAUGAACCCUUUUCCUCCCCAGUUUUUUAGUAAGGAAAAUCUCUCUGCUUGAGAUUUGAUUUUUUGUUGCAAACUCGAAAUAAAUGUAAAAAAGUUUAUUACAGUAUUGAGUUUUGAUUAUUAGUUGGAGAUAGUGUGAACCAGCUUGAAAUAAAGAGCUUAAUUAAACUUUGCUGUACUGUAUCAGUUUGCUUUCUUUUGUGAUAUCUCAUCUAAUACACUUGAAUGUCAAUUGUGUUUGCUGAUACUGUAACGUCUCUAAUCCAAUGCAAGUAAGUAGAAAAAGCUCUGGACUUUCACUAGCUAAAUACACUGCGGCACCUCCUUAGAGUAGAAAAGCUAUUCCACAAGCCAGGCUAAAAAGGAGCAUACAAGCACUGCCGAAAAGUGUGGCCUGGCCUAAGAUCUAUCAAAUCCACAAAGCAAAGACUUCCUUGUACCAACUACUACCAUGAUAAUAUGGAGCAAUCCAUCUGCUCUGCCAUGCUGAAGAAGAUGAUCAAGAAUUAUAACAUGCGAAUCAAAUACUCAAAACUGGCGAGCUAUUGAAGAGGGGAAGGAGCAAGUAGAAAUGCGAUGCAAACAUCCCACAUUGAUAACCAUCAACAGAAGAUAGUUCACAGAGUGACGAGAAAUAUUAUCCAAAUGAGGUCGGUAGGUAGUCCUUCAAUGGUCUGCUACGCACAACCGACCAUAUUACAAGUUACAUAGCAACAUCGACUUCGUAAUAAGAGCUAGUCAGAAGAAGAAAGAGGCCUGCGAUUAUUCCCCCGAGCUAUAAACCCGCCCAUUAUCAUCUAUCAGGACAAUAGGUCAUCGUCAUACUGUUCACUCGAAGGCCCAUUGGUUCUCCCUCCGCACCUCCUCCUCUUCCUCGGGGGUGAAGUCGUUCUUUAUGUUGAACGUCUUGCGGAUCUCUUCGGGCGUCUUUCCCUUGAUCAUGUCAGCCACAGUUUGGCAGGUCAGGUCGAGCAGUCCCUUUAUGUUAAGAUAGUUUGCAGCCUGGAAGAAUUGGAAGGUAAUGAUCACCAAAAGAGAAGAAGAAAAAAAAAAAUCACAGGAAGAACUAAUUUAUUAAUAUUGAUGAGCAGGUCAAAGAAUAUAGCCAUAUAUGCAAAAAUGGUAAGGAAAAUGCCCACUCCAUAUAUGAGUAACAUAAAAUAAAGGGUAAACUUCAAAUAACCCCCUUAUGGUUUCACACUUUCUCACUUUAGUACCCUGUGGUUUAAAGUGUAUCAAAUUAGCCCCUGUGGUUUCACACUUUCUCACUUUAGUACCCUGUGGUUUAAAGUGUAUCAAAUUAGCCCCUGUGGUUUCACACUUUCUCACUUUAGUACCCUGUGGUUUAAAGUGUAUCAAAUUAGUACCAUGUGGUUUCUUUUUCUCUUUUUAUUAUCCAUUUCAUUAAUUUUUUUCGUUAAAUCAGUGACAAAGUUAAAAUUAAAGGGUACUAAAGUGAAUAUUCGAUAAACCUAGGUAGGGUAUUUGAAGUUUUUGGUAUAUAAUUUAACGAAAUAUUAACGGAAGAAAAAAAAAUCAGUAACAAAGUUAAAACUAAAGGGUGCUAAAGUAAAUAUUCGAUAAACUUAGGUAGGGUAUAUGAAGUUUUUUCUAUAUAAUUUAACGAAAUAUUAACAGAGGAGCCCACGAAAACAGAAAAAUGAAACCAUAGGGUACUAAAUUGAUGCAUUUUAAACCACAGGAUACCAAAGUGAGAAAGUGUGAAAACACAAGGUACUAAAUUGAUACACUUUAAACCACAGGGUAUUAAAGUGAAAAAGUGCGAAACCACAAGAGUGGUAUUUGAAGUUUUCCCUAAAAUAAAAGGCAAGAAAAGAAUCAUUCACGCAGUUAGACAAGCCUUAUGGAACUCACGAGACAUAAAAGAGUCUCAGCUUUGAUAUUUGUCCAAGUUAUACAUGCAUGAUAAUGCAUAGAGGACAAUUUAAAUGCUCUGUCAUAAUAAAUGAAACAAGCGCUAGAUUUUGCAUAAUGGAUAUAAGGACAAACUAAGUACCCCUGGCAUAAGGAACACAAAAAGAGCCAUCCAACUCAAGAAUAGUGAUGAUGAUAAAGAUAUGAACUGCUAUAAAAUGCCAAAAAAGGAGACGAGAACAGAUAAAGCUAACACUGUGGCUUGCUCUACUUUUCUAGUUUGUAGUUGAUGAUAUCGUGAUUCUAGCAUUUAGUGAUGCAGAAGAUUAAUUGCUUCCGUUGUACUUACAUUAUCCCCACUGUAAUGAUGUACAAUUCUAUCAUCUUUCGGAUUAAUGUUAACCCUUGUUAUGAUCCAAUUCAAUUCUACUUUGUUACCUAAUUUUUGUAGAUUUCCAAAUUUCACGAUUUAUUUCGUAUUUUUCUAUUUAACUGCUUUUUUCUUAUUGCUUAUUGUUUAAAAAUUAUCUAAUCCAUGACCACCAAUACUAAGCGAUAUACUUAUUAAUGAUACACGCAUAGCUUCAUCAAUAUUACUUUUCACUGCAUGUCAUUAUUUGUAGUGUAAUCACUUGUUAAAAUGACUGAGGCAUGGAUAUAGUUGGGAUUUGAAUACAACAUCACAUAAAGACUAGGAUAGCAUGAAACCUGGAAAUAGUACAAUCAGAUGUAGAAUGGUCUGAGGGACCAAUUUUGUUUUACUUCUGAUUCUUGACCAAAUCUAAAGAUGGUAUACCAGUUAUAGAUGAACUGAAACAAGAACUGACAGCAAGUUUCAGAAGACCGACAAGGAGUAUUAUACAAUCUAAUUGAAGAGAUUUAUUUUCAAGAGUCGAGAAAAGUUGGUUCUGUAAUUAGGAUAGCAUUAAAUACCGCUAAUAAGAGAUCCGAUGCAGACUUUUUAUUCACAUCACAGAAAGAAUAGAUUCUACAUUCGCUAGACUCUAACAAAUGUUACCUGGAGCUUACAAGAAAAUCUAUAUCCAUAGUUAUCCCUUUUGUUAGAUGCGUUAUCUUAGACACUAUGGACAUGUAUCCAAAUCAUUGUACUAAAAAUCUGAUAUUAACUACAUAUCAGUUAUCUAUAGCUCGGGUACAGCAGUUAAAGCGAAACCUUCAAGAAAAAAAAAAGGAAAAAAAUUGGCAAGCACAUACAAACCUACAAAACUCCAGAACUAUUAAAGAGGUAAAAUUUCUAUAAUUUCAAUAGAUAUAAAGUUAUAGUAAUAUAUAUGCAUCUACGAAAGCAUCCGCCAAAAGAGCCUAAAGUUCGAAUCAUAUGAAUGACAAAAAUGUAAAACUGAACAACAUUUUCUCUAUUUUAUCCUAUAAUAGUACUCUAUCCAGCUUGACCGCAUAUCUUGCUUCUUCUUGCUAAAUUAGGCAUGUGAUAAUUGCAUGUGUCAGGAGGAAGCAAUCUGACAAGUGAGCAACAAACUUCGAAGGACAUGCACUAAGUAUAGCACAUCUUGCAAUGAAAGAUAAUUAAUGUUUAGCACAUUGUACAACAAAUGUGACAAAACACCAAUCAUAAUAGUAUCAUCCUCUUCUGGAUACUUAUUACAGCACCCUUGUACAACAAAUGCAACAUGUAACCAAUCAUAGUUGUAUCAUUCUCUUCUGGAUACGUUUUCUAGCACAUUGCGCAACAAAUGCGAGAAAGGCACCAAUUGUAGUUAUAUCAUCUUCUUCAGGAUACUUUUUCCCUUCUCUAUCCUUCAUUUAUGACUCCACAUACUUCCUCCUAUGCCUUCCUAAAAUUCUUGCAAUGAACUUCAAUACAUAUCUCUAUAAUUAUCUCACGUCCCUCACUGUUCUUUUAUCUCCUUCAUCCCUACUGGUUCCACAUAUUAAUAAGUACACUUAAAUGUAGAUAUGUCAACCUAUGCUCCUAAUAAUAAUGUAAUAAAUCUUGCACUUCUAGUGCCGAAUAAAGGACUAAUAACACAAGUUUUGUUAUCAAGAGCAAUUUUACAAAAUAAAGGCCAACAGAAGAACAGUAACCAUUACGUGGAUGUUGAUGGAAACGUCGAAAAGUACGUGAAUCUUUAAAAAUACAUGCAAAAAUCAGACAACAUUAGCACAAACAAAAAAACCGCUGAUACAAUAAAGAGGAAAUAUCAAGUUCUCACUGUAACAUGCAUUAAUCUAUUCAUAACUGAACCAAACAUUUGGCCUCACAUUUCGCAUAUGAACGUAAAUCACCAUUUCCGAACAGAAACUGGAGAGCGAUAAUUGAAGCAACUAAUAUCAUGCAAACCCUAAUCGUAACAAAACAUACGAAAUCAGAUACAAAAGCCUCAAAAUUAGCACAAUAGAUAUAUGCCGAUGAAACCCUAGAAACCAAAAAAAUAUCCGAUCACAUGUAAAAAGGGAAACCGACAAUUCAAACCAAAGGGGGCGUGAGAUUCGAACCAGGAUGAGGUCGAAGAGGGUGGCCUGGUCGACCUUGACGAACUCCGCGUCCCACUGCUUGAGCUCCUCCUCGACGGCCUUGGAGGAGGAGGCGGAGUCGUCUCCGGCGCCGGUGCCGCCGCCGCCGCCGGCGGAGGGCUUGGCGGCGGCGGCGACGGCGGCGGCGUCGACGUGCCUCUUGCAGUACUCGAUCACCUUGGAGAGGAUCUUGGCGUUGACGUUGGGGACCGGGAUCCCGUCCUCGUCGUAAGCGUCCUCGAUCAGGUGCUUGAUCGUCUGCGACUCCACCGCCACCGCCUCGUCCACCUCGAAGAUCUCCCCGUCCGAGCUCUUCAGCGUUAUCUUCUUCGCCAUGGACGACCUCGAUGCUAGGGUUUUCUCCGCUAGGGUUUUGGAAACGCGAGAGAGAGAGAGGGAGAGUGAGAAGGGGGAAGAGGUGAUGAAUAGUACGGAGUGGAGAGAGAGAGGAUCGUUUUUCUUUUUUCUUUUUUUUGUUUUUGUCUAUUUCUUUUUCUCGGUGUGAUGGAUAAAUGGAUAGAAUAGUAGGGACCGUCGGAUAAGAGGAACAUUAGCAGAUCGAACGGCUAAUGUCACUCGAUCAUUUUUCUAUUUUUAUUUUUAUUUUUUUCCCUUUCGCACUUUUAUAUUAUGAGUUUUUUCUUUUGUGCCGAGUGUUACACAUGGAUAAUUUUUAUAAUAUUAUUCAAAACAUAAAUUAAUUUUUCAAAAAAAUUUAAAUUUUAAAUAAACAGAUUAAAUAAGAUUAUAGAAAUAGCUAUAGAUAGAUGAAACGACGGUAUACUCAAAUCUCUUUUUUAUUUUUAUCUCAUUUCAUGACAGUUUAAACAUUUUUAUUAUAAAUUUUAUUAAUUAUUUUAAAUAAGAUUAUGGUGUGUCAAUAAUUCAGUUUACCAUGUAACUAAUUUCAUAUAUCAUGCAGAAGACGUAAUAUAAUUCAUUAGUAUAUCUAAUUAAUUUUGUCUAAAUAAAAUUAUUUAAAGGUUGAAUAUGUAGGAAUUUUUUUUCUUUUUUUAGUAAAAUUUUCAUUUUAAAACAAUUUGAAAAUUAAAUUCGAGUUUUUGAAAAUUCAAAACAGAAAUUAAAUGAUAAAUGUUGUAGAGAAAAUAAUUAGAAAAGACCUGCGGAUCGAGACGUGUAGAACACUAUUCUAAAAUCAAAAUUGCCCCAACAAAGUAUUAGAAAGACAAUAGUAAGAUUGUCCUAAAGACUGUUCAUGUGUGAGGCUUCUCAGUAAUCACUUCCAGCAAUACAACGUCCAUGUUCCAUCCCAUCGGUUCGCUUUCAAAGUAGCGUAAGAUGAACCCAACAAGUUUAGUAAAUCCAACAAAGUAUUAGAAAGUUUGAUGAAACUCAGCGCAAAAGAUCAAUGGUAAGGAAAAGAUGUUUGGUUCUUAGGUGAGCUUCGGUGUAGAUUAAAACUCAUGCGACCUUUCUUAAAAAUAUCGUAGGAGGCUAACGUGGUACAACGAGUCAAUUACGUGUAGCGCAACGGUUAAGCCUCCCAAAAAUUAAAGAUAAAAAUAAAAUAAAAUAAACCGGAUGCCUGGACCGCGCGCCGCCGCUCGUCCGGCCCUGCUCAUGCCGUGCGUGUAUUUAAAUCAAAAGCAUAACUUUUUUUUUUUUUUUUUUCAAACAACUAACAUAAAAAUAAAGGAGUAUAUAAAUAGUAACAAUAUACUUUUAGUUUCUGUGACUAAUACCGACCGUCCCUAUAGUAAGUGACAAAGGGCUUAGUGGUUGGUAACCGAGGUCCCAAAUUCGAAUUCUAGUUGAUUCAUAUUUCUAGCUAAGUUUAUUUCUAAAUGAAGUAAACGAAACGGAUGGCGUGCUNAAAAGUUUCUGCGACUAAUCCUCAUAUGUAAAAACUUUAGCACGGGCUUCCAAACAAGACCCAUGAAAUAUUGCGCUCCCCAAAAAGCCCAUGAAGUUUUAAAUCACCAGAAAAAACCUAAUUAAAAUCUAACAAAUACACUAAGCAGUGUGAAUAUCAUAUCACAUGCCUAUCCUAUGGAUUAGGAUAUCCUCUUUAGUAAACAAUGAACAUGUUCCUAAUAAAUAUGUCCAUGAACUCAAUCAUAUUUACUGGUUUUUUUUCGUUUUCUUAAUUUCUUUUCAAAAUAAAACUCAAAAGGUUAAUUAUAUCAAUCAAGUUCUUUUUUGUUUGAUCGUUUUUUAUGUUUCCCUCUGAAAUUAAGGCUUUGUUUAGUAUCUUGUUUGUGUUUUUCACUUAAAAAAAAAUAACAUUUCUAUAUAAAAAGUAUAAAAAAUAAUAAUAGAUUACUUGCAAUUCUUACAUCUAAGUUGUUUGCUUACCAAUGGAAAAAUAAAAAUUUAAAAGAAAUUUUUUAUUUUCUUUUAAACCAUUUUUUUUAAAAUAUGUUGUCAUGGAUCUAUCACUUAUUAGUCAAAAUAUAUUACAAACUAAAUAAUUAUGAUAGCAAGAGAAAAGUUUCAAAAUUUGUGUUUAAAAAGGGCGGAAAAAAAAAAAAGCAGGCCUAAAAGAAAAGAUAUUUCUUUGUAGAUUAGAGGGUUCAAUUAUAUCUAAACAUUACUUAGAGGACGUUUGAUUAGGUGUAAUUAUAAAUAUAGUAUAAUUAGAUAUGCAUACAGCUAGAAAUACAUGCUAUUUGAUUGGGUGUAGUUAAAAAUAUAAUAUAAUUAGAGAUGCAUACAGAUAGAAAUACAAUGAUUAUAGUAAUAUACAUCUUGUUUGGUCGCAAGCAGUAGAAAAUACUAUAAUUAUAGGAUUUGUUUAGUUGCAUGUGAUUAAAAAAUGGAUUUACAAAAUUUUAUUACUGUAUAUAUAUAUGAGGUGGUGAGAUUUAUCUUUUGUGUAGAAAAAAAUACAUUUUAUGUAUAAAAAGUUAUUAGAGAGACACCAACUGCUGUAGUUAAGACUGCGACUAAUUUGAGCAUAAUUUCAACUGCUGCAGUUGAAUCUGUUCGUACAGUUCCAACUACAGUAAUUGAAUCAAACACAUCAAAACAAACAUAGGAUUUAGAUCUGCAUGCAAUUACAACAGCACUACAAUUGCAACUACACAAAUACAACGAAGUAACAAAACAAAACAUAGCUUCACAUAAAGUUACAGAUCAACAAGAAACAAAAGACAAAGCUUCCUAGUUUUUCGAUCGAACUCCGGUAAAAGCAGCAAUGCACAAAGUCAAGAAAUUCUGUUGUUUACUAAGAUCAAUAAUCUUUCUACAUAUGAAAUUUUCUAGAUCUUGGCUUAUAAAGAUAACAUGACAAAGAAAAAAAAAAUUAAAAAAAAAAUAGAAGCAUUUGGAACAACAAGAGUGUACAAUUACAUUAGAAAUUCCAGCUCAUAAAUUCGCUGUGAAAUUAUAUUGUAGUUGUUUACAAAGAUCAUUAUCUUUGGCAAAAUGGAAGACAAAAAAGAGAGAUUGAAGAAAUAGCAGAUAUUCUGACUCCUAAAUUUUCAGGAGUCUGAGAAUAUACAUGCUGACAUUAAUCGACCCUGUGAGUUAACAAUUUGGUUUACUAAUGCAAGAACAAGAAUGCAGGCUUGCAUUUUAGUUAGCUACUAAGAAAACCUAGCAAGUGCAGAAAUGAUCACAGUUAGCCAAACCUCAGUCCAAGGCCCAUGAAACCUCCCUUCGCACUUCUUCCUCUUCCUCCGGUGUGUAGUCAUUCGAGACGUCGAAAGUCCUCCGAAGUUCUUCUACAGAUUUCCCUUUCAUCAUUUCGGCGACAGUUCGGCACAUCAGAUUUAGCAAACCCUCUAUUUCCAAAUAGUUAGCAGCCUGAAAUUGUCAUAAAAUGAAACUGCAAUGAAUCGUUGCGAUGAAAACAUGAUAAAAACAAAAAAGAACUCGGUAUAGCCAACUUGUGUUCCAUUCCUAUGUACCACCACCUUUGGACCAACCAACAUGAAGUGGGAGUGAAUGCUCUAAAGAUGUCAUCAAACAAAAUAUCCCAAUAACCAUCAUACUUUCCGUAUAACAUAAACUUUAAAGUGAAGAGUAAAGGUUUGCGAUGAUGCCCAUACGCUACGAUCUUUAUAAGGCAAUCUAGCUAGUCCAUUCAUAUAUUCUCUACAUCUUAGUCUUCAACUCAAAGUCAAUCAAUUAUGGCUAGUUAAUGUAUAUACCGACCAAAAUUAGCCUUCAAUAAUGAUCACGACCUUUAAUCCUCAUGCAUAUCAGAUAAAACACGAAAUUAUACAUUUACAAUGGAACUCUUUUUUCUGGAUUUAGCUUAUAUAGCUGGAUUCUCAAGUAUAUAGAUGAUAUACACAGGACUGGGAAACAAGAUGUCAAAACAAGAGUCUCAGAGUCUAGUCGAUUAAAAGAGAAUUCCUACUCUCAUAUUAUUAACCUCAACAAAGUUUGUAUAACAAAUGGUCAUUUCAUCUACAUUAAGAUCUCGUGUUAGUGGGAAACAAGUGAUCUUCUAUCUGAGCAAUCAAAAAAAAUAUGAAGGAGCAGUAAACUCGACAUAGGGGUUCCAGGGAAACAACAUGUUAACAUUGGGAAGAAAAAGAUUGUGCAAAUAGAGAGGCGAAAACUCGGAAUACAGCCAAAAAAAAAAAAGGAGAAAUUAUUGCCUCCACCCAGUGCAUCUGAACAUUUCAUGCGCCACACUCAGUAUUUGGUGAUCAAUAUCUUAAUACCACACUGAUAGACGCGAUCUACCACAUCUAAAACGCUAUGCGUAAAGUCAUAAGCUUUGUAAAUCUAAAACCUAGUUAUCUAAUACAAGAGAGACAUAGUUUGAUUCAUAAGACAUAAUUGUUUAGAAUCCAUGAACUUUUAUCUACAAGUCUAUUACAUGGCAUAGAACAUAUUCCAACAAAUUAAGGACUUAUUUGGCAGGAGUGGAUGAUGGAUUGUAGUUUUUAGAAACUAACCAAUGUGCAAUACGACAACAAAAGAAAAAUAUUUCCGCCGAUAUAUCAUCAAAUUAAAAAAACAAAAAUGGCCUAAAUGCCGAUUCAUAUAGACCCCGACGGCAAACUCUGCGACCGCCAUGAAUGGUACACCGUAUGCAUUCAACACUAUCUUCAAAGAAGAGGUCAAUAAAAGGCACAAUAUACCAAAAACUCACUUCGAUGAGGUCGAAGAGGGUGUCGCGGUCGACCUUGGCGAGGUUAUGGUCGAAGGCCCUGAGCUCGUCGUCGUAGGCGGCGGAGUCCUCGCCGGCGCCGCCGCCGAGGGAGUGGUGUUUGCGGCAGUACUCGACGGCGAGGGCGAGGGCGCGGGCGCCGACGAUGGGGAGCGGGAUGGGCCGAUCCCCGAACCCCUCCUCGAUCGCGUGGCGGAUCGUCACCGAGAGCGCCGCCACCGCCGCCGCCUCCACCUCGAAGAUCUCCCCGUCGCCGCUCAUCAGCGUCACCAGCCCCUCCUUCUUCGCCGCCGACGCCCCAUCCGAUGCCCCCGUAGUAGCCAUUAACGAGGAGGAGGAGGAGGAAGAGUCGAGAGAGAGGAAGGGGACGAGGAGAAACCCUAGACGAAACCCUAGCGUUUGAUCGAGAUAGCGCAAAAAACAAAAAACAAAAAAGUAAACUUCAAUUAGGGCCCCCUGGUUUCGCAGUUGCUCACUUUAGUACCUAUGAUUUAAAGUGUAUCAAGUUAGUGUUCUGUGGUUUUAUUUUUAUCUUUUCGUCCGCUUCUCCGUUAAUAUUUCGUUAAGUUAUAUACAAAAAACUUCAGAUACUUCACCUAGGUUUAUCGAAUAUAUACUUUAGUACUUUUUAUUUUUAACUUUGUCACAGAUUUAACGAAAAAAAAUAGUAAAAUCAAUAAUAAAUAAAUAAAAAUGAAAUCACAUUGCACUAAAUUGAUACACUUUAAACAACAAGAUACUAAAGUGAGAAAGUGUGAAACCACAUAGUGGUAUUUGAAGUUUUCCCAAAAAAAAAACUUCAAAUACCACCUUUGUGUGGUUUCGCACUUUCUCACUUUAAUAUCUUAUAGUUUGAAGUGUAUCAAUUUGACAUCAUUUGAUUUGAUUUUUUUUCUUUUCGUCGGCUACUCUGUUAGUAUUUUGUUAAAUUAUAUACAAAAAACUUCAAUUACCCACCUUAGUAAUCGAAUAUUUACUUUAGUACCUUUUAGUUUUAACUGUGUCCCUGAUUUAAAGAAAAAAAUAAUGAAGUGGAUAAUUAAAAAAAAUCACGAAAUACUAAAUUGGUAUAUAUUUAAAGGCCAAUUUGCAUAAAAAAUUCACUUAUUUUGGGCUUUUGCAAAACCGGGCCACCUUUUUCGUUUUUGCAGAUUCGGUCCGCUUUUUCAGCAAACUGACCAAAAUACAUUUUUUACUUUUUCUCUUUCCUCUUUCUCUCUCCUCUUCGUUUCUCUCGUUCUUUUUUUUUUUCUCGCCGGCAGAGCGGAGGCAGAAACGGUCCGUUUCGCCUCUCACCCUCAUUCUCUCGCCCUCGCCCUCGCCCUUGCCCUCGUCCACGNAAAAAAAAAUAAAGAUAAAAAAUUAUAUAAAAAGAAGGAUGAACAUGAAAUUGUAUCGUUAACUGUAAAAAAAAUUAUAAGUUGCACUACUUAAGAUGUAAACUGCAUCCACUAAGAUGAAAGUUACACUCUUUAAACAAAAGUUGCACUGUUUCUCCUCUUGUUGCACCAUUUCUCCUCUUGUUACACUAUUUUUUAUUUUAAACUGCACCCUUUUAAGAGAUAUUUAUACUGUUUCUUCUCUUAUUGUACUGUUUCUCCUCUUGUUGCACCAUUUCUGUGUAAAUAAAAGGAGAAAUAAUGCAACAAUAGGAAAAACAGUGCAACAAGAGAAAAAACUGCACUGUUUUAAGAGAUAUAUAUACUGUUUCUUUUCUUGUUGCACCAUUUCUGUGUAAAUAAGAGGAGAAAUAGUGCAACAAGAGAAGAAACUACACUGUUUUAAGAGAUAUAUUUACUGUUUUUUCUCUUGUUGCACUGUUUUUUCUCUUGUUGCACCAUUUCUGUAUAAACAAUAGGAGAAAUAGUGCAACAAGAGGAAAAACAAUGCAAUAAGAGGAGAAACUGCACCUUUUUAAGAGAUAUUUAUACUGUUUCUUCUCUUGUUGCACUGUUUCUCCUCUUUUUGCACCAUUUCUGUGUAAACAAGAGGAGAAAUAGUGCAACAAGAGAAGAAAUAGUGCAACAAGAGGAGAAACAGUAUAAAUAUCACUUAAAAAGAUGCAGUUUAAGAUAAAAAAUAAUAUAAUUUUCGUUCAAAGGUAUAAUUUUUAUCUUAAAGCAGCAGUUUACAUCUUAAAUAGUGCAACUUAUAAUUUUUUUUGUAAUUAACGAUGCAAUUUCAUUUUCAUCAUUCUUUUUUUAUAAUUUUUUAUCUUUAUUUUUUUCUGUUUUUUCUAUAAUUUUUUUUGUCACAUUCUCUGCCAAUAGCUACGGCGCUGGUGACGACGCCGCUAAGGACCCCCGCUUCGAGACUGUAGCGCCGCAGUGACCUCUACGGUGUCGACGUCGGCGCCGGCGAAGAUAAAUCGUCGUCGGAAGCGGCAGAAAAUGAGAAAGAGGGAGAGAUGAGAAGGGCGGGGAAGGGCGAGAGGUGUCGUCGUCGGAGACGGUGGAGAGGAGUCGGAGAAGAAAAGAAAAGAAAAAAGCAAAAAAAAAAAAAAGUCGCGGCACGGCCUUGGCGAGGUCGUAGGCGAGUAAGGUGGGGGGUGCAUGGACGAGGGCAAGGGCGAGGGCGAGAGCAUGAGGGUAAGAGGCGAGACGGACCGUUUCUGCCUCCACUCCGCUUCCGCUCUGCCGACGAGAAAAUAAAUAAAACGAGAGAAACGAAGAAGAGAGAGAAAGAGGAAAGAGAAAAAGCAAUAAAGGUAUUUUGGUCAGUUUGCUGAAAAAACGGACCGAAUAUGUAAAAACGAAAAAGGAGGCCCGAUUUUGCAAAAGCUCAAAAUAAGUGAAUUUUUUAUACAAAUUGGCCAUAUUUAAAUCACAUGUACUAAAACAAAAAAGUUAAUUUUUCCAAAAAAGUGGGAGCGGGUACGAUUCGGGUUAGCUUUGGGUUUAAAUCAAAACCAAAUCCUAACUGUAAUGUGAAGAAUCGAAGCGAAUCAAAUUAAAAAUUUUAAUUUAUAAGAUAAUUUGAAAUUGAACCAAACUAAUUUAAUUUGAAAAAAAAAUCAAUACUAAAUUCAAGAUAUAGUGUGAAAAAAAAAUCAAAAUCGAACCAAAUCAAAAUUUUCGGUUUGAUUUGGCUUAUAAGAUAAAUUGAAGCCCAAACUAGUGUGAAAAAUCAAAUCGAACGGAAGUAAAAAAAAUUUGGUUUGAUUUUGAUUUGUACUAAUUUUUUAAAGUACUAAUUCCAUAUAAUUUUAUAUGUCGGUAGAAAUAUUUUCCUCUAAUUUUAUUCUUUUGUUGAGAAAUAAACAUCUUAGAUGUGAAUGAUUGCAAAUAAUCCACCAUCAAAUAAUAUAUAUAUAUAUAUAUAUAUAUAAAAGUUAAAUACAUUAAAAAUAUAUGAUUAAAUUAAAAAAAUAUUAAAGGCAUAAAACUUAGCAUUCAAUUUUUAUAGAUAAACUAAUAUAAUAAGCUAAUUAAUGUUAAUAACUAAAAUAGAAUCAUUAAAUUUGAUACAAUUUUUAAAGUAAGAAUGUACAUAACUUAUAUGAACUAUGGACCAUUUUGAGUGUUUUGAUUUUAUUACCUAAUUUUUAACUUUGUUUGAUUUGACUUCAAAAUUUGAAUGUGCCGUUUAUCUAUAUAGAUUUAAUAAGUAUAUUUUAUACAAUUGUUGCAACUAUAAAUUUAUCAAAAUAAGUAAUUAAUUUAAAAUUUGAAAUCAAAAUACCGUUGACUGAUUCAAAUUAAAUAAAUUGAAAGACUGAGUAGUAAAAUUUAAAAUUUUAAAAAGUUGGAUAACUGAAUCAAAAUAGUCCAUAGUUAAGUAAGGUUUGUAUAUUUUGAUUAACUUAAUAUAAAAACUUAAGUAAAAAAAUUGGGUGACUAAUUCAGAACAGUGUAUAGUUGAACAUAAUUUUACCGAAAAUCACAGAGACCAAAAUAAAACUCGUCUCAGAAUUCAGGAGGCAGCAGCGUAAUUUACCCUAUGCUUUAACUUGUAAUAUUUCUUUUUUUUUUCUUAAUCUUGUUGUUCUUAAUUAGUUAAAUUUAAAACUUUGUUUUAUUAAAAGAUUAAUAAAUUUUUUUUAUUGAAUUUGUUAAUUUUCCCUUGCAUUUACUAGCCUACUAGUAGGAGAUGACUUAGGAAUACAAAACUGAGAUAUUAGUUAAAAGAGAAACUAACAAAUAAAAAAUAUAUAGAGAGAGAGUGUCUGGCUGAGAUACUAAGCACUUGAUAUUACUGAAUUUUCUAACGUUAGACUUAUCUCUUUCAUCAUUUCUAGCCAUUAGAUCAUAAUAUUCAACUAAGCACCCACUCAAUCUUAAAGGACCACUAUCAUCAUUCUAACUACACAUUUUUUUUUAUCCAGCACCAAUGACUUGUGCAAUUAAUAAUAUGGGUUAUUUGCAUACACGUCCCUGCAAACAUAGUAAAUUGCAGAAAUAUUCCUGCAAAACGAAAACUCCAUAAGUUAUCCCUGCAAAAGUCUAAAGUUAUGCAGAUAUGUUCCUGCCGUUAAGGACUGUUAGAAAAUUUUCGUUAACCACGGUUAAAAUACUUAACCAUGGUUAAUUAUAACGUGAAUUUACGGUUCUAUCUUUCUUCUUCUUCCUCCUCUUCUUCUUCCCUCUUCUUCGUCGCCGGCGAGGGCGGCGGCGGCAGCGACGGCGGCGACGACGGUGAACCCUCUUUCUUUCUUUUCCUCCUUCUUCCUCUCCCUCUUCCCUUUUCUCCCUUCUUCUUCCUCUCCCUCUUCCUCUUCCCUCUUCUUAAUCGCCGGUGAGGGAGAAGAUGCGAUGGCGGCGGCGAACCCUCUCCAUCUCCCUCUUCUUCUUCCUCUCUCUCUUUCUUUUCCUCUUCCUCUUCCUCUUCCCUCUUCUUCAUCGCCGGCGAGGGAGGAGAUGCGGCGGCGGCGCGCGGCGACGAACCCUUUCCCUCUUCAUCUUUCUCUUCCCUCUUCCUCUCCCUCUUCCUCUCCUUCUUCUCUUCCCUUUUUUUCUUCCUCUCGUUCUUUCUUUUCCCUCUUUUUCGUCGCCGGCGAGCUGGACCCGCGCCGUCGCCGCCAUCCGCUCCGGCGGCCCGAAGAGGAAGAGUAAGAGAAAGAGAAAGAGAAGGGGAAGAUGAUACUUUUAGAGGGAUAUAUUUGUGAGGGCAAAAUGGUCAUUUCACAAAAAAACUGUUAAAAAAUAAACAGUUCUCUAACAGAUGUUAAUCAGAGGGACAUAUCUGCAUAAAUUAGGACUUUUGUAGGGACAACUUAUGGAGUUUCCGUUUUGCAGGAAUAUUUUCGCAAUUCACUAUGUUUGUAGGGACGUAUAUGCAAAUAACCCUAAUAAUAUUUCAGCCAAAUUCUAUAUAUCUAUACUAUAUAUAAAAGCACGACCCAGAUAAGAAUAUGAUACGUGAUAAACAAACUUUAAUUUAAUUUUUUCUCUGACAGAUAACAGGUAGAAAAAAAUAUUUUCCUAUUUAAUACUUUAAUUUAUUUUUUCUUAAUAGAUAACGUGUGGAAAAAAAUAUUUUUUUAUUUAAUUUCAAAAUAUUUUUUCUUUUUCCGUAUACAAAAUAAAUAACGUAAUAAAAUAAACUUUUAAUUCUUCUUUUUUCUCCAAUUAUUAUUAUUUUACUUUUUUAUUAAAUAUUUUUAUCAUUCAAUAUUUUUUUCUUUUAAGAUAAAUAUUUAUAUAUUAUUAUCUCUAUUAUAUCAACUAAUAUUUUAUUAUUAUCGGAAUUAAGAAAUAUAGAAAAAUAUUCAAUGUAUAUCUAUAUAUCUAUACUAUAUAUAAAUUUUAUAAAAUAAAAAAUAAACUAUAUAAUUGUUGUUGGCAUUAAUUAUUUAAAUUUGAGUUAGAAUAUGACAGAUAUUUUCUAAUAAUAUAUAAUAAAUAAAUUUACAUUUUCUAAUGGUUGAAAUGAUCCGAGAAGUAGAUCUAACGGUAAAAAACUUACAAGCACAAGUGCUUGGUGCUUUUACCAGCAUCAUAGCUGAACUCUCUCUCUCUUUCUACAUAUAUAGAGUCCGGCUAAGAUGUUAUCGAUAGCACGAAGUACUUGGUGCUAUCAAGUUCCGUUUGAUUAUACUAUUCAACUAAUCACCCACUCAACACUAGGGUGCGCACAUCAUCCUAACCGCACAUCUUUUAAUCCAAUGAUAGAAAACUUAAUAGCACAAAGUCAUUAUGCUAUUAAUAGUAUUUCAGUCUAGUUUAUAUAUAUAUAUAUAUAUAUAUAUAUAUAUAUAUAUAUAUAUAUAUAUAUAUAUAAGCAUGAAACUCAUGUUAUCUCUAUUCGAUAAAAACAANGGGGCGGAUGGGAAGAACCGAGAAGUCUCUUGAGGAGAUAACCGACUUUGCAUUAAUUACACGGACGAUACAAAUUUAAUUUUUUAAGACACCUAAGAACAAAUACCUAAAUUAUUGGACAUGUAUUAUUGUAUAUUUUUUUAAAAAAAAUUUGUGUUUAUGUGAAACGUUACAUAUAUAGAAACACCAUAGCAUUUAUGGGCUCGUCAAUUAACUUCCAAAUAUUUUUUAUUUCAUUAAACAUUAUUAUUUAGAGCAACAUUUGAAACGACCCAGUAUUUAUGGGCUCCUUAAUUAACGUUCAAAUGUUUCCUAUUCUGCUAAACAUAAUUAUUUAGUGGAGCCCACUAAAGAAAUAUAUUCUGUACAAUUACAGAAGAGGUGGGUCCCACUUUUUUCCUAAACUAAGGAGAAAGCUUGAAUCCCACGGGGAUUCAUAAUAGUUUAUAGAUGCUGCAUGGAUACAUUGGAAAAGAGUCAUGGGCAAUUAAAGAAAUAAUAAUAAUAAUAAUAAUAAUAAUAAUAAUAUGGAUUAAUUGCAUUAUUGGUCAACCACAGGUCUGAAAUGCUGAAGUCUAAUUAUUAGUUCUAUCAUAUUUGUCACGGAUAAGACUCUCUGACUUUUCUAUAUCAUCUAGUGCGAGACUAUUUGGGGUGUUAGAGUAUGCAAUAUUGAAAAGAGCACAGAUAUAUGAGAAGAUACUGAGGUGAUGUUUGGAUUGGGUGCGAGAGGGAUAAAGCCCUUAUCUCCUUCUUGUACCCAAACAUCAAUACUAAGGGUGGGAACAGCUUAGCGGGUUAUCUAAAUUACCCGCUAAGGGUGGGAACAGUUCAGCUGUUCCACCUUUAGUUGGAACAGUUCAUCUUAUCUAUCUAAACGUUAUUUUUUUUAUUUCCGAAAACAAUCAAUUUUCAUGCAAACGCAAAAGUAGUCUAGUUUUUGUUUAUAUCUGAAUUUGUACAUAUCCCUAGAAUAAGUAAUUCUUGCUUAUAUCCGAACUAAACGAAGCCUGAGAGAAUUAAACUUGACAUAAUAAACACGCUUAUUAGGGACUUAAGUAAUAAUAAAUAAAAAAAAUAACGUUUAGAUAAGUAAGAUGAAAAAUAGCGUUUUAUCUUAUUUUGUUGUGGAGGAGCUAGCAUUGUUCCAAUAACCCUUGCAAAAUUUUUUUUUUUUUUUUUUUGGGUUGUUAAAUUAUAUGUUAUUUGUUGGGAUUUUUAUAUUGUUGUUAGAAUUCUAUAUAGUAAAGAGUCUGUUUCCUUUUCCUUUUAGGUUUUUUUUUUUAAAAUUGUAUUUAAGAUAGUGAAUUAUUGACCGUUUCUUAAUUAUUCUUUCAUAAGACGAAAUAUGAUUAACUGGCCAAAUAAUAUGUUGAUAGAACUAUUUAACAAAUUCUAAUAUUUUUAAUAAUUUAUUAAAAAAAAAUCUAUUAUAUAUCAUACACUACAAAAAAAAAAAGCAACAUUUAAGAACAAUUUUUUUUUAAUAUUUAACGAUUCCUAAAAGUAUUCCAAUAUAAUCUGGCAAAUGAGGAGUCGCGAGAGUCGCCACUUAUACCGAUGUCGCUUAUACCAAGUGUCUCUAAAAUAUAUUCUGAAAAGUAUUGAUAAAAUUUAUCCUAACACUUUAGAGUGUUGAAAAAUUAAAAAUAAUAGUAAAAUUUAUCAUUUAAUAAAUUGGUUUGAUACAAUAAAAGAUUCAUCUGAUGACACUUUUUGAAGCGUUGGUAUUUACUAUAUUUUAUGGACACAUUUAUUUUAACGUCGUUUAAAAAGCGUCCUUAUAUUGAAAUUUUUUUAAUGGUGAUUGUUGAAGGACUAGAUUUUGACUUU
Molecule: long non-coding RNA, 90559 nt
Filed under: Ananas comosus (pineapple)
Lineage: Eukaryota; Viridiplantae; Streptophyta; Magnoliopsida; Poales; Bromeliaceae
Description: long non-coding RNA (ACOM_LNC031834)
Source: RNAcentral